UGGCAAUUGAAACAUCUUCCAGAACUGCGAGUAUUAUUAUAUCAUGAAGGUCCCACGCAUAAUUUUAGCCUCCAAAAUCUUACCCAUUUAAGAGUGGACGGGUGCACUAUGCUGAGGCGUCUCUUCUCAUCAACACUUGCUCGAAAUCUGUCGCAAUUGAAGUUGUUAGGUAUUGUUAACUGCUUGGAAUUAGAGCAAAUCAUUGAUGAGGAUGAGGAUGAGGAUCAUCUCCAACCUGUAUGUUUCCCAAAACUCACAAUGAUCACUGUCAGUUAUUGCCCCAAACUAAAGCGUCUAUUUCAUAUCAGCGUAGCUCCAAGUCUUCAAAAACUGGAGUCCCUAUUCAUAACAGCUAAUGAUGAAUUAGAAGAAGUAUUCUGGCAUAAAGAUGGAGCAAACGUCACGGAUUACAAUGAAAUUGUUAUGAAUAAACUUCAGGUGUUGGAAGUGACAGAUUUACCAAACCUCACCAACUUUUGGCCUGCGGGUUAUCAGAUCUCAAUUCCAUCUUAUAAGGUUUUUGUUCAUAAUUGUCCCAUGCUUCCUGAAAAUUCAGGAGAUAUAUUAUUCCAAGAAUUCUGGAGAACUUUAGUUAAUUGAUUCUAUACAUAGUAUUAUUACUAUUGUGCAUUCUAUGAAGCAUUUUAUGUUUGAUAGCGUAAUUUAAUAUCAUGUUAUAAUUAUAUUGGUAUGGAUCAAUGCUUACACUAUUAACUAAGGAUUAUUUUGCAACAAUACUAAUUAAUUCCCUAUAUAUAACGAGUCAUAUUCAUGUCUGGAUGCUUGGAUUUAAUAAAUUCAAAUUAUUAGAAUCAAAGUUAUACAGCACCUGAUUCUAAUUCUUGAUUUUGUAAAAUCAUGACGUCCGAACCUACGCACCCUUUUGCUUGUAAUAAAAAAAUAUUGUAUUUUAUGAAUAACAAUACUAUUGUACAACGUCACGUGACAGUAUUGCGUAUUAGCUUUCGUCUACUUGUAUCAUGAAGGUUGCCGAUGUACAGUGAAGCUAAGUUGGCAUUCUUCAUAUAUCUUUGGUAUCCCCAAACAAAAGUGCAUAAAUCGGCAUUAAUUCAUCAUCUUUUUCAGUACUCUGUAAAAUUUCUGAUUCAAAUUAUUUUAAAAGUUUCAACUUUUAAUAUUUUCAGGGGACGGCUUAUGUUAUAUAAUGUUUUAUUUCGGCCUUAUGCUGCAAAACAUGAGAAAGAAAUUGAUCUUAAUUUGUUGAAGCUGAGAAUUAAGGCCAGGGAAAUAGGUCUUCUGUUUUGGAAGAAGGCUGCCAUUUAUGGGCAAACAAGGUUUUUUGAGAUUUUGCAGUACGCCUCUUCUCACUCAACUUCACUGCCUAAAUCUGAUCAGGUAAUUUAACAACAUUUUGUAAGAUAUUUUGCUGCCAAUUUCCUCAUUAAGAGACAAAAAAUGUUUUGUUUUAGGAUUUAUGAAAAACGACAGAGAAGUAAGUGGAAAAAAAAUAAAAGAAAUUAUAGUGAAUUUUCUUUUUAUAUUACAAUAGGAAGCAAGUUAAACUACAGCAGCGGUAAGAAGCUACGGAAGAAGCAGGGCAUUUGCCAACAAAAUAUGAGGCUGCUGCUAAAAUGGAAACAGUGCCAGUAUCAUCAUCUUUCCAAGAUGGCAAUUUAAUUAAUUCCUUCAAUCAAAAAGGGGUUUCCACGGAUCAAGCUAUCCCGCAAUCAAGAAGCAAAUGGCCGUUGUUCAGGACUGCAGCAGCAAGCCAAUAAUAAAGCCCUUGUAUUUGUCUUCUGCCAUUAUGAAGAUGAUUUAUAUACGUAGAUGAUGCAAAUUGAACACCAAUUAAUAGUUAAUUAGUCUCCAUUGUUUUCUUGCUACCAAUUUUGUAUCAUAUAAAUCUCAUGGGACUAUUGAUUAACAAUAUAUAUAGUGAGUAGUAGUGGUUGGGUACUUUCAGUUAGAAGAAAAUUGUAACAUGCAAUAGUCAAUACUUAAUAACACAUUUAUGGUGUGUUUACUUGUGGGUUUGGGGAAUAAGAAUGAAGAAAUGAGAAUCAAACCUAUGUUUACUUGUCAAAAUGUAAUUUGGGAAUGGGAAUAAAAUGUGUAAGUCACACACAAUUUGGAAAUAAGGAAUGAGAAUCUUAUUCCUAUGGGGGGUUGGGAAUGAGAAUUAAACAUAAAUUUACCUUUCUAUCCUUCUAAUUUUUUCAUAUUUCCUAAAUUACCCUUAUUCAAAUCACAAAUAAUUUUAUUAUUUUAAAUGUAAUUAAUAAUAAUAAUUAUUAUUAUUAAAUUUUAUUAACUUUAUUAUUUUAGUUAUUAUUAAUUAUUUUUAUUUUUAUUAAUAUUAUCAUUAUUAACAAUAAAAUAAUGAUAAAAAUAAUAAUUAAUAAAAUAAUUAAUUUAUCAUUAUUGUUGUUGUUAUUAUUAUUAUAUUAUUAAUAAAAUUAAUAAUAACUACAAUAAUAAAGUUAAUAAAAUUUAAUAAUAAUAAUGUAAUUUUCAUUAUCUACAUACAUGUAUAAAUAUUAUUAUAAAAAUUAUAUUAAUUAAAAAAUAAGAAUAAUAAUAAAUGUUAAUAAUGAUAAUAUUAAUAAAAAUAAUAACAAUAAUUAAUAAUAACUAAAAUAAUAAAGUUAAUAAAAUUUAAUAACAAUAAUAAUAAAUGUUAAUAAUAAUACUAAUAAUAAUAAUAACAACAACAACAACAAUAAUAAUGAUAAUAUUGUUAAGAGUAAUGAUACAGCCACAAACUCUUGUACAAACUUAUCUUAUACAAACUGAUGUGGCAUUAAUUCAUUAGUUGAAUGAAAAUAUAAAACAAUAUAAACAAAUCAUGUGGGCCAAGAGAUAUUUAAUUCAACCAAUAAAUUAACGCCACAUCAGUUUGUACAAAAUAAGUUUGUACAAGAGUUUGUGGCUAUAUUAUUACUCUAUUGUUAAUAAUGAUAAGUUAAUUAUUUUUAUUAAUUAUUAAUACUAUGGGUAUUUUGGUAAAUUGAUUCUCAUUCCCAAUUCUCAUUCCCAUUUAUUUUGCCAGGUAAACAUAUCAAUGGCAUUCCAGCACAUUCCCAUUCCCAUUUAUUUUUGCCACAUUGAAAUCACAUUCUCAUUUCACACCAUUCCCAUUCCUAACUCAUUCACAUUCCACCUCAUUCUCAUUCUCAUGAAGUAAACGCAUCAUUAAAUUGCAGCAUGUACUAGCCUACUUAAAUUGUCUAUUCAUUUUUGUUCACGUUCGGAGAAUUAACUAAUCAACAAAUUAAUAUGUGACACGUUUUGUAAUUACAUGCCGAUAAUUUUUUAUAAGGUAAUUUAAUGCGCAAUGCAGCCAUUUUAGACACGAGGUUUGGAUGUAUUUCUCAUUGUUAUUAAAUAUGAGUUAGGAUCUCACUUUAUAUUGUUAUCUACUAAACUACUAAUCACUCAUGUUAAGAAGUAGCUCAAAUCAAAAGAACAUCAUAAUCUGUUAAAUAAAUGACGAGUUAUCUUAAAGUACAAUCUAAUUGAUUUUACCAUUUAUAGUGGAAGCAACAAGUCAAGUGCUCAAUUUUUAAAGGAUUAAAUUAUUUACACUAUAAAAUUAUUCUGAACAUUUAUUAUUUCAUGCAAUUAUUUACUUAAUUUAAAAAUUAAGAUUUUUUUUAAAAAUUUGAAUAGGUCUGAAUUAAAUGAAAGUCUGAAUAGCUCUAAGUUUUACUUUGUACAUUUUUUAAAAGACUUUAAAAAAAUCCUUACUAAUUAAAUCAUUUUAGCUAAUUUGUAAAUAAAUUCUUUUUAACACAAUUUGAAUUUCUUGAAAUCGUGUCUUUUCUGCCUUCUGAUUUUAUUGUGUUAAACAAAUCGAAUGGCUUUUGCCACGUAUGUUUCUCCCGUGCAUUUGGUUUAUUUCCCUUUCGAGUGAUGCAUCCUGCAACUCUUCAGCAAGAGAGUUUACUCGUCUUGCUUUCUUUCCCUUGAAUCAAGAGACUUUUUGAAAUAAAUUAUUUUAUUUAAAUAAAAGUAUUCGAAGUAAUUUUUAAAAUAUAAAUACCCAUUUUAUUUAUAAAAAAAACUAUAUUAAGGCAUGGGAAGGCCGUAUCUAAUCGGCUUGGAAAAUUGUCACAUGCAAUAGUCAAUAACACGUUUAAAUUGGAGCAUGUACUAGCUUACUUAAGUUGUCUACUCAUUUUUAUCCACGGGUAGAGAAUUAACUGAUCAACAAAUUAAUCUGCGACACGUUUUGUAAUUGUAUGCCGAUCAUUUUUUAUAAAGUAAUUUAAUGCACGAUGCAACCAUUUUAGGCACGAGGUUUGGAUGUACUUCUCCUUGUUAUUAAAUAUGAAUUAGGAUCUCACUUUAUAUUGUUAUCUACUAAACUAUUAAUCAAUAUGUAGCAGCUCAAAUCUAAAGAAAAUCAUAAUCUAUUAAAUAAAUCAUGAGUUAUUUUAAAGUACAAUCUAAUUGAUUUUGCCAUCUAUAGUGGAAGCAACAAGUCAAGUGCUCAAUUUUUAAAGGAUUAAAUUAUUUACAUUGUAAAAAUUAUUCUAAACAUUUAUUAUUUCAUACAAGAUAGAACCAUUCACUUAAUUUUAAAAAUUAAGGUUAUAUUUUUUUUUAUAAUUUGAAUAAUUUGAAUAGAUCUAAAUUAAAUGAAAGUCUGAAUAGCUCUAAAUGUAUAUCAUUGAGGACAUGUUUGUUUUUUUAUGACUAAAUAUAAGUGUUAAAUUAUUUGUCUUAUAAGCCAAAAAAAAACUGAAUUAUGAUAUUUUGGCAUUUAUGUCCCUAUAAGUAUUAAUAUAUAUUUGAUAAGUUAGAGAUGGUAAGUAAAUUAAAAUCAUUUUAUUAUUAAUUAUAACAUAUCUAUUUUUUUCAAUAUAUACAAUGUUACAGCUAAAAAAGGUACAAUGUUAAUUACAUUAUUUGUGUGUAUUAUAUGAUUUUUUUUCGUUCAAUCACACAAUUUAACAUAGAAUCAAUUAACAAUUUCAAGUAAAAUAGAAUUUUACAUAUAUUAUUAAUUGUAAAAGUUAAAAUAAUUAAGGAAUAAAAACAACAGCUACAUCCCAACAUAUUAAUUUUUGUUAAAAGUUUUGUUCAAAAUAGUUGUUAUAAAAAAAAAAAAAGAGCCCGAGAUGAGUACAAAGUCCAAAAAUAUAGAUUUUACAAAAUAAGUUGAUUCAAUCCUGUAAAAUCUCCACGAAAUAACGACAAUUGGAAAGAGUAAAAUAAAAAUUAGUUAUGUUUGAUUGGAAAUAAGCCUAUUAAAUAGGGGUAUUUUUGAGAGAUUGUAGUGAUUUUCGUUCAAACUUUUUUCAAUUCAGAUAAAAAUUAAGUUAUUUAACUUUUUAUAUUAAGUGCUAUAUUCUGAAAUUUAGAUAAAAUAUGAAAAACAAACUAGUAAACUUAAAAAAUGUUUGACUUCACACAUUUAACAGACAAGCUUUAAGUUUUACUUUGUAGACUUUUUAAAAGACAAAAAAGAAAUCCUUACUAAUUAAAUCAUUUUAGCUAAUUUGUAAAUAAUUUUUUGACACUAUGCGAAUUUGUUGAAAUUGUGUCUUUUCUACCAUAUGAUUUUAUUGUGUUAAACAAAUCAAAUGGCUCCUGCUGCGGAUUUUUUCCAGUGCAUUUUGUUUAUUUCCCUUUCAACUGUUGCAUCCUGCAACUCUUCAGCAGGAGAGUUUAUUUGUCUUGCUUUUUUUCCCUUGAAUCAAGAGACUUUUUGAAAUAAAUUAUUUUAUUUAAAUAAAAGUAUUCGAAGUAGUUUUUAAAAUAUAAAUACCCAAUUUAUUUAAUAAAAAAAAACUAUAUUAAGGCGUGCGAAGGCGUAUCCAAUCGGCUUGACGCUCAACCCUCCUAACCACAAAAAAUGCAGGUAUAAAAAAAAUUCAAUAGAGCACAUGUUAAAAAGAUGCUAUUUUUUAUUUUUUUUAUUUUUUGGGUAUAAUGGGGUUCGUAACAAGAGAUAAGGAUGGACAAAGUGGGGAUAGACAACCCCAUACAUUUCAUGCGUGAAAAAAGGGAGCAAAUUAGUAGGGGAUCAUUGAAAUGGUGACAUCCCAAUGGUAGAAAGUAGAGACAGAGCAUAAUUAGCUAAGAAAUCUGUGGUAUACACAUGAUUGACGGUGAUGUUAUAGUGUCGAUUCAUUAACAUAAGCUCAGGAACAAUUAAAGAUGUUAUUUUUUAACAUAAGCUCUGGAAUAAAAAUUAAAAAAAAAAAAACCACAUUUAAGAUUUAAAACACAAGUUGUCUUAAAUUAAUUCGAUUACAUGUGGCUAUUUGAAAUUAUUAAAAAUAAAUUCUAUUUUUCCCGCUUUCCCUAUCACUUUGCCAACGUGUUAUUUUCACAUUGGUGGAUCUAAUCUAAGUAGUGGCCUGAUUUGCAGCCUCGAAUUGAGCAUAUACAUUUUACUGAAUUCGACAAAAUCAAAAAUCGGGUGCUUACCAGGCAAUACAGACCAGCCACAAACUUUUAUUAGAUGAUUGCCACGUAGCGAAGAAUCAACGGUCAAUACCAGCUGGGAACUGACUAAGCCUGCGCUAUAAAGUCCACGCGGCAUGCAGAUACGGGCCGACCAAAAUGGACAGCAGACUCAAUCACCCCGGCCUCUGCUGGUCUCAUCUCUUCUCGUCGAACCAACCUCUUUUCUAGGAGGCUCUCAAACCGUCCCACGUGUCCUGACCACACAUAGAUUUGUGUGGUCACCAACCUCUGCCUUUAUCUCUCUCUAUUUCUAAGGACGUGUUUGGUCUCAUCUUCAAGGUGCAUUUCACAAUGAAACGAUGAAAAUAAAAUAUGUUAAUGGAUCAAUAACAUAUUAUGCUUAUUUAAUUUAAAUAUUUAAUUGAGAUAUUUACUGGUGGAUCACAUAUUAUUUAAGGAUAUUAAUUGAUUUUAUUAUUAAUUAUUAGUCUAUCACCACCUUAUAGAUCACACAUAAAAUCUUACAUCAGUUAAUAUCUUAAUUAAAUAUAUAAAGUGAAUAAAUAUAGUAAUUAAUCUAUCAUAAUUCUAUUCUACGAUUUAAUAAAAAUAUUCUCAUACAAAUCAUUUCAGCUGCUGUUAAAAUUAAAAAAAUUUGUCAAAACUUUUGGAAAUUAUAUUUUGCCAAUGUCAAGCUAAAUUACAUUAUAUUGAGAAGGAUAAAAGUUUUAGGCAAGUGAGAAUUGUUCUUUAUGACUUAUGCAAGUCAACAUUUAUCCGUUUAUACAUUGAUUUUGUUUGAAUAUAAACUCAAUUAAACGAUUAGGACAGGUUCAAUGCACUAGUUUCUCGUGCUUAAGACAUGUUCAAUAAAUAUAAAAGUAAAAUCAAUAUUUGGGGUUCAUUUUAAAUUUAUUUUUAUAUGGGUGAUGUAUCUUUUCACAAACGUGUAUAAGUAAAUAUAUUUAGAAUUUGGGGUAAAGAUCUUAUAUUUUUUUAUAUUGUAUAACACGUAUAAAGAUAUUACGUGUGAAUAUAAUACAUAUUAUAAUGUGCAUAUCAUAAAUUAAAAGAAAUAGUGAUGUUAUGUUUAUUUAAUAACAUAACAAUUCUAUGACUAAGUAAAAUUUCCUUACAUUUUCUUGGUAGCAUUUUGGUUCGAAUCAAAUCUAUCCGAAUCCGAUUUUUGAUGCCCAACCCUACAUGCAUGCCUUUAUUUUCAUAGGAAAAGUCAUAGCCACCUUGCAACAGCUCUUUCAAAUUUAAUGGUUUUGGUGCCAACUUUGGUGCUAAAGUCAAAAGUAAUAUAUUAUUAAUAAAGUGUUGGCUCUACUGGCAAUGUAGUCCCUUUAAGUGACUUGAUUGAGUUUGCUCCACAGUUCGAGUCGCAGGAAAAUCGCCUUUGUUGGGAGAACCUGUGCCUCUCGGUUCGAGGGGGACUUCUAAUCUGAAUUGUGGUACGGGCUUAAAAGUGCCUCCCACAGUUGGGACCCUCCCCAGAAUACCUCGUGGUCAAAACCAAAAAAAAAAAAGUCAAAAGUAAUAUAUUAAUUAAAUACCCAUUUUUUUUCAUAACAACCAAUUAGAGAAUUAUCAUAUUUGAAAAUAUAAUUUUACUUUAUAAAACCCAUCAAAAUGCCAAAACUAUUCUUAAUGUUUUUUCUUCUCUCAUCUUUUUCCUUCACUCUCUCUCUCUCUCUCUCUUUUUUAAUACAUAGAAAACUCUUAACAUCAAAAGAAAAAAAAAAUCUCUUGUACUAUUAUUAUACUCUUAUAUUAACUUGUUACAAUUCUUUCGUUAUUUACGCACAAGAAAAAUUCACUUCUUCAAUCUAUAGUCCUUUUACAUACGUGUAGUUUUUAUUAGAUCUAUACUUUAUAGAGAUUAAAAAUAAGGGGAAAUAAAUUAUUAAUUAGAUGGCGUGUUUGUGACAGAUUGCAGGUUUAAUUUUCGUUUAUUUCAUCAAAAAGAGCAUCAUUUUGAAUUGAGAAAUCAUGAUCUAGUUUGCUUUUUGACAGCCGAAUUAUGAAAUGAAGAAGAAGGUAGAUUGCUUUUUUGCUUGUGGUGGCAAUAAUUUAUUUUUGACGGUGAUAAUAAUCCAGCAAAAAGUCGAUGUAGUCGCAGACAAGAUGAAGUAGACACUUUUUCUCUUUGAAAGUAACCCAUUUUCACUUUUUUUUUUCCCGCAAUCCAAAAUAGUAGAUUGGAAAUCUAUUAUUUUCACUUUAUUGCAAUCCAAAAUGGUAGACGGAUAAUCUUUUGAAUAAUAGAUUGGUAGUCUAUUAUUUUCACUUCCACCUCCGGCAUAUUUCUAGAUGUUGUAACCAUGUGGUUGAUGUAUUGGCGAAAUUUACUCUUCAAGAUUCUAAAUUCUUAGUAUAUUUGGAGGAUUAUCCCAAUUUUUUAGAAUGUUAUCUUUAAGUUGAUUUCUGAAAUAAAAUACUCACUUUUAUUAAAAAAAAAAUGGUAGACAAGUAGUCCAGCAAAAGCCUUAAAAUGUCCUUUGCUUUACUCAAAAUUAUUAUUUUUUUAAAUUAUAUAUUUAAUCAUUAUUAAAUAAAAGACUUUUUAAGUUAUUAAGUUAAGAGAUAAAUUAAAAGAUAAGUAAAACACAAACUCUAAUGCACAUUUUAUCACGUAGUAUAUUAAAGCACGUAUUUUCUUAUCUUUUGACUUAAUCUUUAGGUUACUAACUUAAUACACACACAUAUAUGGAAUAUAUUGAGAUUUCAUAUAUAAAUAUUUAUAAUACAAUCCAGAGAUAUAUUAAACAUUAAUUUUAAAAUAUACUUCAAAUACAUUGAGAGAAAUCUACCUUUAUUUAAAGAGAAUAAAGGGCCUUUUUUUGACUUAAUAACUCAAUUGACUCAAUUUUAAUUAGUUAAGUUAUUAAGUUUAUUUACUUUUUAACUUAAUAAAAAAUUUUAGCCAUUAAGUCAUUAAGUUAUUUUUUUAGCUUUUUACUUAUUCUAAGAGGUCUGAAUAAUAUUACUAACGAUAUUUUCCAAAGUGUCAUAUCUAAUUAAUUAAUUUUCAUUCUUACCUAAAUAAAAUUUUAUAAUUAGCAUUAUUACCCAUCUUUAUAUAACUUGUGAUAAUAUAUAGUGGUAAACUAUUAUUAUUUUUAUCUUUUUUAUUUUCUUCAAAUUAGCAUUAUUUAUUUUUAUAAAUUUUUAUAAAUAUUUUUCAUGUAAAAACAUCAUAAACUAUAAUAAAAUUGAUUAACAUAUAUAAUAUAGAAUAUUAAAGAGUUGUAUUGAAUUGAAUAUGAUUUACGUUUUGGUAAUAUAUUAUCUUAUUUAUAUUUUUUGAGAUGUUUAUUAUUUAUUUAACAUUUAUAAUUUGUAAGGGUAUAAAUGUAAAAAUCUUAGUUUUCAAAUCUUUUGAAGUUAAAAAAAAACUUAAUAUUUAUUUUUAGCAGUUUAGACAAAAAAAAAAGUAUAUCAUUUAGAUUUGGAUAUUCAACUCUAUUUAGAAUUUAAAUUAAAUCAAGUUAUUCAAAUUUUAGAUUAAAAAAAUAAACACCACCAGAGCCUAAGAGUAAGAUUCAAAUUCAUUCCAAAGAGAAAUUUAUAAUAAGAGGAAGAAUAUUGUAGAUAUAAGCUCAUUCUGUUAACACUUAACAACCCAAAAGAUACCCCAAAUACAAACAGCAAGUACAAGCUUCUUUGAAAUCUUUUGAAUUUCUUUGAAUUUUUUUUAUUUUAAAUGAGUUUUACCAAAUUACACUCAACCAGUCAGAAAAUACCAAAUGAGAACACAAACGGGUAGGGAAGGUAUUUGAUAAUAUGGAAAUACAAUGUAAGUGAGAAGACAUUAAACCUCAGGGAAAGUAUCUAAAAAUUACCUCAUUUCACUUUCCACUUUUCAAUUCACACUUAUAUAGAAUUAAAAAAAAAAGGAAAAGCAAAGAAAAGAAAAGUUAAGCGACGAAGUCGAUAUCAAUUUGUGAAGCAUGACUCGGACCUUGCUACCAAAGCUCAUUCAUUUUUCAUGCUCUCGGAAGUUACCAGAUCUGUGAGUUGCUCUCCUUUCGGUAUGUGACUUUUGCUUCCUAUAUCACUUGCAGUUCAACUUUUUUUUUUCUUUUUUCCUUUCUGAGAACUAAAGAUUUGAUAGAGAGCAAGAAUUUAUAUGAGAUGUUAAUUAGCUAAAUCCGAUGUUGUUUUCAUCUGAUGUUUAUUUAUAUUGCUAGAUGCAGCUUUUAAUUUUCUCCAAACUUGUGUGACUCCCUAACUGGAGCUUUCUGCAGUAAUUGAGGUAAACGAAGAAGGUAUGAGACAUCGUUUCAUAGGCUCUUAAUUUGAUGUUUGUUUCAAUUCCAAUAUAUUAUGUUAAUUGGCUAGAUCCGAUAUAUAUAUAUAUAUAUAUAUAUAUAUAUAUAUAUAUAUAUAUAUAUAUAAUCAGUAUUAAAUAAAAGAUAUCUUAAAUUAUUAAAUUAAGAGGUAAAAUAAAAAAUAAAUAAAUUAUUCACUUCAAUAUAUUAUAUUUUACUAUGUAAUAUGUUAAAACACAUAUUUUUCUUAAUUUUAAUUUAUUUUUAACUUAAUAACUUUAAAGAUCUCUUGUUAGAACAUUACAAUAUAUAUAUAUGUAUUUCUUUUUGUGUGUUAUGAAAUCUGUUGAGAUUUUAAUAAAAAUGUUUAUAAUAUAAUUAAGAGAUUUGUUGAACAUUAAUUAUAAAAUAUACCUAAAAUUUGUGUAGAGAAAUCUACUUUCAUUUAAAAAGAAUGAGUUUAAUAAGAAUGAGAUUUAAAUUCAUUCUAAAGAAAAUUAUAUAAAAGAAAAGUGAAAAUCUUAUAUUUAAUUAAACUCAUCCUCUCAACAACCCGAAAGAUACCCAAAUGCAAGCAGUUUGGACACAAAACUUGUUAUUUUUUUUUUAAAUUUUAAAUCAGUUUUACCAAAUUACCCCUUAUGACAUGAUAGAUGAUAAGGCUUAUUAAUUUUUUUUAAAUUUUAAAUCAGUUUUACCAAAUUACCCCUCAUGAUAGAUGAUAAGGCAUGUGUAUCAUUUUCACUUUCCACCUUUCAAUUCUCACUGAUAUAUCAUUUCAGACCUUUAUACCAAAGUUCAAUCAUUUUUCAUGCUCUUGAAGUCACCAGAUCUGUCAUCCGUGAACUAGCGACUCUCAUUUCGGUACGUUACUUCUGAGAACAAGGAGUUAUAUAUGAUGUUAAUUAGCUAGAUAUAUGCGAUGUUGUUUUGAUCUGAUGUUUAUUUAUAUUGCUGGAUGCAGCUUUUAAUUUUCUCCGAACUUGUAUGACUCUCUAACCGGAGCUUCCAGGAGUAAUUGAGGAUAUAUAAGGAAGAAGGUAUGCUAUAUUAUUGUUUCACAGGCUCUUAACUUGAUGUUUGUUUUAUGCCAAUUUUGCACGUUGGAUUAAAAAUAUACAGAUAAAAUGGUCGAUAAUUUUUAAGUUCUAAAUAUUUUAUGGUGCGUUUAUUUUAUGGGAAUAGAAAUAGGCUCACGGAAAUGAAAAUAGGCUAAUGGAAAUAGGCUGAAAUGAGAAUGAGAUAAUGAGAAUAAUAUUUUAAUAUUUAUUUAGCAAAAAUAAAUUAGAAUGGGAAUGUGCUGGAAUGCCAUUAAUGUGUUUACUUGGCAAAAUAAAUGAAAAUAAGGAAUGAAAAUAAGAAUUAAUUUAUUAAAAUAUUUAUAGUAUUAAUAAUUAAUAAAAAUAAUUAAUUUAUCAUUAUUAACAAUAUUAUUAUUAUUUUUAUUAUUAAUAAAAAUAAUAUUAAUAAUAACUAAAAUAAUAAAAUAAAUAAAAUUUAAUAAUAAUAAUAUUAUUUAUUAUUAUCAAUAUUAUUAUUAUUAAAUUUUAUUAAUAUUAUUAUUUUAAUUAUUGUUAUUAUUAUUAUUAUUAACAUUUAUUAUUAUUAAAUUUUAUUUAUUUUAUUAUUAAUUAUUGUUAAUAGUAUUUUUAUUAAUUCUUAAGUCAAAGAUGGUUGGUUAGAGUCAAUCACCUCCAAGUCAGUAUUGUUGACCAUACUUUAAAAAUAAAAUUAAUUUUUCCUUGAAAUUUUUUCAUGAGUGCACGUGCAUAGGAUGUUGAAGCCGUCUAAUCUCUAAGGUCCCGUUUGGGAUUACUUUUGGGAGGGUUAAAAAUGAUUUUAAAAAUUUAAAGUUAAUUUUGGUGUUUGGUAAAAAAAAAUCAAAACCACUUUUGCCAUAAUCAGCUCCUCCUAUAGCUAAUUUUGAAAAACAGGGAAGGAGUAACUUUUAGAUUCUGAUUUUGAGAAUCAAUUUUAUCAUUUAAUAUAAUUCCAUAAAUAUCCUUAUAAUUAUUACUUAAACCCGAAAUUAUCCUUAUUUAAAUUGGAAACAAAAUCAAUAUUUUAAUAAUUUUUUAUUAUAAUUAACGCACACCUUUCGUUUACCAUAUUUCUUCAUAGUUUGUAUAACUAAAUAUACAAGGCACAAAGUUAUAAAAAAUGCUAUGUUUAUGCUGCUUGGCAAGAAGUUAAUAUGCCAAUUCCACAUUUUUAUAAAAAAAAAAAUUUAUUUGAUUCAACGAGAUAUUGUACGUGUACAUUUUUAUAUGUAUAAGUAAAUUUCAUCUUACAUUAUGUACAUUUUAGUCAUUUAUUUUUUUACAGCAGUUUAACAAUAAAAUUUACCAAACAUCCAUAACUGCUUUCAAAAUUUACAGUACUUUUAAAAAUAAAAUUUACCAAACACUUAACUUAUUCUCUUCACAGCUGAUUAUUUCAACAACACGGCUAACAGUAAUUAUUUUAAAAGCUGCAGCAUUACCAAACUAGCCCUAAUACUCUUUUCAACUGUUAUUAUGGGUGGCUUUUCAGUUUUCAUCACUCUUUCCAUAUUCCCUCAUGAAACUACCUGUCUUCACUCACAAUUCACAACGAGCUCAUCGAAAAAAUAAAUAAAUAUGGGGCGGACAAAGUUCAAAUUUAUUUUUUUGACCCUUACCUCCUCCCAGUCUUGAACCCACUACGCGAAAACCACCCCCUCGCAACGAACGCUGAGGCUUAUAUAAAUUCUAUUCAAUUUGAUGCUUGAUAUUUUUGUUUAAAAAUUUCUAAAGUAAUCUAAUUUCAAUAUAAUCCACCAUAUAGCACGUUUACCUUGCUUCUUCUCUUCUGUUUUGCAGCUAAAGUCUACUUAAAGCUCGGUGCUUGCAUUAUUUUGUUCUUAUUGAUCAAAGUUGGCGCUAAUAAACAGAAAAAAGUAAUUAAACGUUCUCCUUCGAUCUUGUGAUCAAGCCUCGUUGUUUUGCUUAUAGCGUACUGAGAUCAACUUUGUUAAUUGCAGAUAAAUAGCAGGUAUUGCAUCAAAGCUUGGAGAAUUAUUGGUGGAUGCUACCGUAAAACAAGCUCGCUAUCUGUUCUGUUUCAACAGCAUUGUUAAAGAACUUGAGGAUAAAGAAACUAAUUUGAAGGAGGCACAAGAUGGCAUCAAUGAAAGAGUAGAACAAGAACGACAAAUACACCGCGCCAUUGACAUUGAGAAAGAUGUAGAGAAGUGGCUGGCGGAUGUAGUCAAAGAAAUGGCCGAUGUCCAAACGUUGAAAGCAAAGAUAGCUGAAAAGAAGAGUUGUCUUAAUGGAUGGUGUCCUAAUUGGGGUUGCCAAUAUUGGAUGGGUAGAAAAGCAUCAAAGGAGACUAGCAAGUUGUCUAAUCUACAUGACCGCGGCAAAUUCAACACGGUUGCCCGUCCUAAACCUCUUCCAUCAGACAAAGAAAUUCCUAUUCCAAGAUUUGUUUCUUCUUUUGAGACUACACAAUUGACUUGCAAUCUGAUUAUUGAAGCACUGAAAAAAGACAGCACAAAAAUGGUGGGAUUGCAUGGUCUCGGUGGAGUAGGAAAGACAACCCUGGCAAAAUUUGUUGGCAAUCAACUUCGGCAAGAAAAGAUUUUCGAUGAGGUGGGGAUUGCCACUGUAUCUCAGGAUCCAAACAUAAUAAAUGUUCAAAGUGAGCUGGUAAAGUCGUUAGGUUGGGCGUUAGAUGAGGAUGGUGAAAAAAAGAGAGCAGACCGAUUGCGCAUGAUGUUCUCUGAGAGUAAAGGCCGCAAGAUACUCAUAAUCCUUGAUGAUGUCUGGAAAGAGCUCGACUUGGCGAUAGUAGGUAUUCCCGCCAAUUGCUGCAAAAUCCUUCUAACUACUCGCUUGCAGCAAGUUUGUGAUCGCAUGGGUUGUGACACGCGGAUUAAACUAGAUGCUCUAGACCAAGCAGAAGGAUUGGAUUUACUAAGAAAGCAUGCCGGCAUUGACGUUGCUCAUAAAACCUUGACUGAUGUUUCAAAACGAGUUGCUGAUGAAUGUAAGGGGCUGCCUUUAGCUAUUAAAGCUGUUGGAAGUGCACUAAGAGGAAGAACCGCUGAUGAAUGGAAUGUAGCACUGGAUAAACUACAAAAUGCAAAACUCGAUAAGAUAGAAGGUAUUGAUAAGGAUUCCCAGGGCGUUUACGGUUGUCUCAAAUUUAGUUAUGAUUAUUUGAAUGGUGAGGAUUCCAGGUCAUGCUUCUUGUUGUGUUCGCUGUUUCCAGAAGAUUAUAAGAUAGAUUUGGAGGAUUUGCUUGGAUAUGCAGUGGGGUUGGUUUGGUAUCAAGCUGAAUCAAUCGAAAAAGCCAGAAGCCUACUGCGUGGAACGAUCAAAGGACUCAAAGAUUCUUCAUUGCUGUUAGACACUGAUGAUGACAGAUUUGUGAAAAUGCAUGACGUAGUUCGCGAUGUAGCCAUAUGGAUAGGCUCAGAGGAGAAGAAAUUUUUUACUAGGAAAGGUAGCAUUGGAUUGGCGGAACGGGCAAGGGAAGAAGGCCUAGAACAAUACGGAGGAAUCUCUUUGGUGGGAAAUGGAAAAGAAGAGCUUCCUAGUGGUUUGGAAUGCCCUAGCCUUCAUAUUUUGCGAUUGGAGAAUACUGAAUAUGACAACAAAUUGCAAGUUCCAGAACAUUUUUUUAAAGAGAUGUCAGCAUUGAAAGUUGUCACUAUAAUAGGUGGAGUUCUUUCACUUAAAUCACUUCAAUUCCUCGCCAAUAAACUUCGAGUUCUGCAGUUGAUUCGAUGUGAGGUGACUGACGCGUCUUUCCUUGGAAAGUUAAGGACACUUCAAAUACUUUAUCUCGAGAAGUCUCCCAUUGAAAUUCCAGAUGAAUUUGGGGAUGAGCUUAGUAGAUUGAAACUUCUGUAUAUUGCUACUGCCUCUAUUUCUCCCAUUACGAUAAAUAAAUUUCCUCAAUUAGAAGAAUUUUAUGGUGUGAUAAAAAAUUGGGAGGUUGAAGGGAUGAGUUCAGAAGAAAGUUACGCUGGGCAUGCUGAGUUGAAGUCCCAACCCGACGGAUCCGUUGUAUGUCUUCCAAAAGACUUUUCAUUUCAGAAAUUACAAAGGUAUCGCAUCAGUGAAGUUGACAGCUUUGGUUAUGAAAUUGAUCGAGGGACAAGGUACUUAUCCAUUGAGAAGAACCAUCCUAAAGCGACGCUAGUUAUUUUUUCAGCAUUGUAUCCAGAAUUGGAAAAUCUUUAUCUAAAGAGGGUAAGAUGUUGUCAUAAUAUUGUGCCAAGCAUAGAUGAAAGGGGAUUAAAUGAGUUGACUGUUCUUGACGUCACCGAUUGUAAAGAUUUAGAAUGCAUAAUGGAUGCCUCUAAGUCGCCGCAUGGAAAGAGUGGGAAUCCUGUGAUGCUCUCAAGAUUAGCAAAGUUGUAUAUGUCAGAAUUACCAGAACUGAAGUGGAUAUGGAAGGCGCCCGCCCAACAUGUGAUCAGCCUCCAAUCUCUUACAGAAUUGAGUGUGUCAGAGUGCAACAACUUGACUUAUAUCUUCACGUUGUCACAAGCUCGAAGUUUGGUGCAGCUUAAAAGUCUGGAAGUGAGUUACUGCAAGAGACUGGAAUGUAUCGUCGAAGCAAAAUUUGAUCAUAAUGAAAGGGAAAUAAGUGUAGGAGAUGGAAAUACAAUAUUUGCGCUCCCUUCGUUGAUAAAAUUAAGAUUUAAAGAUCUCCCCGAACUCAUCAGCUUCUGUUCAGAAAAUUAUUAUUCAACUUGGCAGGCAUUGGAGGUGUUAGACCUAAGCAGCUGUCCUAAAUUGACCGUCAACAGUACUGAACUUGAAGCCAAUUUGCAGUAUCUUGGAGAGGUAUGUUCGCUUGUGUUUACGUUUUUUUUUCUUUCUUUUACUUUAAUUUUACUCAAAAAGAUAGUUUAUCAAAAACUUUUGUGAUCAGUCAUUCAUAUCACCUUGCAUUUGGCCGUGUUGAGAUGAAUAUGAAUCAUGGUGGUGGUAAUGGUGAUGAUGACAAUAAUAAUGAUCCAGAAUCUUGAGUAAAUUUCUUUAUUUUACGACCUAAAAUUCAUUCUUCAAAUAAAAGUCGUAUCUUGUUUUACUUUAUAAAAAAACUGGAUGCAAGCACUUGUAAAGUAUAUAUAUUAUUAGUCCAAUUCAAUUCAUUAGUUAAUUUAACCAUAGAGAUAGAAUACUAAUUUUUCUCAAACAAACAGAUGUCACUGCUAUAUCACUUCACAUGAUCUCUUUCAACGAAUUUCUUUUUUUUUUUAUAAAUUCCUUACUUUCACAGAGUAUAAUUAUUUUAUAAGUUUACAUGUGUAGUAUUAUAUUUUUGUGUGGAUUUUUUUAAGUAUUUGUCGCUUAAUUGUCAAUUUGACAAUCCUAGCCGCUAACAAAUUUCAAUUACAUCAAGUUAUUUAUUUAUUUGUCUCAGAAAUUACGAAUUCUACAAGUAGGCAAAUGCACCCAUUUGCGAGACACAAUUGACGCUCUGUUGAAGCAUGGCUUUAAAAAUUUGGAAGAAUUGGGGAUUGAAGAACUUGGAGUACAUGUGGCAUUUCAAGUGGAAGCUAUUAUCGCUGAGGGACAAGAAAACAAACUAUUCCCAUGUUUGAAGACGUUGUGGUUGGAAAACCUUCGAGAACUGCAAGUAUUAUUAUAUCAUGAAGGUCCCGCGCAUAAUUUUAGCUUGCAAAAUCUUACCGAAUUAACUGUAAUGGGGUGCACUAAGCUGAGACGUCUCCUCUCAUCAACACUUGCUCGAAAUCUGUUGCAAUUGGAGGUGUUAGACGUUCGCGAUUGCUGGGAAUUAGAGCAAAUCAUUGAUGAGGAUCAGGAUCAGGAUCAUCUGCAACCUGUAUGUUUCCCAAAACUCACAAGGAUCGAUGUCAGUAGUUACCCCAAACUAAAGCAUCUAUUUCAUAUCAGUGUAGCUCCAAGUCUUCAAAAACUGGAGAACCUAUACAUAGGAUUUAAUGAUGAAUUAGAAGAAGUAUUCUGGCAUAAAGAUGGAGCAGACGUCACGGAUUACAAUGAAAUUGUUAUGAAUGAACUUCUAGACAUGAGACUGGUAGACUUACCAAACCUCACCAACUUUUGGCCUGCGGGUUAUCACAUCCCAUUUCCAUCUGCAUCCCAUAAAGCUGUUCGUAAUUGUCCCAAGCUUCGUGGAAAUUCAGAAGGAGAUAGAUGAUUCCAAGAAUUCUGGAGCACAGGUCAACUCUUGAGAACUUUAGUUAAUUGAUUCUAUACAUAGUUGGUUCAUGUUUUCGUUUGUGAUAGCUAAUUGAUCUAUCCUAAAAUCAAAAUUUCUCUUUCAAUAUAUAUAUAUGUGUUAUAUUAUAAUUUUCUCUGUUUGUUUUUUUUUAAAAUCAUUUUAUUCAUCAUUCAUUCGUAUUUAAUGCCCAAUUUAUUGGUUGGAUAUAUAGGCACAGCAAACCACAGACGAGGAGACGCCAAUGAAGACGCCAGCGAAGAAGAAGAAAAAGAUGGCAGCGAACAUAAAUGACUUUAAAAAAUUCCAAAAAUCCAAAAAAAAAAAAAGAUUUGUUCAGCGUGUUCAGUUCACCCAAGAAGCUAACAAGCUUUGUUCUAUACUUGCUCUGCAGAUGGAUGGUUAAUAUUUAGUCCGUGCUCAAAUUGUGAAGACUAAAUAUUAACAAGCUUUGUUCUAUACUUGCUCUCAAGAUUUGCUCAACUUCAAAAUUCACCUCUUCUGUUUGUGAUCAUUGUUUCUUCAAUUGUUGAAAUUUUGACAAAAUUGCUGGCUAAAUUGAUGGCCUUUUCGAUGGGCAUUAAUUGGGCUAAUUUAGUAGUAGCGCGCAUUUUCUAGACGGCGAAGAAAGUGUGUAAUGUUGUGACAGCAAUAAUUUUUAUUUUUUAAGUUUGCGAGAGUAUUGGAUAUUUUGGGAUUUUAGGAAGUGAGACUUCAUCAACUCAUAAAUGAGUGGCUACAAAUGUGUCUUUCGCGUUCUCUAGUACCCCGUACCUUUUGACUAGAGAUGGCAAAAGUCCGGGUCGGGUCCGGGUUUGGGGCUGCCCGGGACCGACCCGGAUAUCAAAUGUAGCUACCCGGACCCGCACCGUGCCUGGAAUUUUUCUAUGCGGGCCGGGCACGGGUUUUUUCCGGGUUUUCUCUACCCGAAUUUGAGUGGUGAAUGGUGAUGAAUUUGAGUGGUCAUAAUAUAUGAGACAAAAUCAGAAACGCACAUAUUACAUAUAGCUUCGAAAUUCACUGCAAACCCAACUUGCAAAAACCAUCAUUUCUCACAACACGCACAUAUUACAUAUAGCUUCGAAAUUCACUGCAAACCCAACUUGCAAAAACCAUCAUUUCUCACAACACACAAAAAUUAAAAGGCAAAUCACACGCCAAAAAAGAAUAAAUAAAAGGUGUCAAAACAAUUGUUUACUUCUAAAUUCUAACAAACCAUAACAGUCCAAAAUCAAAACAUCUUAACUAUAAGCAAACAUCUAAUGGAAUUAUCAAAAUUAAAAAAAGGAAAAAAUUCUAUAAUAAAUUAUUACAACAUCUUAACUAUUUCAAUUUCAAUCUACUUUAUAAAUUUAAGUAAAUAACAAAUAAAAAUCAUUUCAAUCUAUUAUCCACUACCUAAAUUUAUUCAAUUUCUAAACUAAAUUCAUUCAAUCCCUAUAAAAAAUUUAAAUUGAACAUCACAAUAAUCACCAAAUAAAUCUAAAUAAAUGUAGCAUACUAACACCCAACAUAUUACAUAAUACAUAUCAUAAUAACUCCAAUAUCAAUAACCAACAUAACAUAUAAAAAUCCCAAAAUAUCAAACACACAUAAUUCAUAAAAGAGUUUAAAAUAACAGAUUAUGUCAAACAGCUCGACGAUUGUGCCCCAUCAUCAUCAUCAUCAUCAUCUGAAAUUAACUCCUCCCCAGCAAAAAUCUCAUUUUCCGGAACUCCACCUAAUAACAAAAAUAACAGAUUAAGAUUUAAAAACAUUUUGAGCAAACAAAUAAUACGAUAACAUAAUUCAAAUAACUUUAUACCUCGAGAAGAAGCCCAAAUCCAAUUUUGAGCACACAUUAAGGAUUCCAAAGUGUUAGGAUUAAGUCUACUACGAUGCGGACUCAGAGGCAACAGUGGAUACAUGAAUGGCUAAGAUAUCCUUGGCCAACUCGCCAAAAAUAGGAUAUUGGCCUGUGUGCAUCUUCCAAAAAGCUAAAAUAUCAAAGUUCGGAAUAAUAUCCAAUAAUUCAUCAUCUAAAUACCUAUCCAACUCCGACUUAGUCACCUUAACACGCUUAUUUUGACUUCGAAAUAUUUCAAACUCAUCUACAUCCCAAUACUUAUUCGCAUUCGAAGAAGAUUCCAAAGGAACAUCAUCCAACCCAACAUCCUGCCUAUCACUCAAAACCAUAGCUUUCAUUUCAUAUUCUUUCACUAAAUCAUGACAAAGCUUAUGUGCAUGCUCAAUAUGCUCAUCCGCUGUAUCACCAUAGAUCUUUGGGAAAUAAAAAUCAAUCAACAACAUCUUAUAUCUCGGAUCAAGAACUACAGCCACAACUAACAUCGGAUGAAUUUCAUUCCAAUAUUUUUCAAAUUUAUCAACCAUUUUAUCAGCCAUAAUUCUAAUAGCAAGAUUAUCGGAAGUGCGCCACCCAUUAAUCGACAUUUUCAUUUUACAUAUUAACGGAAAGAACAAAUUAGCAGUAGGGUAUUUUGUACCCGAAAACAUCUCCGUUAACAUGUAAAAUGAUUUCAAAUGCUCCACCAUUGUGGCUGCCAAAUCACACUCACUAUCACUAGGCAAGCUCUUAUAUUGAGACUCACGCUGUUGUAGCCGAGAAAAAACACUUUUAUACAUUAGUGCUACAUCAAGCAUGGCAUAAGUAGAAUUCCAACGAGUUGGACAAUCUAACUUCAAACUUUUUUUACAAUUAAUUUUCAGUUGCCUAGCAGCUAGCUCAAAAGAUUCAAAUCGUUUUGGUGUUUGUGUCCAGUAACUAACACUCUCCCUAAUCUUUCCAACCCCGUUUUCUAUAACUUUCAACCCAUCCCGCACAACCAAAUUCAGUAUAUGAGCAGUACAUCUCAUAUGAAAAAUUUACCAUUGGAAAUUAAGGUACCGAGAUCAAACCUUAAUAACAAUUUCUCCACCAUCGCGUCAUUAGUGCUACAAUUAUCCAAGGUCAUUGAAGACAACUUUCUAUCCACGUUCCAAUCCAACAAACAUUGCACCAACUCAUUAGAAAGGGCCUCAGCAGUAUGAGGGCUCGGAACAUAAAUAAACCUAACAAAUAUUCAAGUGAUAAUAUUAAAUACACAAACUUAAAAUAUUAUAACAAUUUAAACUUAAAAGAAAUCAAAUAUAAGUAAUAAAAAAUUGAAAGAAAAAUUAAGCAAAUAAAAAGUUAUAGACAAAUUAGAAAUUACCUUAAAAUUCGGUUAUGCAAUUUCCAAGAGUUGUCAAUAAAAUGUGCUGUGACAACCAUGUAUCCUUUUUUCUGGUUACUUGCUAUCCAUAAAUCCGUAGUAAUAGCCACUCUACCUUGAUUUUUCUCCAACAUAUGCAAAGUCUUAAUCUUCUCAAUAUGAUAAAGUUUCGAAAUCUCACUCUUUAAUGUAUUUCUACUCAUUGGCUUAACCACGGGGUUGGUAUGUGCCAUCAUUUCUCUAAAGCCUUUAUAUUCCACAAAUUUAAGUGGAAGCUCAUGCAUCACCACCAUCCUUGCGAUCAAACUCCGCAAAACUUUUGGAUUAAAACUAUCAAAGCCAAUGUCACAACUCCCAUCCUCUCUUUUGAGCACUUUGAGACUUCCUUGAAGUGCUUCUUGUAUUUUCGGUUGACUCCUCGAAAAACAAGAUUUCACGUGCCUAUUCAAGCUCGUGGUCCCUAAUGUGUAUUUGGCUUCUAAAAAUGCAUUACAGUGCAUGCACUUUGCCUUUUUUUCUCCAUUAAUAGUUACUUUUGUAAAGUGAUCCCAAGCUGUAGAGACUUUCUUUCCCUUUUUAUCUUUAAGAGUUGACAGUGAAAUCUCCUCAACCUCAUUAUCAUUGCUAUCUUCAAAAUUCCGAGAUAAAUUUGGAGCAUUUGACGAAUUAAUUUCUAUAUUGUCUGACUGUGACUGUGACUGUGACAUCGCACUGCUGUUUAUUAUAAAAAAAAAUAAUGAAUAAUUAUAAAUAAUCAUGCAAAUUACAUAGUUAUAAUAUUAUAUAACAAAAUUAACUUACAAGCAACCUAAAUUAACUUACAACCAACCUAAGCAACCUAAUAAAGCAAAGAAGAAAGACCAGACAGAUAAAUAAAUAAACAACUGAGAAAUUUCUGGAGCAAUUGCAUGAACAUGACCACAAUACAAAGAAAAUUAACAGGUUUAAUUAAUUAAUAGACUGAAGCAAGUAUUUUGUCACUGUCUGAUUAUAAUUAGAAAAUAUUGUAUAGUUUUAAAUUUGUGUUUUAAAAUAUAUAUACAUGCCUGCACAGAUAUCAAACUUAUCUCAUUCUCAACUAAGCAAACUUGUUAGUUUGGUAACAAUCAUGCUUAUUUCGCCACUAGGCCGUAGUUGAGUGGUGAAUCCAUGUCUUUAUACUAGUGAAGGUAUAUAAGGUAAGGAUUAAAAAAGAAAAAAGAAAAAAAACAAUAAACACCAUUUGAAUAUUCCCCUGGUCACAAGUCUUUUGGUUGCGAUUGCAUUGUACUUUAGUCCCAGUAGCUGAAAUUUCCCACUUUACAGAAAUUCUUAAUGUGAGCCAAUUCUUUUUUAGUUUUUAGAUGGCCCCUGGUGCAUAAUCACAAAUAUGCAGAAGAGAUACUUGCCAGUACUACUCACUUUGCAAGCUUACGAAAUGAACAUAUAUAAUUUAUGUUAUCACAAUAUUAAAGUAAUUAUCACUACAGCUCAUGAUCACCACAUACAAGUUACUUAUCAUUUCUUAAAAGUGCUGCUCACACAGGAAAUAGUGUUCCAUUUGAGGUUCAUAGCCUCUUUGGUUCAAGUCUAGCUAGCUGCAACUUAAACAGGAAUUAAUGCCAGAAAUUGUUCAAUUGAUCAGCUGUAAAUUGUGAACUAUGAGCUAUAUCAAAACGAUUGCAGUUUGCAGAUAAAUGAGAUCAAACGUAUUCCAAACGAAACACCCAUAUGAAAUAGAAAAACUACUACAACAGCAUAAUGAGGGUGUUUAACAUUAGCUCUUUCUUAUUAUGUUCUGUGCAGCCAUUAACAACGUAAACACUUCCAGCAUCCAAGAAAAUAAUUAAGCACAUAUUGAAAGCAAUUUCAUCAUUUUUUUUUGAAAAAACAGCCAAAAAAAAAAUUACCUCGUGGGUCGUGGCUGUGGGUUGCAGGCUUGCAGCUGAUAUGGUGACAAAACAAUGGAGUGAGAGUGUGAGACCAACUAUGGUGGCGAACGCCGUCGCACGGUGGCUGCCGCUGAGAAGCUAACCAAACAGUGAAGAGCUCUUUGACGGACUGACGAGUGACGACUGUGCUUUGCGGUUCGUGGAGGGAGAGGCGCGGUCACUGUCAAUACUGCAUCGCCAUCGGUGAAGGAUAGGUGGUGGCUGCUGGUAAUGGUGGAGAGACGAAGGGAGGAGGUGCCGAUUCUGAUUUCUGAGACUUGUCUCGAAUUCGCGAUUUAGGGUUGGUUGGCCGGUUGGGUUUGGGGGAAAUUGGGUAAAGGAAAAAUGCAAUUUUCGUUUUAUAUUUUCCUCUUUUUUUUUUACUUAAUAAAAAAGCGGGCACGGGUCCGGGUUCCGGGUAUUUGGUGCUGUGACCCGACCCGUGCCCGGAAACUGCCGGGCAUUGAAAAUCAAUGCCCGGAUCCGCUUUUUUCAUGCAUGCGGGCCGGGUUUUACCCGGACCGCGUGUGCCGGGUCCGGUCCGGAUCCGGUCCGGGCGGGCUUUUCUGCCAUCUCUACUUUUGACAGCCACGCAUUCUUCUUGGCUCGUGGAAACUGGAAACUCAUUUUCUCAAAUAAGACUUUGCUUUUAUGCUACAAGCCUACAAGUGCUUUUAAUAAUUAUUUUGUUAGGAGAAUCGGUGCCUGCUUUGGAGCCCAACCCAUCAAGAAAUAUUAGUGAAAUUUUUUUUAUUAUUUAGUGUAAUGGCAAACCAAUUUUCUUUUCAAAUUCUAAAUCUUUUGUAUUUAUAUCAAAAAAUUUUAUUAUCUCUAUUAUAUGGCACCCACAUAGUAAUUAGUGAAUAUAUAAUGACAACUGGAAAUCAUGGCUAGUUUUAGAAUAUUGAACAAGGUUACUAUUUAUAUAUAGAUAAUUGUUCAGAACAUAAGGCAUGUAAUUUUUUUUAUUUUUCAAAUUAAUAAAUAGAUAAAUAAGAAUUGAGGUGCCGAAUUCUUAAUUAAUUAGUUGUUCCAGUCUUGAAUAUCCAUUAAUGUUAAUGUGGAAUGUGCAUUUGAAAGAGCAUUUUGUAAAAUGAUUUUACUAAGCUAGGUUUUUUUUUAAUGAUAUUUAAGUUCAUUUUUUCUAUUUUUUUCUCAAAGCAUUUCAAUCAUUUUUCGUUUCACAAAUCAUUCAAUUAUGGAUAGGGUUAUUUACACUCUAAAUAUUACUUUAAACAUUCCACUACUCUACACACUCAUACAUAAUUUAUAGAAAAAUUAUGUUUUACUUUAUAUACUCUUUCAAAUUCAAAAAAUAUCAUAUCUUAAACUAUUUAAGUUACUCAAACUUUAUUUCAUAAAUAGUACAAUGAUAACAUGAUAAUAUUUCAUAAAUAGUGCCCAAAAAAAAAGAUAAAGAAGGAGAUGAAGAAGACAAAGAGAUGAAGAAGAAGGGCCAAAGCAAAUAUAAAAAAUUUCUUUUAUAUUACUUUUGUUUUAUUUUAUUUUUAAAAAUAAAAAAUAAAAUACAUACUUUGGUCUAGCUGAGUAGCUGCUUGCUUCCUCGAGAUCACAUGCAUGUUUCACUAAUUUGCUUUUGUUGCUUCACUUGCCACCUCAUGCUUGACGCCUCUUUCUUUUUUGCUUUAUUCGUGAAUAUAUAUAUAUAUAUAUAUAUAUAAGGUUUAAAUACAAUGGAUACUACUUCAUUUUUCAUAUUUUUGGAGAAGCCGAAAUCAAAAGCAAAACAGAGAGAAGAAAAAGAAAUCGGGAGAAAGAAAGAAAAGGAAAGGAAAAGAGAAAGAAAAAGAAAAGAAGAAAAGAAAUAAAAGAAAACAGAGAAGCCAAGAGUGAAGAAAAAUAGAAAAAUGAAAGAAAAGUAGAAAGCAGAUUGAGAAGCCGAGAGUCAAAAAGAAGUUAGAAAAGAGAAAUUGAGAAGAAACUUUAAGAAAAUGAAACUAUGCAGUUAGAUUAAUAUUUAGUGAAUUAGUGAGCAAUAGAUAUAUAAAGUUUAAAUAGCUAUAUUACAGUUUUCAUGAUACAUAUCGGGUAUUUUAUUAAUUAUAAUAGUUAAUUUUUGAACCCUGUGUUUUAGGAGAAAUUCAUGUUUCCAGAAACCCACAAGAGCUUGAACGAACCCGACAGUAAACUAGACUCUGUGAAUGGAUACUAUUAUUACUAUUAUGCAUUUUAUGAAGCAUUUAUGUUUUAUAGUAUAAUUUAAUAUAUGUUAUAAUUAUAUGCACAAAUUUUAUAUAUUUGAUUGAUUCAUAAAAUGUAAUUGUCAAUCACCAUAUAUGUAUUCUUUCACAUCAGCUCUGUACAUGCAGAUUGAGAGUUAGGUUACUCUACCCGUAUAAUGUAGUUAAAUUCAGCUAGUAUUGAGAGGUUUUUCCCCUGCCUACUCGUGCGAUGACGAUUUUGGUGAGUAUUAAGAGUUAUUUUCUCUGAGUACUAUUUGUUGCAGUUUUUCCAUUUAUAUAUGUAUGAUUUUAUGUCAUACGAUUAUGUAUGAGCUCUAGUGCAUUACUUUAUAUAUAUAUAUAUAUAUAUAUAUAUAUAUAUAUAUAUAAUUAUAUUCACUCACUGAAUCGUAAACUCACUAUUCUCCUAUUUAUCUCAUUUUUCCUAGGUCUUGGUUGGAUUUCAUGCAAUUCGAUUUUUAAUCAAUUGAGGUUAUGCCAUGACACACAUUGCUGCAUGACUUGCAUUUUGAGCACGUUUAUGUCCAUAUGUAUAUAUUUAAGAUAUAUGUGUAUAUAGUGAGUUUUAAAUUGUACGAAAUUUGAAUAUGUUUAUUAUAUGUUUAUAGAAAAGGCCAAUGCCAUUUUUAUAUAUCCAUGAAUUAGUUUAUGUCGUGAGUUUUAAAUAUUAAACCACGUGAUUCUCCUCGAAUCCGACAUAUGGGUCGGGCGGGUUGUGUCAUUCAUCCACCAUGAUUUUACAAUUUAUAUCAUUCAUCCAAAAUAUCUUUAAUUUCCAAUAGAAAAUUGACAAAACCAUAGCAAAUUGAUCAUUUUGCUCUUAAAAGCCAAUUUAACGUAAAAAGACAAAGGAAAAUUAUCAACCACAUACUUUUAGUUUACCCUGUUAUUGAAAACACUUAAAAGUUUGAAUUUAUUUAAUUUUUUACUCUAAAUUUAUAAUUGAUAUCAACUACCCACAAAAAAUGUUAACACUGUUAGAAUAUUUUAUAGAAUUUAAAUAAAGGUCAUUUUAUCCUUGGAUUCAAGGGCAUUUUUCAAUUUGCACCAUAAAUAAUAAAAUAAAAUCAAGCUUUUUAUAACUAUUAAAUUGAAUUUGAGGAUUCGAUUGAUUGGGUGCUUAUCAAUUAGGGUUUAGAGUAAUUAGUGGAUUUAGUUUGAUUAUGUGAAUUUUUGAAGAUAAAUUUAGAAAAUAAAUUAGAUUUUUUUUAAUUAAGAAAAAAUAGAGUUUUAAGUAUAUUUAAUUGAAUAUUGGUUAUAAAAAAUGGUUUUUUAUUUUGAUAUUGAAAGCUAUUAUUUUAUUUUUUAUUUAGCAUAUUAAAUGUUUAAAUUAUCCUUGUGACGUCAUUAAUUAUAAAUGGCAGAUGAUAUUUUGGUGGAUAGCUAACAAAUUAUAAACUCAAGUUGGAAAAUUGAACAAAUUCAGAUUUUGUAGUAAUUUUUAUAGCAUGGUAAACUUAAGUUGGAUGUCUGAUAAUUUCUCUUUUAUUUUUUAUCCAGUAUGUUGAAUGUCUGAAUUAUCCUUGUGGCGUCAUUACUUUUUUAGCAAAAGCGAAUGAUUUGGUGGAUGAAUGAUGCAACUUGUAAGUGUUGUAUUUUUAUGACAGUACAAUUCAAGGGUGGACGGUUAAUAAAUUCCCAAGUUUAUAAGUUCAUAAAAAUAGUUUUAACCAUUUUACUAUCUUUUUUUCUUUGAAUAGCUUUACAAAUGAACACAAUAAUAAACAUUACGUUUGGCACAUAUGUUAUUUUCUUCGAGUUUGCUCAUCAAUUCAAAGUGUUAUCGCACAAGUUACUUGUAAUAAGAUAUAAAUGCAACACUAAGUCAUAAAAGAGAUGAAUAAUUGAACCAAAAAAAAUUGAGAUCAUUUCCUUCUUUUAUGUUGAGGUUUCAAGCCAUCGCCAACAAGAAACCACACGGUUAUAUCAAAGAACAAGCUUAAUAACAAAACUAGAAAAAUCCUUUCACAGGAGGUUGACAUCACAGCCUUGUGAUUGACAAAGAUAGCUUCCCUCGUGCUGAGCUCGAGCUCAAAGCAUGGACUGAAGAUGGGCUCGUAAUGGCUGCCGGUCACAAGAAAUAUAAGCAUCUGCUUGGGAUUCAGUUUCAUCUGGACAGCAUUCUUACCAGCGAAGGCAAGACAAUUGUUCGCAAUUUUAUCAACAAUCAUUCAGAUAACGCCAAUUCAGUAUAACUAAUCUAAUAGUUAUAAGUAUUUAUUUAAACUUAUAAGUGUUUUUUAGAUUUUUUAUCAUUAUUUAGUUAUUUUUUAGUAGAACUUUUGAGAUUAAAUAAAUUAUUUUACCUCCACUAAUAAAAACUUAAAUUUUGAGCCAUUUUUUUAAAAGGUUAGAAUGUUUAAAAUAUUAUUUAUUUAUUAAAUAAAUUAUUUUAUUUUUUCAUAACAUAACUUUAAAAAAUUAUUAAUUAAAGUAAUUUUUUAAUUUUUAAUAAAAACUACCAAGGAGAAUCAAAUAACUACAAUUUAUUUUUAAAAGAAAUAUACUAAUAAAAAUAUUACUUAAAUAAACUUUGUUUUAAAAAAAAUACUAAAUAGAACCUUAGGCUAAAAAAACUUAUUUUAAGCCCAGCUAAAUAGAACAAGCCAGAUAUUGAACAGCUCCUGUUUUGGCGCCAAUAUUGGUAUGGAUCAAUGCUUACACUAUUAACUAAGGAUUAUUUUGCAACAAUACUAAUUAAUCCCUUACAUAUAACGAGUCAUAUUCAUGUCUGGAUGCUUGGAUUUAAUAAAUUCAAAUUAUUAGAAUCAGAGUUAUACAGCACCUGAUUCUAGUUCUUGAUUUUGUAAAAUCACGACGUCCGAACCUAGGCAUCCUUUUGCUUGUAAUAACGAAAAAUUGCAUUCGUUGUAUUGUAAUUAUAGGGUUUUGGUCGCUGUUUUCACAGUUGGUGAGAGGGUGGGCGAUACCUUUAUUUCAUGGUAUGUGUAUUUUUAUGAAUAACAAUACUAUUAGUACAACGUCACGUGACAGUAUUGCGCAUUAACUUGAAGGUAAUACUAAGUUAAUGGUUCAUAUAUCUUUGGUAUCCCAAAACAAAAGUAAUAAAUCUGCAUUAAUUCAUCAUCUUUUCAGUACUCUGUAAAAUUUCUGAUUCAAAUUAUUUAUAAAGUUUCAGCUUUUAAUAUCUUCUGGGGACAGAUUAUGUUAUAUAAUGUUUUAUUGCGGCCUUAUGUUGCAAAACAUGAGAAAGAAAUUGAUCUUAAUUUGUUAAAGAUGAGAAUUAAGGCCAGGGACAUAAGUCUUCUGUUUUGGGAGAAGGCUGCCAUUUAUGGGCAAGCAAGGUUUUUUGAGAUUUUGCAAUACUUCUCUUCUCUGUCUCACUCUGAUCAGGUAAUUGAACAACAUUUUGUAAUCUAUUUUGCUGUCAAUUUUCUCAUUAAGAGACAAAAAAUGUUUUGUUUUGGGAUUUAUGAAAAACGACAGAAAAGUAAGUGGAAAAAAAUAAAAGAAAUUAUAGUGAAUUUUCUUGUUAUAUUACAAUAUAUAGGAAGCAAGUUAAACUGUUUUUUAUUCUGCUGCAGCAGCAUCAACAAGCUACGGAAGAAGUUUUUUCAAACAUUAAUAUGAGGCUGCUGCUAAAAUGGAAACAGUGCCAGUAUCAUCAUCUUUCCAAGAUGGCAAUUUAAUUAAUUCCUUCAAUCAAAACGGAGUUUCCACUGAUCAAGCUAUCCCGCAAUCAAGAAGCAAAUGGACGUUGUUCAGGACUGCAGCAGCAAGCCAAUAAUAAAGCCCUUGUAUUUGUCUUGUGCCAUUAUGAAGAUGAUUUAUAUACGUAGAAGAUGCAAAUUGAACACCAAUUAAUAGUUAAUUAGUCUCCAUUGUUUGCUUGCUACCAAUUUUGUAUCAUAUCAAUCUCAUGGGACUAUUGAUUAACAAAAUAUAUAGUGCGUAGUAGUGACAGGGGACUUUCAGUUAGAAGAAAAUUGUAACAUGCAAUAGUCAAUAACACGUUUAAAUUGUAGCAUGUACUAACUUACCUAAAUUGUCUAUUCAUUUUUAUCCACGUGUAGAGAAUUAACUAAUCAACAAAUUAAUCUGUGACACGUUUUUGUAAUUGCAUGCCGAUCAUUUUUUAUAAGGUAAUUUAAUGCGCGAUACAACCAUUUUAGGCACGAGGUUCGGAAGUACUUCUCAUUGUUAUUAAUUAUGAAUUAGGAUCCCACUUUAUAUUGUUAUCUACUAAACUACUAAUCACUCAUAUGAAGAAGCGGCUCAAAUCUAAAGAAAAUCAUAAUCUAUUAAAUAAAUGACGAGUUAUCUUAAAGUUCAAUCUAAUUGAUUUUGCCAUCUAUAGUAGAAACAACCAGUCAAGUGCUCAAUUUUUAGAGGAUUAAAUUAUUUACACUGUAAAAAUUAUUCUGAACAUUUAUUAUUUCAUACAACCAUUCACUUAAUUUUAAAAAUUAAGAUUUUAUUUUUUUUUGCUUUUUUAAUUUGAGUAUAUCUUAAUUAAAUGAAAGUCUAAAUAGCUCUGAAUGUAUGUGCUUGAGGACAUAUUUGCUUUUUUAUGACUAAAUGUAAGUGUUAAAUUAUUUGUCUUAUAAGCACAAAAAAAAUGAAUUAUGAUAUUUUGACAUUUAUGUCCCUAUAAGUAUUAAUAUAUAUUUGAUAAGUUAAAGAUGGUAAGUAAAUUAAAAUCAUUUUAUUAUUAAUUAUAAAAUAUCUAUUUUUUUCAAUAUAUACAAUGUUACUGCUAAAAAAGGUACAAUGUUAAUUACAUUAUUUGUGUGUAUGAUAUGAUUUUUUUUUUCGUUUAAUCACACAAGUUGACAUAAAAUCAAUUAACAAUUUCAAGUAAAAUAGCAUUUUACAUAUAUUAUUAAUUGUAAAAGUUAAAAUAAUUAAGGAAUAAAAACAACGGCUACAUCCUAGCCCAUUAAUUUUUGUUAAAAGUUUUGUUCAAAAUGAUUGUUAUAAAAAAAUAGUUGUUAAAAAAAAAAGAGCCCGAGAUGAGUACACGACGUAACGGCAACUGAAAAGAGUAAAAUAUAAAUGAGUUAUGUUUGAUUAAAAAUAACGUAUUAAAUAGGAGUAUUUUUUAGCUAUUAUAAUUAUUUUCGUUCAAACUUUUUUUAAUUCAGAUAAAAGUUAAGUUGUUUAAUUUUGUCUAUUAAGUAGUAUAUUCUAGAAUUUAGAUAAAAUAUGAAAAACAAACUAGUAAACUUAAAAAAUGUCUCACUUCAUACAUUUAAAAAACAAGCUUUAACUUUUACUUUAUACACUUUUUAAAAUAUCUAAAAAAAUCCUUACUAAUUAAAUCAUUGUAGUUAAUUUGUAAAUAAAUUCUUUUUAACACAAUUUGAAUAUCCUCGAAUCGUAUCUUUUCUGCCUUAUGAUAUUAUUGUGUUAAAAAAAUUAAAUGGCUUCUGCUACGGAUGUUUUUCCCGCGCAUUUGGUUUAUUUUCCUUUAAAUUGUUGCAUCUUGCAACUCUUCAGCAACAGAGUUUACUUAUCUCGUUUUCAUUCGCUUGAAUCAAGAAACAAUUGUGUAAAAUUGUAAGAUUAAGUAAAUAAAUAAACUCGAACAUAAGUUUAGUUAUUAUUAUGAACCAGAAGUUUUAAGUAUAAGAAUUAUAAAUCAUUAUUACAUUAGUUAUAAUAGAUUAUUCAUUUGUUCAUAACAAUAAUUCAUGUGAUGAGAAUUUUUUAAAUAAAUUAUUUUAUUUAAAUAAAAAUAUUCGAAAUAAUUUUUAAAAUAUAAAUACCUUACUUAUUUAAAAGAAAAUAUUAUAUUCAGGCAUGCGAAGGCUACAUUCAAUUGGAUUGACACUCAACCCUCCCACUAACAAAAAGUGUAGGUAUAGAAAAAACUCAACCAAAGAUAUGUUAAAAAGAUAUAGAUAUAUAGAUAUUUAGUACAAUGGAACUCUUAACAAGAAAUAAGGACGGAUAAAACAAGGAUAAACAACCUCGUACAUAUCAUGUGUGAGAAAAGGGAGAAAAUUAGUAUGGGGUCAUUAAAAAAUCAAAAUGGUGACAUUCCAAUUUUUUAUAGAACAAAGCUUAUUUUUAGCUCCUUGCACGAACUGAACACGUUGGACAAAUUUAUUUAUUUUUUUUGGAUUUUUGGAAUUUUUUAAAUUCAUUUAUGUUCACUCCCAUCUUUUUCUUCGCUGGCGUCUUCAUUGGCAUCUCCUCGUCAGUAGUUUGAUGUGCCUAUACAUCCAACCAAUAAAUUGGGCAUUAAAUACGAAUGAAUGAUGAAUAAAAUCAUUAAAAAAAAAAACAAACAGAGAAAAUUAUAAUAUAACACAUAUAUAUAUUGAAAGAGAAAUUUUGAUUUUAGGAUAGAUCAAUUAGCUAUCACAAACGAAAACAUGAACCAACUAUGUAUAGAGUCAAUUAAUUUAAAGUUCUCAAGAAUUACCUCUGCUCCAGAAUUCUCGGAAUCAUCUUCUCCUUAUGAAUUUCCACGAAGCUUGGGACAAUUACGAACAAGAACUCUAUAGGAUGCAGAUGGAAAUGGGAUCUGAUAACCCGCAGGCCAAAAGUUGGUGAGGUUUGGUAAGUUUAUCAGUUCCAACUUCCGAAGUUCAUUCAUAACAAUUUCAUUGUAAUCCGUGACGUCUACUCCAUCUUUAUGCCAGAAUACUUCUUCUAAUUCAUCAUUACCUAUUAUGUAUAGGCGCGACAGUUUUUGAAGACUUGAAGCUACGCUGAUAUGAAAUAGAUGCUUGAGUUUUGGGCAACUAAAGACAGAGAUCGAUGUGAGUUUUGGGAAACAUACAGGUUGGAGAUGAUCCUCAUCCUCAUCCUCAUCAAUGAUUUGCUCUAAUUCCAAGCAAUUUGAAAGAAUUAACUCGUCCAAUUGCAACAGAUUUCGAGCAAGUGCUGAUGAGAAAAGACGUCUCAGCAUAGAGCACCCGUCCACUCUUAAAAAGGUAAGACUUUGCAGGCUAAAAUUAUGAGUGGAACCUACGUGAUAUAAUAAUACUUGCAGUUCUCGAAGGUCUUCCAAUUGCAACGUCUUCAAACAUGGGAAUAGUUUGUUUUCUUGUCCCUCAGCGAUAAUAGCUUCCACUUGAAAUACCACUUGUACUCCAAGUUCUCCAAUAUACAAUAUUUCCAAAUUUGUUAAGCCAUGCUUCAACAGUGCUGGAAUCGUGUCACUCAAAUGGGAGCAUUCGCCUACUGUUAGAAUUCUUAAUUUCUGAGACAAAUAAAUAAAUAACUUGAUGUAAUUAAAAUUUGUUAGCAGCUAGGAUUGUCAAAUUGACAAUUAAGCGACAAAUACUUAAAAAAAAAUUACCUACAAAAAUAUAAUACUACACAUGUAAACUUAUAAAAUAAUUAUACUUUGUGAAAGUAAGGAAUUUAUAAAAAAGAAAAAGAAAUCCGUUGACAGAGAUCAUGUGAAGUGAUAUAGCAGUGACAUCGUUUUGUUUGAGAAAAAUUAAUAUAGUAUUUCUAUGGUAAAAUUAACUAAUGAAUUGAAUUUGACUAAUAAUAUACAUACAUUACAAGUCCUUGCAUCCAUUUUUUUUUAUUAUAGAGUAAAACGAGAUAUGAAUUUUAUUUAAAAAAUGAAUUUUAGGCCCUAAAACAAAGAAAUUUGCUCAAGAUACUGGAUCGUUAUUAUUAUCAUCACCACUACCACCACCGUCAUCUUCAUCUCAACACGCCAAAUGCAAGGUGAUAUGAAUGACUGAUCACAAAAGUUUUUGAUAAACUAUCUUUUUAAGUAAAAUUAAAGGAAAAGAAAGAAAAAAACGUAAACACAAGCGAACAUACCUCUCCAAGAUACUGCAAAUUAGCUUCAAGUUCAGUACUGUUGACGGUCAAUUUAGGACAUCUCUUUACAUCUAACUCUUCCAAUGCCGGCCAAGUUGAAUAAUAAUUUUCUGAACAGAAGCUGAUGAGUUCGGGGAGAUCUUUAAAUCUUAAUUUUCUCAACGAAGGGAGUGCAAGUAUUGUAUUUCCAUCUCCUGCACUUAUUUCCCUCUCAUUAUGAUCCAAUUUUGCUUCAACGACAUAUUCCAGUCUCUCGCAGUAACUCACUUUCAGACUUUUAAGCUGCACCAAACUUCGAGCCAGUGACAACGUGAAGAUAUAAGUCAAGUUGUUGCACUCUGACACACUCAAUUCUGUAAGAGAUUGGAGGCUGAUCACAUGUUGGGUGGGCGCCUUCCAUAUCCACUUCAGUUCUGGUAAUUCUGACAUAUAUAACUCUGCUAAUCUUGAGAGCAUCACAGGAUUCCCACUCUUUCCAUGCGGCGACUUAGAGGCAUCCAUUAUGCAUUCUAAAUCUUCGCAACCGCCGACAUCAAGACGAGUCAACUCAUUUAAGCCCCGUUCAUCUAUGCUUGGCACAAUAUUAUGACAACCUGUUACCCCACUUAAAUAAAGAAUUUCCAGAUUUUGAUACAGUGCUGAAAAAAUUCCUAGCGUCGCUUUAGGACGGUUAUUCUCAAUGAUUAAGCACCUUGUCCCUCUAUCAAUGUCACAUAAAGCGUCUAAGAUCUUUCUCCAUCUAUCACAGUCAUAUGAAGUGCCAAAUUCCACGACGCCAUACCUUUGUAAUUUCGGAAAUGAAAAGUCAUUUGGAAGACAUACAACGGAUCCGUUGGGUUGGGAGUCCGACUCAACACACCUAGCGUAACUUUCUUCUGAACUCAUCCCUUCAACCUCCCAAUUUUUUAUCCAACCAUAAAAUUCUUCUAAUUGAGGAAAUUUAUUUAUCGUAAUGGGAGAAAUUUUGCCAGUACUAAUAUACAGAAGUUUCAAUCUACUAAGUUUAUCCCCCAAUCCAUCUGGAAUUUCAAUGGGAGACUCCUCGAGAUAAAGUAUUUGAAGUCUCUUCAACUUUCCAAGGAAAGACGCGUCAGUCACCUCACAUCGAAUCAACUACAGAACUCGAAGGUUAUUGGCGAGGAAUUGAAGUGAUUUAAGUGAAAGAACUCCACCUAUUAUAGUGACAACUUUCAGUGCUGACAUCUCUUUAAAAAAAUAUUCUGGAACUUGCAAUUUGUUGUCAUAUUCAGUAUUCUCCAAUCGCAAAAUAUGAAGGUUAGGGCAUACCAAACCACUAGGAAGCUCUUCUUUUUCAUUUCUCACCAAAGAGAUUCCUCUGUAUUGUUCUAGGCCUUCUUCCACUGCCCAUUCCGCCAAUCCAAUGCCAACUUUACUAGUAAAAUAUUUCUUCUCCACUUUGCCUAUCCAUAAGGCUACAUCGCGAACUACGUCAUGCAUUUUCACAAAUCUGUCAUCAUCAGUGUCUAACAGCAAUGAAGAAUCUUUGAGUCCUUUGAUCGUUCCACGCAGUAGGCUUCUGGCUUUUUCGGUUGAUUCAGCUUGAUACCAAACCAACCCCACUGCAUAUCCAAGAAAAUCCUCCAAAUCUAUCUUAUAAUCUUCUGGAAACAGCGAACACAACAAGAAGCAUGACCUGGAAUCCUCACCAUUCAAAUAAUCAUAACUAAAUUUGAGACAACCGUAAACGCCCCGGGAAUCCUUAUCAAUACCUUCUAUCUUAUCGAGUUUUGCAUUUUGUAGUUUAUCUAGUGCUACAUUCCAUUCAUCAGCGGUUCUUCCUCUUAGUGCACUUCCAACAGCUUUAAUAGCUAAAGGCAGCCCCUUACAUUCAUCAGCAACUCGUUUUGAAACAUCAAUCAAGGUUGUAUCAGCAACAUCAAUGCCAGCAUGCUUUCUUAGUAAAUCCAAUCCUUCAUCUUGCUUUAGAACACCUAGUUGGAUCUGCGUGUCACAACCCAUGCGAUCACAAACUGGCUGCAGGCGAGUGGUUAGAAGGAUUUUGCAACAAUUGUCUCUAUCACCAACGGGAAUACCUACUUUUUCCAAGUCGAGUUGAUUCCAGACAUCAUCAAGAAUUAUGAGCAUCUUGCGGCUUUUACUCUCAGAGAACAUCAUGCGCAAUCGGCGUGCUCUAUCUUUUUCAUAUGUCUCUGUUAAUUCCCAACCCAACGACUUUACUAGCUCACUUUGAACAUUUAUUAUGUUUUGAUCCUGAGAUACAGUGGCUAUCCCUACCUCAUCGAAAACAUUUUCUUCCCGAAGUUGAUUGCCCACAAAGUUCGCCAAAGUUGUCUUUCCGACACCACCAAUCCCAUACAAUCCCACUAUCUUCGUGUUGUCUCCUUUCAGUGCUUUAAUGAUCUGAUAGCAAGCCGAUUCUGUAGUCCCGAAAGGAAUAAAAUGUCUUGGUAUAGGCAAUUCUUUGUCUGAUGGAAGAGGUUUAGGACGCGCAACUGUGCUGAAUUUGCUGCGGUCUUGUAGCAGAUCGGACAGCUUGCGAGUCUCCUUUGAUGCUUUUCUACCCAUCCAAUAUCGGAAACCCCAAUUAGGACACCAUCCAUUGAAACAACUCUUCUUUUCAUCUAGAUUUGCUUUCAAAGUUCGGACAUCGGCCAUUUUUUUGACUACAUCCGCCAGCCACUUCUCUACAUCUUUCUCAACUACUAUAGCGCAAUGUUUUUGUCGUUCUUCUUCUACUUUUUCGUUGAUGCCAUCUUGUGCCUCCUUCAAAUUAGUUUCUUUAUCCUCAAGUUCUUUAACAAUGCUGUUGAAACAGAACAGAUAGCGAGCUUGUUUUAUGGUAGCAUCCACCAAUAAUUCUCCAAGCUUUGAUGCAACACCUGAUAAAAUAUCCAUGCUAUUUAUCUGCAAUUAACAAAGUUGAUCUCAGUACGCUAUAAGCAAAACAAGGAAGCUUGAUCACAAGAUCGAACGAGAACGUUUAAUUACUUUUUUCUGAACGCACGUUUAUUAACGCUAGCGUUGAUCAAUAAGAGCACAAUGCAAACGCCGGGCUUUUAAGUAGCCUUUAGCUGCAAACAGAAGAUAAGAAAUAAGGUAAAUGGUGGAUUAUAUUGAAAUUAGAUUGCUUUAGAAUAUAUCUAGCUAAUUAACAUCAUAUAUAAGUCCUUGCUCUCAGUCAAAUCUUUCAUUCUUAGAAAUAAUACCAUAAUUCCAAAAAUCAAUCAGAUCUCAUACCUUCUUCGUUAUAUAUCCUCAACUACUGCUGAAAGCUCCAGUUAGAGAGUCGCACAAGUUCAGAGAAAAUUAAAAGCUGCAUCUGGCAAUAUAAAUAAACAUCAGAUCCAAACAAAAUAGCAUAUAUCUAGCUAAUUAACAUCAUCUAUAACUCCUUGUUCUCCGUCAAAUCUUUCAUUCUUAGAUUAAAAAAAAAAAUUGAAAUAAUAACUGUUAAGUGAUAUAGGAAGCAGAAGUAGCGUACCGAAAUGAGGGCGGCUAGUUCACGGAUGACAGAUCUGGUGACCUCAAGAUCAUGAAAAAUGAUUGAACUUUGGUGGAAAGGUCUGAAAUGAUAUGUCAGUGAGAAUUGAAAGGUGGAAAGUGAAGUGAUACACAUGCCUUAUCAUCUGUCAUGGGGGGUAAUUUGGUAAAACUGAUUUAAAAUUUAAAAAAAAAAUUUAAUAUGAAGUUUUGUGUCCAACUGCUUGUACUUGGGGAAUCUUUCGGGUUAUUGAGAGGAUGAUUUUAAAUUGUUUAAUUAAAUAUAAGACUUUUACUUUUCUUUUAUAUAUUUUUCUUUAGAAUGAAUUUAAAUCUCAUUCUUAUUAAAUGAAGGUAGAUUUCUCUACACAAAUUUUGGGUAUAUUUUAUAAUUAAUGUUCAACAUAUUUCUAAAUUAUAUUAUAAAUAUUUUUAUUUAAAAUCUCAACAGAUUUCAUAACACACAAAAAGAAAUACAUAUAUAUAUAUAUUGUAAUGUUCUAACAAGAGAUUUUUAAAAUUAUUAAGUUAAAAAUAAGAAAAAUAUGUGUUUUAACAUUGUACAUAGUAAAAUAUAAUGUAUUAAAGUGAGUUAUUUAUUUUAGGAAAAUGCUACUUUUUUCGGGUCAAACCCCGAAACUCAUCCAAACGACGCCGUUUCAUUUUUUUUUUUCCUCUUUCAUUCUCCCUAAACGACGCCGUUUUGGCUAAGGCAAAACCAUUGAUUUCUCUUUCUCUUCCGUCUUCCCCUUCCUCUCACAGCCAUUGAAUGCCCAGCAAAUUCAUAUCUCACAGCCAAAUUCAGUGACAUACACUUAGUAGGUGCAAUCGCAAAGCAUCUGAUUUUGUCCCUCUCAAUGUUCCCCAACUUGUCCAGAUUCUGAACCACAAUCAACACCAACAAUGCCACCACCCCUGCCCCCAAUGAAUGCCCAGCAAAUGUCAAAGUAUAAUUUGGCUUCCUGUCAACCAAGCCCCUUAAAAAUUCACACUCGGCAUCGAAAACCCACCUUGCAGCCUUCAAUGACCCAUUGUGAACAUAUCCACCAUCAAACUUUUUCUGCCCAAGUUUGUUAUCCACAACCCAAUCUGGAUUGAUUAUAGAAGAGAAGAGAACGAGGAGACUAUGCAGGUAUCCUGUAUUUUAGUUCGAUGAAGGAAAAUGGAACGAGGCAAACGAAGGGGCAGCUGGGUUCUGAAGAGAACGAAGAGAAGAGAUGUAUUGACUACUCUGUAAUUGUUCUUUUUAUCAUGGAAGGAAAUGGAGACAGUUUCUGCAACUGGUGUUAUAUUUUGCUCUUCGUUUUUUUGGUCAGUAGUGCAUAGAUGAUAUGGAUAUUUGGUCAUGAACAAUAGGUGGUUGAUUUGUACUUCUGUGCAUAGUGUAUAUUUUCCUUGUCUGAUUCAGUGCUUUUUUUCAUGAAAUGUAUGUUUACUGUCAAGGUGCCAAGGCUGAUGGGAGUUUCUCUAUGCAUCUGGUGUAAUCAUCUACAAAGCUGAUGUAGUAUCUAUAUCCAUGUAAAAAGGAGGGCAUGGGAGAUGGUCCCCAAAGGUCAGUAUGUAUAAGCUCCAGGGGUACUGAGGUUUUAAUUCCAGUUGAAUAAAAAGAUAACUGAUGAAGUUUUCCAUACUGACAUGCAUCACAGAAAUCAGGUAAAGUUAUAGAAGACUUAAGAGACAAAUGAGGUAUAAUAUUUUUCAAAGCAUGUUUGUUUGGAUGACCAAGUCGUUGAUGCAGUAAGUUUCCACAAACAACAGAUUUGGUAAUGUUUACAUGACUCUUAGAAUUUACUGAUUCAGUACAAGCUUUAUUUUCAGCUUUAUUUGACAGAACAGAAGCUGAAUUACUAAUAACAGAAAUCAUUGAUCUAGGUACAUAGGCUAGAGAACAGGAUUUGGAAAGAAAGGUAUCUUUUGACAGCAGCUGAUACAAUCCUUCUUUAGCAAUCCCUUGAGCCAGAUGCACAGUCUUCUUCUUGUCCUUAAUGAAACAAAGAUUGGCAACAAACUCAAUGGUUAUGUCAUUAUCUUUCAAAAGUGUUGAAAUACUAAUGAGGUUUUUGGUUAUUGCAGGCACAUAUAAGAUGUCAUUUAAGUGUAAAAGUGAGUCACAUGAUGUAUGAAAGCAAGCAUAUCCAAUAUGUGAUAUAUUCAAACCUUCCCCAUUACCAACAUGUAAUAGCUGAUUACCUGAAUACUCCAUUCCCAUAUUCAGAUUCUGCAGAUUGUUGGUGAGAUGGUGAGUAGCACCACUGUCCAAGUACCAUCCUUGAUCAGCUAAGCCACCCUCUGAAGUUGUGAGAAAAGCAGCUUUUGUGUUUGACUGAUAAGGGUUGAAGUUUGAGGGUGGAUAUGCAGGAGUGAAAUCUUUGUUAAACAUGUUCCUACACUCAGCUGCAGUGUGCCUUGGCUUGAAACAAAUUUGACAGAUGACAGCAGGAGAAUUCUGAGCACCUUUGUUACCAUUAAAGGCACCAUUCUGACCAAAUACACCAUUGCCACUGUCAUUCCAGUCACCUCUUCCUUGUCCAGAAUAAUUCCUGUUGAAAUUGCCAGUAUUCCAGUGAUUACCAUCAGACCAGUUACCUCUUCCUUGGCCUGUAACACCUCUGCCAAAACCACCUCUUCCUCCAUUAUUGCUAUUAUAGCCUCCUCUGCCACCAUUGUUCCCAUUCCAGUUGACAUUUUGAUUCCAGUUACCAAAACCUCCUCCAUUAUUAUUAUUGUAGCCUCCUCUGCCCCCAUUAUUUCCAUUCCAAUUGGCAUUUUGGUUCCAAUUACCAUAACCACCUCCAGUAUUGCCAUUAAAUUUCUUGUUAGGUCCAGUCUGAGCCAUAUUGGCAGUAUAGUUCAACUUAGCUUCUUUAUUAGCAUUUUGUUGAUUACUCUCUAUUCUAGCCUCAUGAGUUAAAAGCAUAGAAUAUGCUUCAUUUACUGACAUUUUCAACAUAUUAGCUUCUAUGUAUACAACCACAGGAUAAUAUGGCUGUCCUAAUCCACAUAUCAGAUGAGUUAUAAAAUCUAGAUUGGUUACAGGACUUCCAGCCAAAGCAAGUUCAUCACUCACAGCCUUAAGUUUGCUAAAAUACUCAGUGAUUGUCAUUGAUCCUUUUUUGAGAUUAUUAAGUAGCAUUUUCAGAUGUACUUUCUUAGCACCUGUUUCUGAUCCAAAUUGUUCUUCAAUGUUAGUCCAGAGUUCAUUAGAUGAGUUAGAAUUUACCACUAGACUGAGAAUUUCAACACUGAUCGAUGACAUCAACCAGCUCAGCAGCAACUGAUCCUGCCUUUUCCAGUUAUUGAACUCUGGAUUUUCCUGUGGCUCAGCUACAGUUACUCGAUCUGAACUUAAGCUUGCUUCUUCUUGAUUGUGAAACUGAUUUGGACACUUUCUAGUUCCAUCAAGAAGAGAUUCAAGUCCAUUGGCUCGAAUUGUAGAAAGGAUCUGAGAUUUCCAGAUUGUGUAGUUUGAUCUGUCUAAUUUGAUUGGAUUUGUGAAGGUAAAAGAAGAAACAGUUUGAUUAAUGUUUGGAUUUGAGCUUGAAGAAGCCAUGGCAGCUUGGAUCAUAGCUCUGAUACCAAGUUAAAAACAGAGUUCGUGUGUUUGGAUACAGAGAAAAUGUAUGAACCAGAGAGAAAAUGUUGAGAGUAUUCGAAGAGCAAAAAUGAGAAAAAUGAUUUGUUAUAUUAUUGAUCUUGAUGACAACUGUUGUAUAUAUACAUAAUCUGGAAUGGUAUACACGCGUUGUGUAUGUGAAAAACAAAAUCAAGGCUCAGUUACUAAACCGUUAUUAACAACUAAAACUAACCAGUUGACUCAGCAAGUUACACAUCAGCAAUACUAACAAACAAAAAACUAAUUAGCUCGUUAAUUCUAUAACUCCAUAAUAUGAACUAUCUUAACAAUGCGAUUGUAUUCUUUUAAGAUUUUCUGUGCUUAUCAAAUAUUAUUUGUUGCUCAACUUAAAACAUGUUAGUCUUGGAAGCUAUUCAGAUUUUGCUGGAUAGAUCAAAUACUGGUUCAUAUUUGUGAUAUUUUAACUGAUUGCUUUGUUCUGCAGGUCACCUUCAACCUCUCGUGCAAGGUCAAGAUCCAAGUCAAGGUCACCCGUGAGUUUUCAUCGUAGAAGGAGGUCCCGCUCUUUCUCGCCUCCAUCCCGCCAUCGAAGAGGUCAUAGGUCCAGGUCACCGCUAAGAUCACGCCACUAUUCAAAAUAUGAUAAUGAGAGGCUUUCAACCGGAGACACCAGGGACGGUGCUGACAGAUCUAGGAGGGAGUCAGAUAUUAAAGGAAGAGAAGGAAGAAAUCAGAACAAAGAAAGAAAAAAAAAUAGAAGCAAAACGAUGUCGUUUGAAGACGAAUCAAAACAAAAAAAAUAAGAGCUGAAAACGACGACUUAUGCUGCCGUUUCGGGGUUUGACCCGGAACAAAUAGCAGAACUCUUUAUUUUAUCUCUUAAUUUAAUAAUUUAAGAUAUCUUUUAUUUAAUAAUGAUUAUAUAUAUAUAAUUUUCUUUUAAAAAUAAACAAUUUAAGUGAAGCAAGGACAUUUUGGAGGCGUCUACCGACAUACCAUUUUGGAUUGCAAUAAAGUGAAGGGUCCCGCUAAUUUACAGCUUAUGUCAGUUACAUGGACUUGACUAGCUUACAGUAUCUGUAAGCUACAGACUGCAGCAUCAGCCGUUGGAUGUGGUUAGAUGUGGAGUGAGAAACUAAACAAUAAAAAAUCAGAUGGUGGGAUGACGGGAGAUGUUUGUUACAGAAACUGUACCAUAGACAAGUCCCAGUUACAUUCAUAACAAAUUAAUAAUUGUCUUUAUUAUAAAAUUUUUUUAUAUUCAAAUAUCGGUUCAUUUAUUCAACCAAGUCCUCGUAUUCUUUUAAUUUAUGAUAAGAUUCUCGCAUGGACCAGAUCUGCAUAUGUGAUAAUUACUAACUCUGUCAACUAGCAGGACCCCCAUUUUUUUAAUUUGAAUGGUCACAUCAUGAUCACACUUACAGACCCACAGAAUAAUACCAACAACGAACUGUAAAUUUCCAUGGACACAAAUAUCCCCAACUAGUGCUUGCUAAUUAACUAUACACAUAAAACUUAAUCACAUGUAUAAGAAUUUCGGCCCCUCAUUGCAAUAAAGUCAAGAGUUUUCGAGAUAGAAAAAAAUAGGUGAAGGAUGAAGAUCAGAGAAGAAAAAAUAUUAAGAAUAGUUUUUGCAUUUUGAUGGGUUUUAUAAAGUAAAACCUAUAUUUGUAAUUGUAUUAGCGGUAAUUGAAUGUUGGUAGCAAGUACUGGUCAAUAUAUAUAGUCACUACUGGUCACUAUAUAUAUAUAUAUAUAUAUAUAUUACAAAAUUGGUAGCAAGUACACAAUGGAGUCUAAUUAAUUAAUCAAUUGGUGUAAAAUUUGUAUCUCCUACAUAUAUAAAUCAUCUGCAAAAUGGCACAAGACAACUAGACAAGUGCUUUAUUAUUGGCUUGCUGCAGUUCUGAACAGCCUCCAUUUGCUUCUUGAUUGCGGGAUAGCUUGAUCACUAGAACCUGCUUUUUUAUUGUAGGAAUUAAUUAAAGUGCCACUUCUUCUGUGGCUUCUUGCUGCUGCCGCCGCUGCAGCGUAAUAAAAAAUAGUUUAAUUUGCUUCCUAUUGUAAUAUAAAAUAAAAAAAUAACUAUAACUUUUGUGUUUUUUCCAUUUAUUUUUCUGCAGUUUUCAUAAUAUCUCGUUAAUCUGUUACUCUUGAUGUCGAAGCCUUUUUAGAAAACAAAUGAGUGAUUGUUUUGCGUCUGAAGGAGUUUUGUGUAUAUAUAAUAUUCUCCCAAUUUCUUUUUCUUCUCUCUAUUUUGCUUUUGAUUUCGGCUUCUCCAAAAAUAUGAAAAAUGAAGUAGCCUCCAUUGUAUUUAAACCUUAUAUAUAUAUAUAUAUAUAUAUAUUCACGAAUAAAGCAAAAAAGAAAGAGGCGUCAAGCAUGAGGUGGCAAGUGAAGCAACAGAAGCAAAUUAGUCAAACAUGCAUGUGAUCUCGAGGAAGCAAGCAGCUAGCUAUUUCUUAUUUAUGAAGCCAAGUGUGGCUUCAUUUGGUGGCUUCAUGUGUUCAUCUAAUUAAUAUUUAGAUGAACAAUGAGAAAAUUAAUUUUGAAAUUUUUUUGAUUAAAGUAUGUGUUUUAUUUUUUAUUUUUAAAAAUAAAAUAAAACAAAAGUAAUAUAAAAGAAAUUUUUUUUAUGUAUUUGCUUUGGCCCUUCUUCUUCAUCUCUUUGUCUUCUUCAUCUCUUUCUUUAUCUUUUUUUUAUGGGUACUAUUUAUAAAAUAUUAUCAUGUUAUCAUUGUACUAUUUAUGAAAUAAAGUUUGAUAACUUAAAUAGUUGAAGUUAGGAUAUUAUUUGAAUUUUAAAGAGUAUAUAAAGUAAAACUUAAUUUUUCUAUAAAUUAUGUAUAAGUGUGUAGAGUAGUUGAAUGUUCAAAGUAAUAUUUAGAGUGUAAAUAACCCUAUCCAUAAUCGAAUGAUUUGUGAAACGAAAAAUGAUUGAAAUUUUUUGAGAAAAAAUAGAAAAAAAAGAACUUAAAUACCAUUAAAAAAAACAUUUUGAAAAAUAAAAAUUAUUGCUGUCGCCACACACUUUCUUCGCGGUUUAGAAAGCUAGAACAUUUUGAAGUUACUCAAUACAAAAUGCGUGCUACUACUAAACAUUGGCCCAAUUAAUGCCCAUCGAAAAGGCCAUCAAUUUAGCCAACAAUUUUGUCAAAAUUUCAACAAUUGAAGAAACAAUGGUCACAAACGGAACAGGUGAAUUUUGAAGUUGAAUAAAUCUUGAGAUACAUACAACAAAGCCUUGAAACUUUAUUCUUCACAAUUUGAGCACGCACUAACUAUUAAACAAGUAUAGAACAAAGCUUAUUUUUAGCUCCUUGCGCGAACUGAACACGUUGAACAAAGCUUUUUUUUUUUUCUUUUUUUGGAUUUUUGGAAUUUUUUAAAUUCAUUUAUGUUCGCUCCCAUCUUUUUCUUCGCUGGCGUCUUCAUUGGCAUCCCUCUCUUGGCUGGCAGCUGCCUCCUCCGUAGUUUGCUGUGCCUAUAUAUCCAACCAAUAAAUUGGGCAUUAAAUACGAAUGAAUGAUGAAUAAAAUGAUUAAAAAAUAACAAACAGAGAAAAUUAUAAUAUAACAAAUAUAUAUAUCAAAAGAGAAAUUUUGAUUUUAGGAUAGAUCAAUUAGCUAUCACAAACGAAAACAUGAACCAACUAUGUAUAGAAUCAAUUAAUUUAAAGUUCUCAAGAAUUACCUCUGCUCCAGAAUUCUUGGAAUCAUCUUCUCCUUAUGAAUUUCCACUAAGCUUGGGACAAUUACGAACAGCAACUCCGUCGAAUGCAGAUGGAAAUGGGAUCUGAUAACCCGCAGGCCAAAUGUUGGCGAGGUUUGGUAAAUCUGUCAGUUCCAACUCCCGAAGUUCAUUCAUAACAAUUUCAUUGUAAUCCGUGACGUCUGCUCCAUCUUUAUGCCAGAAUACUUCUUCUAAUUCAUCAUUAGCUUCUAUGAAUAGGUACUUCAGUUUUUGAAGACUUGGAGCUACGCUGAUAUGAAAUAGACGCUUUAGUUUGGGGCAAUAACCGACAGAGAUCCUUUUGAGUUUUGGGAAAUAUACAGGUUGGAGAUGAUCCUCAUCAAUGAUUUGUUCUAAUUCUGAGCAAUUCCAAACAUAUAACCCCUCCAAUUGCAACAGAUUUCGAGCAAGUUGUUGAUGAGAAGAGACGUCUCAGUGUAGUGCACCCGUCCACUCUUAAAUAGGUAAGACUUUGCAGGCUAAAAUUAUGCGUGGGACCUUCAUGAUAUAAUAAUACUUGCAUUUCUCGAAGGUUAUAUGUAGAGAAGAGAACUAAGGUAAACGUGAUAUAUGGUGGAUUAUAUUGAAAUUAGAUUACUUUAGAAAUUUUUAAACAAAAAAAUAAAUAAGCCUCAGAGUUCGUUGUGCCCCAAGGAGCCCAGUGGGUUUCAAGUAGUGGGUUCAAAAUUUGGAGGCAAGGGUCCAAAAAAAUAAAUUUGAGUUUUGUUCAUCCCUUGCUCACUUUUUUUUUUUAAAUUUUAAAAAUGAGCUUGUUGUGAAUUGCGAGUGAAGACAUGCAGAUACCGUCUUUGUUUCACCGGCUCUUUAGAACAAGGUUAUUAUUAUUUGGCACGAUAAGCCCUUAGCACCAUAUUGAUUAGAGUGUGUUCAUGAGGUGUGGAUUCCCCCCUCAUGAUUUAAUUGGCAUUAAUAAUGAAUAAUGAAUAUUUAGCCCAUGGUGUAUGUUAAUACGGAUCCAGAUACCUAAGUACGUCAUUUCAAUAGAUUUCUCUUCAAUUUAUUCUCGCCAUUUCAAUUCCAAUUUUAGAAUAAUCUAAGUCACUUUCACCACAAAUCCAACCACCCUCAUACAAAAUCAAUUCUAUAUAUAAUUAAAAUCCACCUCCUCGUGGGAUCGACACUCGUCACCAUUAAUCUAUUCUACAAUAGAUUUGUGCACUUACGAGUUCAAUAAAAUUUGCACAACAGUGAUGAAAAUUGAAAAGCCACCCAUAAUAACAGUUAAAAAGAGUAUUAGAGAUUAGAAGACUUUAACAUCCUAUGCACGUGCACUCAUGAUAAAAUUUGACGGGUUUCAAGAUUAUUACCCCUUUCUUUCUUUAAUCAAUAUUCUAAUAAAAUAAUACCAUAAUUCUCAAAUAAUAUCCUAACAUAUUUUUUUCUUCAAGUGUUCAUCAUAAUACUCACCUAUUAGAUAAUUAAUUGAAUCAUAUGUUAAAUUAUUUAUUAUUUUAUCUUACUAUAUAUCUAAUGGAUAUAAAUGACAAUUUAUUUGGUGUGGUAAAGCAUGGGGUAAAUUGAAUAGUUUGUAUGAGAAUAAUUUGAGGUUUGUAUAAUUUAUAUGAAGAUAAUCUGCAAAAUAUGUCAAUUUUAAAAGAGCGAUAUUAGUAAUCAUAAAUUUAUCAAUUUUUUUAAUAAAGAUUUUGUUUAAAAAUUGGCUAACUGGGUUUCAUGAGGAAAAUAGAGGAGCAUGAACGGCGCCACUUUUAAUUUUUAUUGUUGUUGUACAAAUGAAAUUUCAAAAGAUGCAUUAAAUGGAUCCAUUUGAAAUCGCAGGAGAGCAAAAGGGACUUACGUUGGACUUGAGAUUGAAAAAAUUAAUUUUAUUUUUAAAGUAUGGUCAACAGUAAUGACUUGGAGGUGAUUCCUAUUAAUCAACCAUCUUUAACUUAAAGAAUUAAUACAAAUAAAUGGCAAAAAUAAUAUAAUGAAACUUAAUGUAAUAAAAAAUUGCAUUAAAAGAGUCGGUACAAGCUCGCUAUCUGUUCUGUUUCAACACCAUUGUUAAAGAACUUGAGGAUAAAGAAACUAAUUUGAAGGAGGCACAAGAUGGCAUCAAUGAAAGAGUAGAACAAGAACGACAAAUACACAGCGCCAUUGACAUUGAGAAAGAUGUAGAGAAGUGGCUGGCGGAUGUAGUCAAAGAAAUGGCCGAUGUCCAAACGUUGAAAGCAAAGAUAGCUGAAAAGAAGAGUUGUCUUAAUGGAUGGUGUCCUAAUUGGGGUUGCCAAUAUUGGAUGGGUAGAAAAGCAUCAAAGGAGACUAGCAAGUUGUCUAAUCUACAUGACCGCGGCAAAUUCAACACGGCUGCCCGUCCUAAACCUCUUCCAUCAGACAAAGAAAUGCCUAUUCCAAGAUUUGUUUCUUCUUUCGAGACUACAGAAUCGGCUUGCAAUCAGAUCAUUGAAGCACUGAAAAAAGACAACAUAAAGAUGGUGGGAUUGCAUGGUGUCGGCGGUGUAGGAAAGACGACAUUAGCAAAAGUUGUGGGCAAUCGACUUCGGCAAGAAAAGAUUUUUGAUGAGGUGGGGAUAGCCACUGUAUCUCAGGAUCCAAACAUAAAAAAUGUUCAAAGUGAGCUGGUAGAGUCGUUAGGUCGGGCGUUAGAUGAGGUUGAUGAAAAGAAGAGAGCAGACCGACUGCGCUUGAUGUUCUCUGAGAGUAAAGGCCGCAAGAUACUCAUAAUCCUUGAUGAUGUCUGGAAAGAGCUCGACUUGGAGACAGUAGGUAUUCCCGCCAAUUGCUGCAAAAUCCUUCUAACUACUCGUCUGCAGCAAGUUUGUGAUCGCAUGGGUUGUGACACGCGGAUUAAACUAGAUGCUCUAGACCAAGCAGAAGGAUUGAAUUUACUAAGAGAGCAUGCUGGCAUUGAUGUUGCUGAUAAAGCCUUGACUGAUGUUUCAAAACGAGUUGCUGAUGAAUGUAAGGGGCUGCCUUUAGCUAUUAAAGCUGUUGGAAGUGCACUAAGAGGAAACACCGCUGAUCAAUGGAAUCUAGCACUAGAAAAACUACAAAAUGCAAAGCUCGAUAAAAUAGAAGGUAUUGAUAAGGAUUCCCAGGAUGUUUACGGUUGUCUCAAAUUUAGUUAUGAUUAUUUGAAUGGUGAGGAUUCCAGGUCGUGCUUCUUGUUGUGUUCGCUGUUUCCACAAGAUUAUAAGAUUGAUUUGGAGGAUUUGCUUGGAUAUGCAGUGGGGUUGGUUUGGUAUCAAGCUGAGUCAAUCGAAAAAGCCAGAAGCCUACUGCGUGGAACGAUCAAAGGACUCAAAGAUUCUUCAUUGCUGUUAGACACUGAUGAUGACAGAUUUGUGAAAAUGCAUGACGUAGUUCGCGAUGUAGCCUUAUGGAUAGGCUCAGAGGAGAAGAAAUUUUUUACUAGUAAAGUUGUCAUUGGAUUGGCGGAACGGGCAGUGGAAGAAGGCCUAAAACAAUACAGAGGAAUCUCUUUGGUGGGAAAUGGAAGAGAAGAGCUUCCUAGUGGUUUGGAAUGCCGUAGCCUUCAUAUUUUGCGAUUGGAGAAUACUGAAUAUGACAACAAAUUGCAAGUUCCAGAACAUUUUUUUAAAGAGAUGCCAGCAUUGAAAGUUGUUACUAUAAUAGGUGGAGUCCUUUCACUUAAAUCUCUUCAAUUCCUCACCAACCUCCAGGUUUUGCAGUUGAUUCGAUGUGAGGUGACUGACGCGUCUUUCCUUGGAAAGUUGGAGGGACUUCAAAUACUUUAUCUCAAGAUGUCUCGCAUUGAAAUUCCAGAUGGAUUGGGGGUUAAACUUAGGAUAUUGAAACUUCUGUAUAUUGAUACUUGCUCCAUUUCUCCCAUUACGAUAAAUGAAUUUGUUCAAUUAGAAGAAUUUUAUGGUCUGAUAAAAAAUUGGGCAGUUCAAGGGAUGAGUUCAGAAGAAAGUUCCGCUAGGCAUGCUGAGUUGAACCCCCGACCCGACGGAUCCGUUGUAUGUCUUCGAAAGAACUUUUCAUUUCCGAAAUUACAAAGGUAUAGCAUCAGUGAAGUUGACAGCUUUGAAUAUACAAUUGAUAGAAUACUAACCAUAGAAAUAGAAUACUAAUUUUUCUCAAACAAACCGAUGUCACUGCUAUAUCACUUCACAUGAUCUCUUUCAACGAAUUUCUUUUUCUUUUUUACAAAUUCCUUACUUUCACAGCGUAUAAUUAUUUUAUAAGUUUGCAUGUGUAAAAUAUUUGUAGGGAUUUUUUUUUUGAAGUAUUUGUCACUUAAUUGUCAAUUUGACAAUCCUAGCUGCUAACAAAUUUUAAUUACAUCAAGUUAUUUAUUUAUUUGUCUCAGAAAUUAAGAAUUCUAGAAGUAAGCGAAUGCUUCCAUUUGCGUGACACAAUUGACGCUCUGUUGAAGCAUGGCUUUGAAAAUUUGGAAACAUUGUAUAUUGGAGAUCUUGGAGUACAGGUGGUAUUUCAAGCGGAAGCUAUUAUCGCUGAGGGACAAGAAAACAAACUAUUCCCAUGUUUGAAGAGGUUGUACUUGACAAAUCUUCGAGAACUGCAAGUAUUAUAUCAUGAAGGUCCUACACAUAAUUUUAGCCUGCAAAAUCUUACUUAUUUAACCGUAAGCAGCUCCCCUAAGCUGAGACGUCUCUUCUCAUCAACACUUGCUCGAAAUCUGUUGCAAUUGGAGAAGUUGGAAAUUUAUAAUUGUUGGGAAUUAGAGCAAAUCAUUGCUGAGGAUGAGGAUGAGGAGCAUCUCCAACCUGUAUGUUUCCCAAACUUCAGAGAGAUCUCUAUCAGAUAUUGCCCCAAACUAAAGCAUCUAUUUCAUAUCAGCGUAGCUCCAAGUCUUCAAAAACUGAAGAACCUAUACAUAGGAUUUAAUGAUGAAUUAAAAGAAGUAUUCUGGCAUAAAGAUGGAGCAGACGUCACGGAUACGGAUUACAAUGAAAUUGUUAUGAAUGAACUUUGGGUGUUGGAACUGAGAGAUUUACCAAACCUCACCAACUUUUGGCCUGCGGGUUAUCAGAUCCCAUUUCCAUCUGUAUCCAGUGAAGAUGUUCAUUAUUGUACUGACUUUAGGGUUGUUCAUAAUUGUCCCAGGCUUCCUGAAAAUUCAGAAGUGGAUCCAUUUUUUGCAGAUUCAUUAUUCCCAGAAUUCUGAAGCACAGGUCAACUCUUGAGAACUUUAGUUAAUUGAUUCUAUACAUAGUUGGUUCACAUUUUCGUUUGUGAUAGCUAAUUGAUCUAUCUUAAAAUCAAAAUUUCUCUUUCAAUAUAUAUAUGUGUUAUAUAUAUAUAUGUGUUAUAUUAUAUAUGGCAGCGAACAUAAAUGACUUUAAAAAAUUCCAAAAAUCCAAAAAAAAAAAAGGCUUUGUUCAGCGUGUUCAGUUCAAGCUUUGUUCUAUACUUGCUCUGCAGAUGGAUGGUUAAUAUUUAGUGCGUGCUCAAAUUGUGAAGACUAAAGUUUCAAGACUUUGCUGUAUGUAUCUCAGGAUUUGCUCAACUUCAAAAUUCACCUAUUCUGUUUGUGAUAAUUGUUUCUUCAAUUGUUUAAAUUUUGACAAUUGCUGGCUAAAUUGAUGGCCUUUUCGAUGGCCAUUAAUUGGGCUAAUUUAGUAGUAGCACGCAUUUUCUAGACGGCGAAGAAAGUGUGUAAUGUCGUGACAGCAAUAAUUUUUAUUUUUUAGGAUGAGUGGCUACAAAUGUGUCUUUCGCAUUCUCUGGUACCCCGUACCUUUUGACAGCCACGCAUUCUUCUUGGCUCGUGGAAACUGGAAACUGGAAACUCAUUUUCACAAAUAAGACUUUGCUUUUAUGCUACAAGUGCUUUUAAUAAUUAUUUUGUUAGGAGAAUCGGUGCUUGCUUUGGAGCCCAACCCAUCAAGAAAUAUUAGUGAAAUUUUUAGACUUUGCUUUCUAAACCGCGAAGAAAGUGUGUGGCGACAGCAAUAAUUUUUAUUUUUCAAAAUGUUUUUUUUAAUGGUAUUUAAGUUCCUUUUUUCUAUUUUUUUCUCAAAACAUUUCAAUCAUUUUUCGUUUCACAAAUCAUUCAAUUAUGGAUAGGGUUAUUUACACUCUAAAUAUUACUUUGAACAUUCCACUACUCUACACACUCAUACACCAUUUAUAGAAAAAUUAAAUUUUAUUUUAUAUACUCUUUAAAAUUCAAAUAAUAUCCUAACUUCAACUAUUUAAGUUAUCAAAAUUUAUUUCAUAAAUGGUACAAUGAUAACAUGAUAAUAUUUUAUAAAUAGUACUAAAAAAAAAAAGAUAAAGAAGGAGAUGAAGAAGAAGGGCCAAAGCAAAUACAUAAAAAAAUUUCUUUUAUAUUACUUUUUUUUAUUUUAUUUUUAAAAAUAAAAAAUAAAACACAUACUUUGGUCAAAAUUUUUUUCAAAAUUAAUUUUCUCAUUGUUCAUCUAAAUAUUAAUUAGAUGAACACAUGAAGCCACCAAAUGAAGCCACACUUGGCUUCAUAAAUAAGAAAUAGCUAGCUGCUUGCUUCCUCGAGAUCACAUGCAUGUUUGACUAAUUUGCUUCUGUUGCUUCACUUGCCACCUCAUGCUUGACGCCUCUUUCUUUUUUGCUUUAUUCGUGAAUAUAUAUAUAUAUAUAUAUAUAUAAGGUUUAAAUACAAUGGAGGCUACUUCAUUUUUCAUAUUUUUGGAGAAGCCGAAAUCAAAAGCAAAACAGAGAGAAGAAAAAGAAAUUGGGAGAAAGAAAGAAGAGGCAAGGAAAAGAGAAAGAAAAAGAAAAGACGAAAAGAAAUAAAAGAAAACAGAGAAGCCAAGAGUGAAGAAAAAUAGAAAAAGGAAGGAAAAAUAGAAAGGAGACUAAGAAGCCGAGAGUCAAAAAGAAGUUGAAAAGAGAAAUUGAGAAGAAACUUUAAGGAAAUGAAACUAGGCAGUUAGAUUGAUAUCUAGUGAAUUAUUGGGCGAUAGAUAUAUAAAGUUCGAAUAGUUAUAUUAUAGUUUUCAUGUUACGUAUCGGGUUUUAUAUUAAUUAUAAUAGUUAAUUUUUGAACCAUGUGUUUUAGGAGAAAUUCAUGUUUCCAGAAACCCACAAGAGCUUGAAUGAACCCGAGAGUGAAUUAGACUUUGUGAAUAGAUACUAUUAUUACUAUUGUGCAUUCUAUGAAGCAUUUAUGUUUGAUAGUAUAAUUUAAUAUCAUGUUAUAAUUAUAUGCACGCAUUUUAUAUAUUUGAUUGAGUCAUAAGAUGUAAUUGCCAACCACCAUAUAUAUAUUCUUCCCCAUCGGCUCUACACAUGUAGAUUGAGAGUUAGAUCACUCUACCCAUUCAAUGUGGUUAAAUUAAGCUAGUAUUGAGAGGUUUUUCCCCUGCCCUACUCAUGCGAUAAUGAUACUGGUGAGUAUUAAGAGUUAUUUUCCAUGGGUACUAUUUGUUGCAGUUUUGCCAUUUAUAUAUGUAUGAUUUUAUGUCAUAGAUUAUGUAUGAGCUCUAGUGUUUUACUUUAUUUAUAUAUAUAUAAUUAUAUUCACUCACUGAAUCGUAAACUCACUAUUUUUCUAUUUAUCUCAUUUUUUCUAGGUCUCAGCUGGAUUUCAUAUAGUUCGAUUUUUAAUUAAUUGAGGUUAGGCCAUGACACACAUUAUUGCAUGACUUGCAUUUUGAGCACGUUUAUGUCCAUAUGUAUAUAUUUAAGAUAUAUGUGUAUAUAGUGAGUUUAAAAUUGUACGAAAUUUGAAUAUGUUUUCAGAUGAGACACAUAUGUUAUAAACAUUAUUAUAUGUUUAUAGUAAAGGCCCGAGGCCAUUUUUAUAUAUCCAUGAAUUAGUUUAUGUCGUGAGUUUUAAAUAUUAAACCGCGUGAUUUGCCUCGAAUCCGACAUAUGGGUCGGGCGGGUCGUGUCAUUCAUCCACCAUGAUUUUACAAUUUAUAUUAUUCAUCCAAAAUAUCUUUAAUUUCCAAUAGAAAAUUGACAAAAUCAUAGCAAAUAGAUCAUUUUGCUCUUAAAAAUUAAUUUAACGUAAAAAGACAAAGGAAAAUUAUCAACCACAUAUUUUUAGUUUACCCUGUUAUUGAAAACACUAAAAAAUUUGAAUUUAUUUAAUUUUUUACUCUAGAUUUAUAAUUGAUAUCAACUACCCACCCAAAAUGUUAACACUGUUAGAAUAUUUUAUAGAAUUUAAAUAAAGGUCACUUUAUCCUUGGAUUCAAGGGCAUUUUUCAAUUUGCACCAUAAGUAUUUAUUUAUUUAAAGUUAUAAGUGUUUUUCAUUUUUUUAUUAUUUAAUUAUUUUUAGUAGAUUUUUUGAGAUUAAAUAAAUUAUUUUGCCUCCACUAAUAAAAACCUAAAUUUUGAGCUAUUUUUUUAAAAUGUUAGAAUGUCUAAAAUAUUAUUUAUUUAUUAAAUAAUAUUAUUUUAUUCUUUCAUAACAUAAUUUUUAAAAAAUUAUUUAUUAAAAUAAUUUUUUAAUUUUUAAUAAAAACUACCAAUGAGAAUCAAAUGACUACAAUUUGUUUUUAAAAAAAUAUACAAAUAAAAACAUUAAUUAAAUAAACUUUAUUUAAAAAAGUUAUACUAAAUAGAACCUUAGGCUACAAAAACUUAUUUUAAGCCCAACUAAAUUGAAAUAAUUUCUCAAUAAACAUUAUUUAUUAAAUAUAAUAGCCUCGUAUUUAAUUGUUUCUUCAUAUAAUAAUAAUAAUAAUAAUAAUAAUAAUAAUAAUAAUAAUAAUAAAUCCCUCUAUAAUGCCAUCAUUUUUUUACAGCAUUAUCAAUAUUCUCUUUAACAAAAAAACUCAUAAAUAUCAAAAUCCAAUCUUAAUUCAAUUUGGCACGUAGUCCUGGUUUUGCGUUUGUAUGAAAAGACUACAAAUGUACGUGCCCGUACACAUCUCCAAUAUUAAUUGAUCGUCGUGAUGAUCAUCAAUCGCGGCGUUUCGUGGCAUCCAACCGAAACUUAAAUAUCAGGAAAAAAAAAAUUAAACAAAAAACGGUUCACACUUUCCAUUGAACUCUUGCAAAUUAAGCAACUCUAUCUACAUCGUUGUUAUUAUUAUUAUUAUGUUUUUGUUGCAUUAUUGUGAAAAAAUCAAGGGACUAUGGAGAAAAAGAGAUGAUGGGAUCUUUUCUUUCAACACCCCUUCUGUAUGCAGCAAUCAAUUAAUCAGAAAUUCCAUUUUCUUUUAUUUUCCGUUUAGUUUUUCUUUAAUUAUCAGAAAUAAGCCACUUCGGCCUUGGCCGAAGUGGUGGGCUGCUGCCCUCACAAGCAGCGGUUCUAGCCCCCACAAAAGCAUUGUGGGGGCUAAAUGUUCUUUAUAUCCUUCUCCCUUGCGAAAUGCAAGUGGAGUAUGGACAUCCUCUCCUGUGAGGGGUUAUUUGUAUUGGGCAUGUACUUCAUAGAAUUCAUUGUAAUAAUGUAAGUCCCAAUCAUGUAUAUUUGAUUGUAAAUAUCAGUGUAAUACCUCUGCUACAAUAAGCAGUUGUUGUAAAUAUCUGUGUAAUGCAGUAAUCUGAUGAUUAAUCAGUCUCAAAAAAAAAAAAAAUUAUCAGAAAUAUUAACUUAAGUUACUGGUUUAUUAAUUGGAAUUUUUAUCCCCCUUCACAGAAUGGUUUUUGGUUAUGCUUACCCUGCAUAUGAGUGCUUUAAAGCAGUAGAGAAGAACAAGCCAGAUAUUGAACAGCUCCUGUUAUGCUUACACUAUUAACACUAUUAACUAUGAAGAAGCAUCACAAAUCUAAAGAAAAUCAUAAUCUAUUAAAUUAAUGACGAGUUAUCUUAAAGUUCAAUCUAAUUGAUUUUACCAUUUAUAGUGGAAGCAACCAGUCAAGUGCUCAAUUUUUAAAGGAUUAAAUUAUUUACACUGUAAAAAUUAUUCUAAACAUUUAUUAUUUCAUACAACCAUUCACUUAAUUUUAAAAAUUAAGAUUAUAUUUUUUUUACUUUUUUAAUUUGAAUAGAUCUUAAUUAAAUGAAAGUCUAAAUAGCUCUGAAUGUAUAUGCUUGAGGACAUGUUUGUUUUUUUAUGACUAAAUAUAAGUGUUAAAUUAUUUGUCUUAUAAGCAAAAAAAAAAAUGAAUUAUGAUAUUUUGACAUUUAUGUCCCUAUAAGUAUUAAUAUAUAUUUGAUAAGUUAAAGAUGGUAAGUAAAUUAAAAUCAUUUUAUUAUUAAUUAUAAAAUAUCUAUUUUUUUCAAUAUAUACAAUGUUACAGCUAAAAAAGGUACAAUGUUAAUUACAUUAUUUGUGUGUAUGAUAUGAUUUUUUUUUUCGUUUAAUCACACAAGUUGACAUAGAAUCAAUUAACAAUUUCAAGUAAAAUAGCAUUUUACAUAUAUUAUUAAUUGUAAAAGUUAAAAUAAUUAAGGAAUAAAAACAACAGCUACAUCCUAGCCCAUUAAUUUUUGUUAAAAGUUUUGUUCAAAAUGAUUGUUAUAAAAAAAUAGUUGUUAUAAAAAAAGAGCCCGAGAUGAGUAUACGACUUAACGGCAAUUGGAAAGAGUAAAAUAAAAAUUAGUUAUGUUUGAUUGGAAAUAAGUGUAUUAAAUAGGGGUAUUUUUGAGAUAUUAUAGUGAUUUUUGUUCAAACUUUUUUUAAUUCAGAUAAAAAUCCAGUUAUUUAACUUUUUUCUAUUAAGUGGUAUAUUCUAGAAUUUAGAUAAAAUACGAAAAACAAACUAGUAAACUUAAAAAAAAUGUCUGACUUCAUACAUUUAAAAAUCAAGCUUUAAGUUUUACUUUAUACACUUUUUAAAAUAUCUAAAAAAAAUCCUGACUAAUUAAAUCAUUUUAGUUAAUUUGUAAAUAAAUUCUUUUUAACACAAUUUGAAUUUCUUGAAAUCGUGUUUUUUCCUCCUUCUGAUUUUAUUGUGUUAAACAAAUCAAAUGGCUUCUGCUACGGAUGUUUUUCCCGUGCAUUUGGUUUAUUUCCCUUUAAACUGUUGCACGUUGCAACUCUUCAGCAAGAGAGUUUACUCAUCUCGUUUUCAUUCGAUUGAAUCAAGAGACAAUUGUCUAAAACUGUAAGAUUAAGUAAAUAAAUAAACUCGAACACAAGUUUAGUUAUUAUUAUGAACCAGAAGUUUUAAGUAUGAGAAUUAUAAAUCAGUAUUACAUUAGUUAUAAUAGAUUAUUCAUUUGUUCAUAACAUUAAUUCAUGUGAUGAGAAUUUUUGAAAUAAAUUAUUUUAUUUAAAUAAAAGUAUUCAAAGUAAUUUUAAAAUAUAAAUACCCUAUUUAUUUAAAAAAUUACUAUAUUAGGCAUGCGAAGGCUACAUUCAAUUGGAUUGACACUCAACCCUCCCAAUAACAAAAAAUACAGGUAUAGAAAAAACUCAACUGAGGACAUGUUAAAAAGAUUUUUAUUUAUUUUUAGUACAUAUCAUGUGUGAGAAAAGAGAGCAAAUUAGUAAGGGGUCAUUAAAAAUUUAAAAUGGUGACAUCCCAAUGAUAGAGACUGGGGCAUAAUUAACUAAAAAAUUUAUAGUAAAAUUUGCUUCACGAUACACAUGAUUUAUGGUGAUGUUCCAGUCUCGCUUCAUUAACGUAAGUUCAUAAACAAAAAAGAAUGCUAUUUUUUAACAUAAGCUCAGGAUUAAAAAAUAAACAACCACAUUUAAGAUUUAAAACACAAGUUGCCUUAAAUUAACUCGAUUACAUGUGUCUAUUUGAAAUUAUUAAAAAUAAAUUCUAUUUUUCCCGCUAUCCCUAUCACUUUGCCAACGUGUUAUUCUCACAUUGGCCUGAUUUGCAGCCUCGAAUUGACUACAGCUAGGGAUGGAAAAAAUCUCCACGGGGACGGGUACCCUUGGGGAUUUUCCCCAUUCGGGGAGGGUACGGGGAUAAUUUUAUAUCCAAUUUUUUAUUCGGGGAGGGGACAGGGAAAAUUUUUUACCCAAUUUUUUAUUCGGGGACGGGACGGGGAUGAGGUGGAAUCCCCAUCCCCUACCCAUUUCCCCAUUUUAAUUUUUAAUUUUAUUUUUAUUUUUAAAAUUACUAAUAAAUAAAUAACAAAAUUAUAAAUAUUGACAAAAUAUGAGUGGAAUUUUGGGUGUGGCAUGUAUCUUUGAUCCAAGGUAUAAAAAGAAGUUCAUUGAAUAUUACUUUUCUAUGGUUUAUGGUGGUGUUAAAGAGUUGUAUGUUGGGAAAGUGGUCACCUUUUGUCGGGAAUUAGUGGAAGAGUAUCAAUUGAAGUUUUCACCAACUGUUUAUUGCUUUGAUUAUACUAGUAGUAGUUCUUCUAUUAGAUCUACAGGGGAUUCUUAUAAGAAAGCAACCAAAUGGAUUACAAGUUUUGAUGAUUAUGUAAACAAUGGAGAUUGUGCAGUUGUUGCAGAUGAAUUAGAUUCAUAUUUGGAUGAAAAAGUUAUACCCCGGAUGGAAGAUUUUAAUAUUUUGAGUUGGUGGAAGACAAAUGCUAAUAGGUAUCCUACAUUAGCUCGAAUUGCUAGAGAUAUUUUGGCAAUUCCAAUUACAACAGUUGCUUCUGAAUCAGCUUUUAGCACCGGUGGUAGAGUUGUGAGCCCACACCGUAACAAAUUUCAUCCAAGCACAUUGGAGGCCUUAAUGUGCUGUUAAAAUUGGUUACGAGCUUACAAUAGCAGUAUGAGUUUAUUUUACAUUGUAAUUAUAUUAUACAGUUAUUAAUAUUUGCACUUAUAAGUUACGUUACUUAUAUCAUUUUCAUUGUUUUAGGUUUGAAAUAUGAGGCUAUCUCUCAAUUUGCCACAUUUCUCGAGGAAGAACAGGACGAGCAGGAGGUAAAUAGUUUUAUUAAAAAUAUUAAUUAAGUAUAUACAUUUAUUUCAUUUAUUUUAUUGCCGAUAUAAAAAAUAAUUUUUUUCUUUUUAUUGUAGGAUUAUGAAGAUUGAGACAUUGAUAAAGAUAAUUAUUUUAAUAAUUUAUAUUUUGAAUGUGACUUUGUAAUGGAUCAAUAUUAAUGUAAGGUAUAUUUUAAACUUUAUUUUUAUCUGAAUUUUUUAUUUUAAUAUGAUUAAUUUAAAAUCGAAAAUAAAAAAAUGUAUUAGACUAUUAAUUAUUCGGGGACCGAGGACCCUCGGGGAUCCCCUGUUAUUAUUCGGGGAGGGGAUGGGAAUUCUCUCAAGCAAUUCUGACGGGGACAGGGAGGAGACGGGGACAUACACAAAAUAUCGGGGAUAGGUAUAGGGAGAUUGGUCCCCUCCCCUCCCCUCCCCAUUGCCAUCCCUAAUUACAGCAGAUUAAAAAGAUCAUGUACUGAAAUCGACAAAAUAAAAAAUCGGGUGCGUACCAGGCAAUACAGACCAGCCACAAACUUUUAUUGGAUGAUUGCCACGUAACGAAGAAUCAACGGUCCAAACGAGCUGGGAACUGACUGAGCCUGCGCUGUAAAGUCCAUGCGGCAUGCAGAUACGGGCCAACCAAAAGUGAAAAGCAGACUCAAUCAACCCGGCCUCCGCUGGUCUCAUCUCUUCUCGUCUCAUCCUCUACGAUCUAAACCUCUUUUACAGGAGGCCCUCAAACCGUCCCACGUGUCCUGACCACACAUAGAUUUGUGUGGUCACUAGGGAUGGCAAUGGGGAGGAGAGGGGAGGGGACCAAUCUCCCCGUAUUUAUUCCCAAUAUUUUGUGUAUGUCCCCGUCCCUUCCCCGUUCCCGUCAGAAUUAUUUGAGAGAAUCUCCAUCCUCUCCCCGAAUAAUAACAGGGGAUCCCCGAGGGUCCCCGAUCCCCGAAUAAUUAAUACAUUUUUUUUUUGUUUUUGAUUUUGAGUUAAUGAUAUUAAAAUAAAAAAUUUAAAUAAAAGUAAAGUUCGAAAUAUAUCUUACAUUAAUAUCCAUUACAAAAGUCACAUACAUUAAAUUAAUAAGUAACGCAGCAUGCAAGGGAUACAAACUUCUUUUACAAACUAUCAUGAACAAAUUAAUAGUCUAAUACAAAAUUGUUACAAAUAAAAUUGAAUUUAGAUUCAAAAUUAAAUUUUUCAAUGGUGGCGUGGACACUUUAUAAAUGUGGACUAUUCCCUUUACAACACAAUAGUUAAAUCGGAGCAAAUCAAGAGCAAAUAUUAGAUUAGAUUAGAUUAGAUAUUAAAAUUUUGAUUCGCUGUGGGCAAUUAUAACAUCUAAAAAUAAAUAAAAAAUAGAUUUAAGUUUAAAAUAUUUAAAUAAUAUUAAAAUUAAAAAAUUUUGGACUAAUAGAAUUUACUCGGUCUUUUUAAUGUCUUAAAUAAAAAUUUAAGACUUUAAUUAGUUAAUUAGGCCUAAAAGUUUAAUAAUAUAAAUAUUUUGAUAUUUUUUAUUUUUACCAAUAUUUAUAAUUUUAUAAUUUAUUUACUAGUAAUUUUAAAAAAUUAAAAUAAAAUUAAAAAUUAAAAUGGGGAAAUGGGUAGGGGAUGGGGAUUCCACCUCAUCCCCGUCCCCUCCCCGAAUAAGAAACUGGAUAAAAAAAUUUCCCCAUCCCUUCCCCGAAUAAGAAAUUGGGUAUGAAAUUAUCCUCAUACCCUCCCCGAAUGGGGAAAAUCCCCGAGGGUACCCGUCCCCGUGGGGAUUUUUGCCAUCCCUAGUGGUCACCAACCUCUGUCCUUAUCUCUCUCUAUUUCUAUGGACGUGUUUGACCUCAUUUUUCAAAGUGCUUGUCACAAUGAAACGAUGAAAAUAAAAUAUGUUAAUGGAUCAAUAACAUGUUAUGCUUAUUUAAUUGAGAUAUUUAUUGAUGUAUCACAAAUUAUUUAAGGGUAUUAAUUAAUUUUAUUAUUAAUUAUUAGCCUAUCACCACUCUCUAGAUUACUCAUAAAAUAGCACAUCAAUUAAUAUCUUAAUUAAAUAUCUAAAGUGAAUAAACAUAAUAAUUAAUCUAUCAUAAUUCAAUUAAACAAUUUACUAAAAAUAUUCUCAUACAACUCACAUCAGCUGCUGUUAAAAUGACAAAAUUUUUGAAAAAUUAUAUUUUGCGAAUGACAAGCUAAAUAGAUAAUAUUCAGAAAGAUAAAAGUUUAAGACAAGUGAGAGUUGUUCUUUAUGAUUUAUGCAAGUCAACAUUUAUCCGUUUAUACAUUAAUUUUGUUUGAAUAUAAACUCAAUUAAGACAGGUUCAAUGCACUAUUUUCUCAUGCUUAAGACAUGUUCAAUGAAUAUAAAAGUAAAUUCAAUAUUUGAGAUUUUAUUUUAAAUUUCUUUUUAUAUGGAUGAUGUAACUUUUCACGUACAUGUAUAAGUAGAUAUAUUUCGAGUUUGGGGUAAAUAUCUCAAUUUUAUUAUAUUGUAUAACAAGUAUAAAGAUGCUACAAGUAAAUAUAGCAUAUCAUAAAUUAAAAGAUGUUUAUUUAGUUAUGAUAUUUAAUUUUUAUCUUAACUUAUGUAUUGACAAUUAAAAUUUAUUAUUUGAGUUAAAAAUAACAAGACUCGGUAAUUAUUUAUCACUUAAAUUAAUUACACAAUGAUACAUUAUUUAUUAUAUUAGUUAAAAUAUAUAUUAACUUUCCUUUUAAAUAAGUGUAAUAUUAUUAUAGUAAAAGAAAGAGAGAGUAAUGCACGUUGAAAAUAAUACUAAAUUAAAUGAAACCAAACCAAACGGGGCCCACACUUUAGUUUCUAAAAACAUACAUUAUCUAACGACUACGGCUCUCCCUUUUUUUUUCAUAUAAAAGUGAGCCAAAAGAGUUAAUUAGACGCCGGGGAAGAAGAAGGCAACGGGAGGGACUCGCCCAAUACCAAAGGCAACUCUUGUGAUUCACGAGACUCUCAACAAAACAAAAGGCAAAGGCAAAAGCAAAUCCACAAACCUAAAACCCUAGCUUCACGAGAAUCAUCACAAGAAGAUUAAUGGAGACAGCUGAAAGUACAAGCUCGAUGAAGCAGCAGCAGCAAGUGCUGGACGGUUCAAAUAUAAUGAAGUUGGUUGGAAAUGAGGAGGUGUUUAGCAGCUUUGUUGAUCAUAAGUUCCAAGAACUUGACAGAGACAGAGAUGGUCAGCUCUCUGUGAAGGAGCUUCAGCCUGCUGUUGCUGAUAUUUGUGCUGCUCUUGGCUUGCCUGCUCAGGGCUCUUCUCCUGACUCUGAUCACAUCUACUCCGAGGUUCAUUUCUACGCGAACCCCAUUUCAUUUUUUUUAUAUUCUUACCGUACCUAUGAUGCUUUAACUGCUAGCUUAAUUUUUAAAAGUACAAUAAUUUGAUUACUGCAUAAGUCUUUUUUUUAAUUUAUAUUCAAGGGGCAGUGAUUUCAUCCGACACCUGUUAUAGGAAUAGUUAUUUUUAUUUUUAUUUGACAGCUAGUGAUUUUAUUUCCGUAAUUUUAUUUCCGUAAUGGUUAUUCUUAGCACACCAAUAAUACUACUACUUGUAGUCAGUUUCUUUUCUGUUUAAUUGAACGAGCCUAUAUUACUUAUACGUCAAGCCUGUGAUUUCAUUACACAACCCUAUUUCAAUCAUAAGAAUACAAUUAAUCUUUUUUUUUAAAGCAAUAGUCUCAUAGUUACUAUUUACAACUGAUCUGAUCUGUUCCUUGAGUUUGAUUUUUUUUUAAAAAAAAAAUUCUCCCCUAAUUGUAAGUUAGUGAUAUCGUAUCCAAAGAACAAGUUAGAAAAAAAAAAAAAAUAGAAAAUAUCAUUUUUUUGGUUGCAAGCUCCAAAGCUAGCGAGAAUAAGAUAAAGAUGUUACAUAAGUGGUGAAGACUUUUGUGCUCUCCCUUACGUUUCAAUUUUUUUCUUUUUUCUAGUAAGGUCAAUUAAACUUAUCUUUCAAUGAUGAUAAAUGAGCAAAAAUUGUGUCAUCAUCAGAUUAUUUGACUGUCCUCUUAUGUCAUUCAUAUUUUUCAAUUUGAAGAAAAUUUAUGAAUUGAAAAGAAGGCGGUGCAAUCUCUUCCUGGUUGGUGGGUACUGCACAGUCUAAUCUUGAUAUAACAUUUUGGUGAUCUUAAUUUCAAUAGAACAUAAUUGUAGAAGGUCGGCUACUCAAUUACGUUAACAUAUAAGCUGUCUAAUGUUUCCAUUUUCUGCGUAGUUAGCUCCAUAAUUAUCCAACCUAUUAUUCAAUUUUGGUCGGUGUAUUGCGACUUUAUAACUUUUGAUUAGCUAGCCUUUUCUUUAUUUCUUUUCUUAUUGACUUUUUCAAUGUUCUUGCUUUGUAUAUAUCUCCAUAGUUAAGGAGGAAUCUAGUGACGAAUGUUGUGGAACUUACUGCUUGUCUCUUUGGAACUUUAUUGUUGUUCAAGAAAUAAUGUAAAUGGGGACCAAAGUGAAUUUGCUUUUUAAUAAUUUGCAAUGAAGGUUUAAGUGAAGCCUCAUGACUUUGCUUGCUGAACAAGUGAUAAUCUUGUACCUAAUCUUCUAGUGUUCGGCCCAGCUCAGCACAUAUUAUUUUUUAUAUGUUGGAACCAAAAAGUAUGUGAUGUUGGAAUAUUAUUUCCUUUUAGGCGCACGAUAAAUGUGGAAGCAGUAAAUUAAAGCAUCAUAGUCAUGGCCGAAAAGCAGAGCAGGGAUAAAGUACGAGGGUGGUCCUGUUGCUCUACAUCAACUAGCCGAUUGUGUGGCACAACCGCUAAAAGAGCAGCCUGUGAUUGUUGCCCAUAGUGAAAAUAUUUUUGAUGGAAGUGGCAUUAAGAGACUCUUGUCAAACAAGUUUGAAUUAGACAAGGUGUGUCCUGUUUAAAACAUGCUUUUGUGUCAUAUUUUGGAGUGCAGCAUUAUUAUGGAAAAGCUUACUGAACUUCAUCUCAAAAUACAGACAAGGACUGCAGCUCUAGAGAUUGUGCCAAAAGAUCAUAAUGGGAAAUUAUCAAAGGACUAUUUACGUGUAGCAUUGGAUGCAGUGGCCGCAUCAGCUAGUUUACCCCGAAUUGGUGCAGUCGCACAGGUAUUCUUCAUCAACUUGUGUUACAGACAUUCCAACAAUAAUAUUAGAAGACAAUGCUGUUUGUAUUACACAAGUUAGAGGAGGAUAUAUAAAAGGAGAUAAAACCGAACACAUCUCACCAAAGUUCUUUUACGAACUUUUACACUCAUGAGCUCCAGCAGAGAGAAAAUUGAUGUUAAAUAGAUAUAUUCCACUAAUAAUUUAGCGGUCUUUUUACUAAAGGUUUACCCACUUCAACCUAGGAAAAACUAGUUUAUAGUAUUGGCAUGUGUCACCUCAGUAGAUUAUCAGGUAGUCUAUAGUAUUGGCAUGCGUCAACUCAAUAGAUUACCAAAUUGAUGUUUGUCUAUUUGAUGGGAAGUAUUCUACGUGCAUAAAUAUCUAAGAGAAGAACUAUAAAAAGUAGAUACAUGUGCUCUACACUCCUUUUUUCUAUGACUAGUUUUUCUCAUCUGAGAUUUUAUUGGUGAAGGCUUUUAAUGAGAGUUAUUUUAGGACCAUAUGAAAGUGGGGGACAUUCAAUGGAGAGUAUUGUGUAACAAUGGGUUUACUGCUUGUUGAUGCAGGAUUUUGGCACUUGAAUUUUUAGUUGGUAGGGAAUGAUCUUGAGGUGCUUCUUUCCCUGAUGAGCAGGGUUUUAGAGAACUAAACCUCCCCUUGGCAAACCCUUGCACACACAACAACCAGUCAGGGGACGCUGGUAGUUUUUCUAACAUAAACCCUCCGACGCUCAAAUCAGUAAUAUGGACUUAUUUAGAAAAAAACUAUGCCACUGAUUCGUGGCUUUGUUUUAAUUUUUAUCCCGUUAAUGUAAGAGACUUAUCAAAGAGAGUAAAAAAUAGAAUGUCAAAGUGAAUUGUUAUAUAGAUAAGUUCAAUGUCCGAGUUUGCAACUCCUUUACCAUCAUUAAAUGUCCCUUUUAUAACUUGUUUGGGCGUUCUGUCUCCACUGCCCCACGUUCAUCACUAUGUCAAGUGUUUCAUCAUGAGUGUAUUAGCGUUAUAACCAUUGCUAAGUAGGUUUAGUGUCUGGAAUCUCUGGAAAGAAUGCACGUGUUGAUAUCUCCUCGUAUUUUGUCCAACAACUACACCAUAUAGCUCCCCACCUACGAGCAAGUAGCUCCUGCACAUGGAUACCAGACAGCUCCUCGUCACCAAAGAAGCGACCCCUGCUCGGAUAUAUUUGGUCGGGACAUCAAACAUCCCAAACACAACUAUUUUCAUUUAGUAUAUUUAUAGCUUAUUAAAAUAACUUAAAUCUCAUUGAUUUAUUAAUUAAAUUUAAUGUAAUUUUUCACUAUAAAUAGCUAUGAGAAUAUAAGCCAAAAGCAUCCCAUUCUUAUUAUCUUUUUAUUUAGUACGAAGAAAGUUUUUUUUUAUCUUAAAUUUACUUUCUUAUUAAUAAUUAUUAUUAUCUUAUUUAUUACAUUUUAGUAAUUUUUUUAAAAAAUAUAAAAUAAAUUAUUUGUGUAACCUAUCCCUACUGUUAAAUUAUGAAACUUCGAAUGGAAAUUAGAGUGGCACGUGAGACCAUGAUAAUUCAUUAUAAUACAAAUUAAACAACUCAAAAGAAAAAAAAAAAAGGCCCAGGUGCACUUCACAACGCAAAAGUUGUCGAAAACUAUAAAAUAUUUUGUUGAUCUUUACUUUUCUUCAUUAAAAGUAUGCAAUUUAUUUUCACCAAAUGCUAGAGCAAACACGCGUUUUAUUUGUGAUCUCUCGAGCUUUACGGCGUGAUCGCCCUGGAAUUAAAAACAAAUCACCCAUAUCUAAAACAUCGAUAUCAUGCUUGGUACAGAAAGUAGAAACUUGACCAAAUAAAGAAUCACAUCCACUAUCUCUCAACUUCUGAAGGUUAUGCCUAUAAACUUCAACCAAUUUUAUAGCAUUCAAAAUAUCUUGAUUUUUCAUUUGUAGUGCUCGUGACAACUCAUUUGCAUAGCCAAGAAUAUUUUUCAUUAAGAAUAAACAAAAUACGAAAUCAAAUGAUUGCAUCAACUUCAAUAGCGUUUUAGCAUGAAAUUUUUGUUCAGAAUUUUCUUCAACUUCAAUUAUCUCAAGCACAUUAACCACAGAUGGAAACAUUGAAAUUAUGCUCAUUAACGUACCAUAAUGAGAAGACCAGCGUGUAUCAACAGGACGCUUUAAAGUAAUCUCCUGAUUCAAACCUUGUCCACUUGAAAGCUCACCUUUACCUAAUGCUUCAAUAACUGCAAGAGCAUGUAUCUCAUGUAGAAUGUCACGACGUUUAGCUGACACUCCAACAACAUUAACUAGCAUUGAAACUAAAUUGAAUAAAGAAUUAACAUCCUCAUGCUUUUUUGCCACGAAAAUAAGAGCCAACUGAAGUUGAUGAGCAAAACAGUGAACAUAAUAAGCAGAUUCAUUCUCCUCUAAAAUGAGUGUUUUCAAACCAUUAAACUCACCCUGCAGAUUACUUGCGCCAUCAUAACCUUGCCCACGUAACAUUGACAAACUCAAUCCAAACCUUGAAAACAUAUUAUCAAGAGAUUCUUUAAGUGAGGCAACUUUAGUGCUAGAAACAUGUUCAAUGCCUACAAAACGUUCAACCACAUAUCCAUUCUUAUCCACAUAACGUAAUACAACAGCCAUUUGCUCUUUUGUAGAUAUAUCACUAGGCUCAUCAAUUAGAACAUAAAAUAAUGCACCAUCCAUCUCUCUAAUAAUAUCAUUAGUAGUUUCAGUUGCAACACAACUUACAAUGUCUUUUUGGAUCUUUGGAGAUGUCAUUUGCAGAUUUAGAGGAUUAUUUUUGAAAGUAACAGCAUUAAUAUCUUCAUUAUGAUCAGCAAGGAAGUGUAAAAGCUCAAGAAAAUUCCCUCUGUUGCUUGAACCAUCAGACUCAUCAUGCCCACGAAAUGCUAGCCCUUGAUUUAAAAGAAAUCGAAUACAAUCAACAACAGUAUUCAAGUGAGUUUCAUAUUCACUUUGAGUUUUCUAGGAUUUUCUUUCAAAAAAUGUUGCAAUAUGUUGUUUCUGAUUCAUCAACCAUUCACAUUUCUGCCUAGCUCGGUUAUGGGCACUAUUGACACCUCCUUCAUGAAUCUUUACUUUUUCUUUUUUUUUCCAAUGUUUAAAUCCUUUCCCAGUAAAAGUAUCACUGCCUGAUUGAUCACCAUUAUCUUCUUUGAAAAGAAAACAAAAAAGAAAAUAUGCAGACUCUUCUUUUAUACUAUAUUCCAGCUAAGAACCAAAUUCUUUGAACCAAUCCGAAACAAAUCGUUGUUGUUGAUUUCUAAAUUUCUCAAAUUUAAAAUUGUGCCCCUUAGGUUGAAAAGGACCCCUUUGUAAGUAUGUUCUUCGAACUUGAUCUCGAAUAUUACAAUUAUAACUAUCAAUACAAGGUUACAAGCCAGGGUCAGCAAGUAAAUUUUGUAAAUUGACUUUAUAUGAACCAUCACUAGUUCCCUCUAAAGGAGAUGGGAGCUGUGGUUUCUUUUUAAAAAAUUUUUCCAUAUCUGUUUCAAAUCAAAUAAAAUUAUUAAUUAUUAGAUUAAAUUUCACAAUAAGACUAAAUCCUAACAACGAACAAGAAUAAUUAAUUUAAUAAAAAUUUGAUAAUAUAAAAAUAUUAUUUGACAACACACUCAAUGGGGCUCACGGGAAAGAUACAUUAUUGCAAAUUUUACUUUUUCAAUUGCUCAUUUAUUUGCAUUAACAAAGUGAUUGCUUUUAUAAUUUAUAUAAUAAAUUAUACACCACUUUCAUCAUUUCACAGAGCACCCACUAUCCCACCACUUUCCCUUUCAAUUUUAAUAUUAAAGAAUUGCUCACUUUUCACAAAUCAACUUUUACUUUUGGAAUUUUGUAUAUAGCUAUCAGAAUAAGAAUUGACGAACGAAGUUAGAGAGAUGCAGCACAUUCAUUCGGCCAAAAUCAUUAGUCAAACUUCAAAACAACAUUCAAGCACAAUACUUGUUUCAAUUUAUGGGCUAUGGCUGAUCUAGCUAAGGGACGAAAUCAUGAAAGGCUCAUUUUUCAAUCUAUGUUGUAAUAAGAAUGAUAUUUAAAUUCAUUUUAAAGAGAAACAUAUAAUUAAAAAAAAUGAAAAUCUUAUAUUUAAUUAAACUCAUUCUCUCAACAACCCGAAAGAUGCCCCAAAUACAAGCCGUUGGACACAAAGUUUCUUUUUUAAUUUUUUUCAACUUUUUUAUUUUAAAUGAGUUUUACCAAAUUGUCCCCUCAUCAUAGAUUAUAAGGUAUGCGUACCUUUUCACCCUCCACCUUUCAAUUCUCACUGAUGUAGAAUUUAAAAAAGAAAAGAAAAGAAAAGAAAAGUGAAGCCACCAAGUCAAUGGCAACUUGUGAAACAUUACUCGGACCUUGCUACCAAAGCUCAUUCAUUUCUCAUGCUCUCGGAAAUUACCAGAUCUCUGAGCUGCUGCUCUCAUUUCGGUAUGUUACUUUUGCUUCCUAUAUCGCUUACAGUGUUAUUUCAAUCCCUUUUUUCCCCCCCAAUGAAAGAUUUGAUAGUGAACAAGAACUUAUGUAUGAUGUUAAUUAGGUAGAUAUAUCUUAUGUUGUUUUGAUCUGAUGUUUAUUUAUAUUGCUAGAUGAAGCUUUUAAUUUUCUCUGAACUCUUGCGACUCUCUAACUGGAGGUUUCAGCAGUGAUUGAGGAUAUAUAACGAAGAAGGUAUGCGAUAUUAUUGUUUCAUAAGCUCUUAAUUUGAUGUUAUUUGUUUUACUUCCAAUGGCUACGCUAGUUCGUUUUAUGCCAAUUUUGCACGUUGGAUUAAAAACAUACAGAUAAAAUGGUCGAGAAUUUUAAGUUCUAAGUCUUUUAAUGCAAUUUUUUAUUACAUUAAUUUUCAUUAUAUUAUUUUUGCCGUUUAUUUGUAUUAAUUCUUAAGUCAAAGAUGGUUGAUUAAUAGGAAUCACCUCCAAGUCAUUACUGUUGACCAUACUUUAAAAAUAAAAUUAAUUUGCCUACCGGCUUUAAUGAAGUCCGAACAUGAGUCCAUUAUGCUCUCCUGUGAUUUCAAAUUGAUCCAUUUAAUACAUCUUUUGAAUUUCAUAUGUGCAACAACUAUAAUCUGGAAAUCCUUCAAUUUUUUUCAUGAGUGCGCGUGCAUAAGUUGUUGCGGAUUAGAAUAGGUUGUUGCGGUCUUCUAAUCUCUAUUACUCUUUUUUCAUCACUUUUAGCAUAUUUCCACAUGAAACUGCCUGUCUUCACUUGCAAUUCCCAACGAGCUCAAUUUUUUUUUUUUAAAAAAAAGGUAAGGGUUAGAUAAAGCUACAAUUCAUUUCUUUUUAAACUCUUUACCUCAUCCAAGAUUCGAACCCGCUCCUUUUUGGGGCACAAUGAACUCUUAGGCUUAUCUAAAUUCUAUUAAAUUUGAUGUUUGAUAUUUUUCUUCAAAAAUUUCUAAAGCAAUCUAAUUUCAAUAUGUUCCACCAUAUAUCACGUUUACCUUAUUUCUUCUCUUCUGUUUGCAGCUAAAGGCUACUUAAAGCCCAGCGUUUGUAUUUUGCUCUAUUGAUCAAAGCUGGCGUUAAUAAACGUGCAUUCGCAGAAUAGAAGAAAGUAAUUAAACGUUCAGAAAAUAGUAAUUAAACAUUAUCGUUCGAUCUUGUGAUCAAGCCUCGUUGUUUUGCUUAUAGUGUACUGAGAUCAACUUUGUUAAUUGCAGAUAAAUAGCAUGGAAAUUUUAUCAGGUAUUGCAUCAAAGCUUGGAGAAUUAUUGGUGGAUGCUACCAUAAAACAAGCUCGCUAUCUGUUCUGUUUCAACAGCAUUGUUAAAGAACUUGAGGAUAAAGAAACUAAUUUGAAGGAGGCACAAGAUGGCAUCAACGAAAAAGUAGAAGAAGAACGACAAAAACAUUGCGCUAUAGUAGUUGAGAAAGAUGUAGAGAAGUGGCUAGCGGAUGUAGUCAAAGAAAUGGCAGAUGUUCGAAAUUUGAAAGCAAUGGUAGAUGAAAAGAAGAGUUGUCUUAAUGGAUGGUGUCCUAAUUGGGGUUGCCGAUAUUGGCUGGGUAGAAAAGCAUCAAAAAGGACUAGCAAGCUGUCCGAUCUGCUACAAGACCGCAGCAAAUUCAGCACAAUUGCCCGUCCUAAACCUCUUCCAUCAGACAAAGAAUUGCCUAUACCAAGACAUUUUAUGUCUUUCGGGACUACAGAAUCGGCUUGCAAUCAGAUCAUUGAAGCACUGAUAAAAGACAGCACAAAGAUGGUGGGAUUGCAUGGUCUCGGUGGUGUAGGAAAGACAACCCUGGCAAAAUUUGUGGGCAAUCAACUUCGGCAGAAAAUGAUUUUCGAUCAGGUGGGGAUAGCCACUGUGUCUCAGGAUCCAAGCAUAAUAAAUGUUCAAAGUGAGCUGGUAAAGUCGUUAGGUUGGGCAUUAACGGAGCAAGAUGAAGAAGAUAGAGCAGACCGACUGCGCUUGAUGUUCUUUGAGAGUAAAAGCCGCAAGAUACUCAUAAUCCUUGAUGAUGUCUGGAAAGAGCUCGACAUGGAGACAGUAGGUAUUCCCGUCGGUGAUAGAGACAACUGCUGCAAAAUGCUUCUAACUACUCGCCUGCAGCAGGUUUGUGAUCGCAUGGGUUGUGACACGCGGAUUAAACUAGAUGCUCUAGACCAAGCAGAAGGAUUGAAUUUACUAAGAAAGCAUGCUGGCAUUGACGUUGCUGAUACAACCUUGAUUGAUGUUUCAAAACGAGUUGCUGAUGAAUGUAAGGGGUUGCCUUUAGCUAUUAAAGCUGUUGGAAGUGCACUAAGAGGAAGAACCGCUGAUGAAUGGAAUGUAGCACUAGAUAAACUACAAAAUGCAAAACUCGAUAAGAUAGAAGGUAUUGAUAAGGAUUCCCGGGGCGUUUACGGUUGUCUCAAAUUUAGUUAUGAUUAUUUGAAUGGUGAGGAUUCCAGGUCGUGCUUCUUAUUGUGUUCGCUGUUUCCAGAAGAUUAUGAGAUAGAUUUGGAGGAUUUGCUUGGAUAUGCUGUGGGGUUGGUUUGGUAUCAAGCUGAGUCAAUCGAAAAAGCCAGAAGCCUACUGCGUUGAACAAUCAAAGGACUCAAAGAUUCUUCAUUGCUGUUAGACACUGAUAAUGACGGAUUUGUGAAAAUGCAUGACGUAGUUCGCGAUGUAGCCAUAUGGAUAGGCAAAGUGGAGAAGAAAUGUUUUACUAGUAAAGUUGGCAUUGGAUUGGCGGAAUGGGCAGUGGAAGAAUGCCUAGAACAAUACAGAGGAAUCUCUUUGGUGGGAAAUGAAAAAGUAGAGCUUCCUAGCGGUUUGGUAUGCCCUAGCCUUCAUAUUUUACGACUGGAGAAUACUCUAGAUGGCAACAAAUUGCAAGUUCCAGAAUAUUUUUUUAAAGAGAUGUCAGCACUGAAAGUUGUUACUAUAAUAGGUGGAGUCCUUUCAGUUAAAUCACUUCAAUUCCUCGCCAAUAACCUUCGAGUUCUGCUGUUGAUUCGAUGUGAUGUGAGUGACGCGUCUUUCCUUGGAAAGUUGAAGAGACUUCAAAUACUUUAUCUCGAGAAGUCUCCCAUUGAAAUUCCAGAUGGAUUGGGGGAUGAACUUAGUAGAUUGAAACUUCUGUAUAUUGGUAGUUGGUCUGGCUCCAUUUCUCCCAUUACGAUAAAUAAAUUUCCUCAAUUAGAAGAAUUUUAUGGUUGGAUAAAAAAUUGGGAGGUUGAAGGGAUGAGUUCAGAAGAAAGUUACGCUAGGUGUGCUGAGUCGGACUCCCAACCCGACGGAUCCGUUGUAUGUCUUCCAAAUGACUUUUCAUUUCCGAAAUUACAAAGGUAUGGCAUCAUGGAAGUUGGCGCUUUAUAUGACACUGAUAGAUGGACAAGGUGCUUAGACGCUUUUGAUAGAGGGACAAGGUGCUUAAUCAUUGAGAAUAACCAUCCUAAAGCGACGCUAGGAAUUUUUUCAGCACUGUAUCAAAAUCUGGAAAUUCUUUAUUUAAGUGGGGUAACAGGUUGUCAUAAUAUUGUGCCAAGCAUAGAUGAACGGGGCUUAAAUGAGUUGACUAUUCUUCAUGUCACCGAUUGUAAAGAUUUAGAAUGCAUAAUGGACGCCUCUAAGUCGCCGCAUGGAAAGAGUGGGAAUCCUGUGAUGCUCUCAAGAUUAGUAGAGUUAUAUAUGAGGGGAUUACCAGAACUGAAGUGGAUAUGGAAGGCGCCCGGCCAACAUGUGAUCGGCCUCCAAUCUCUUACAGAAUUAAAAGUGUCAUGGUGCAACAAUUUGACAUAUAUCUUCACGUUGUCACAAGCUCGAAGUUUGGUGCAGCUUAAAAGUCUGAAAGUGAGUUACUGCGAGAGACUGGAAUGUAUCGUUGAAGCAAAAUUUGAUCAUAAUGAGAGGGAAAUAAGUGUAGGAGAUGGAAAUACAAUACUUGCGCUCCCUUCGUUGAGAAAUUAAGAUUUAAAGAUCUCCCCGAACUCAUCAGCUUCUGUUCAGAAAAUUAUUAUUCAACUUGGCCGGCAUUGGAAGAGUUAGAUGUAAGGAGUUGUCCUAAAUUGACCGUCAACAGUACUGAACUUGAAGCCAAUUUGCAGUAUCUUGGAGAGGUAUGUUCGCUUGUGUUUACGUUUUUUUCUUUCUUUUCCUUUAAUUUUACUCAAAAAGAUAGUUUAUCAAAAACUUUUGUGAUCAGUCAUUCAUAUCACCUUGCAUUUGGUGUGUUGAGAUGAAGAUGACGGUGGUGGUAGUGGUGAUGAUAAUAAUAACGAUCCAGUAUCUUGAGCAAAUUUCUUUGUUUUAGGGCCUAAAAUUCAUUUUUUAAAUAAAAUUCAUAUCUCGUUUUACUUUAUACUAAAAAAAUGGAUGCAAGGACUUGUAAAGUAUGUAUAUUAUUAGUCAAAUUCAAUUCAUUAGUUAAUUUUACCAUAGAGAUACUAUAUUAAUUUUUCUCAAACAAAACGAUGUCACUGCUAUAUCACUUCACAUGAUUUUUUUCAAUGGAUUUCUUUUUCUUUUUUAUAAAUUCCUUACUUUCACAAAGUAUAAUUAUUUUAUAAGUUUACAUGUGUAGUAUUAUAUUUUUGUAGGGACUUUUUGAAUUAUUUGUCGCUUAAUUGUCAAUUUGACAAUCCUAGCUGCUAACAAAUUUUAAUUACAUCAAGUUAUUUAUUUAUUUGUCUCAGAAAUUAAGAAUUCUAAGAGUACGUGAAUGCUCCCAUUUGCGUGACACGAUUCCAGCACUGUUGAAGCACGGCUUAAAAAAUUUGGAAGAAUUGGGUAUUAGCCAACUUGGAGUACAAGUGGUAUUUCAAGUGGAAGCUAUUAUCGCUGAGGGACAAGAAAACAAACUAUUCCCAUGUUUGAAGAGGUUGUGGUUGGAAAACCUUCGAGAACUGCAAGUAUUAUUAUAUCACGUAGGUCCCACGCAUAAUUUCAGCCUGCAAAGUCUUACCUAUUUAAGAGUAGACGGGUGCACUAUGCUGAGACGUCUCUUCUCAUCAACACUUGCUCGAAAUCUGUUGCAAUUGGAGGAGUUAUUCGUUCGCGAUUGCUGGGAAUUAGAGCAAAUCAUUCAUGAGGAUGAGGAUGAGGAUCAUCUCCAACCUGUAUGUUUCCCAAAACUCACAAGGAUCUCUGUCUUUAGGUGCCCCAAACUAAAGCAUCUAUUUCAUAUCAGCGUAGCUCCAGGUCUUCAAAAACUGUACAUAAUAGGUAAUGAUGAAUUAGAAGAAGUAUUCUGCCAUAAAGAUGGAGCAGACGUCACGGAUUACAAUGAAAUUGUUAUGAAUGAACUUCGGAAGUUGGAACUGAUAAACUUACCAAACCUCACCAACUUUUGGCCUGCGGGUUAUCAGAUCCCAUUUCCAUCUGCACCCUAUAGAGUUGUUGUUCGUAAUUGUCCCAAGUUUCGUCCAAGUUCCGAAGGAGAUAUAUGAUUCCAAGAAUUCAGGAGCACAGGUCAACUCUUGAGAACUUUAGUUAAUUGACUCUAAACAUAGUUGGUUCAUGUUUUCGUUUGUGAUAGCUAAUUAAUCUAUCCUAAAAUCAAAAUUUCUCUUUUGAUAUAUAUAUGUGUUAUAUUAUAAUUUUUUUUAAUCAUUUUAUUCAUCAUUCAAUCGUAUUUAAUGCCCAAUUUAAUGGUUGGAUAUAUAGGCACAGCAAACUACAGACGAGGAGAUGCCAAUGAAGACGCCAGCGAAGAAAAAGAUGGGAGCGAACAUAAAUGAAUUUAAAAAAUUCCAAAAAUCCAAAAAAAAAAAAAAAGCUUUGUUCAACGUGUUCAGUUCGCGCAAGGAGCUAAAAAUAAGCUUUGUUCUAUACUUGUUUAAUAGUUAGUGCGUGCUCAAAUUGUGAAGAAUAAAGUUUCAAGGCUUUGUUGUAUGUAUCUCAAGAUUUAUUCAACUUCAAAAUUCACCUGUUCCGUUUGUGAUCAUUGUUUCUUCAAUUGUUGGCUAAAUUGAUGGCCUUUUCGAUGGGCAUUAAUUGGGCCAAUUUGGUAGUAGCACGCAUUUUGUAUUGAGUAACUUCAAAAUGUUCUACCUUUCUAGACAGCGAAGAAAGUGUGUGGUGACUGCAAUAUCUUUUAAUUUUUCUAUUUAAAGUUAUUAUUUUAUUUUUUAUUAACCAUAUCAAAUGGUACAGAGUUAAUACAAAUUAUAAAUGGCAGGUUGUUAAUAUUUAUUCUGAGCUCAAAUUGUAAAGACCAGAGCUUCGAGACUUUGUGUGGUGACUGCAAUAUUUUUUAUUUUUUAUGUUCGUGACAGUAUUUUCCUGGAUAUUUAGGGAUUUUGGGUUCUCUGGUACCCGUACCUUUCGAUAGCCACCCAUUUUUAUUGGCUUGUGGAAACUCAUUUUCAAAAGACAAAAUGGAAAAUUGUGUUCCGAAUAGGACUCUGCUUUAUGCCACAAGCCCACAAGUGCUUUUAAUAAUCAUUUUGUUAUAUGAAUCGGUGCUUGCUUUGGAGCCUAAACCAUCAAGAAAUGUUAGUGAAUUUUUUUUUUUAAUUAUUUAGUGUAAUGGCAAUUCAAUUUUCUUUUCAAAUUCAAAAUCGUUUGCAUUCACAUCAAAAUUUUUUAUUAUCUCUACUAAAUGACACCCACAAACUAAUUAGUGAAUAUAUAUAAUGACAUAAAUGAAAAUCAUGGUUUGUUUUAGAAUAUUUAACAAGGUUACUAUUUAUAGAUAGAUAUAUAGAUAAUUGUUCAAAACAAAAGACACGUAAUUUUUGUUUAUUUUUCAAAUUAAUAAAUAGAUAAAUAAGAAUCGAGUUGCUGAAUUUUAAUUAGUUUUCAAGUCUUGGAAUAUCCAUUAAUGUUAUUGUGGAAUGUGCAUUUGAAAGAGCAUUCUGUAAAAUGAUUUUACUAAGUUACGUUUUUUUAAAUUAUUUUUAAGUUCCUUUAUUUUAUUUUUCCCAAAGCAUUUCAGUUAUUUUUUUAUUUCAAAAAUCACUUAAUUACGGAUGAGAUUAUUUGUACUCAAAAUAUUACUUUGAACACUUUAUUAUUCCGUACACUCAUACACAAAUUAUAAAAAAAUUAAGUUUUAAUUUAUACAAUUUUAAAAAUUCAAAAAAUAUCCUUACUUAAACUAUUUACGUUAUUCAAACAUUAUUUACUUAAAAUACUAGUAAAACUAUUUAGCUCCAAUUUUUUUUUGGAGACUUAAUAUAUACUUACAAGAAUAUAAUCAAGUUCAGUUGUAACCAAAUUAUUUAACACAAUUUUAGUAUAAUUUAUUUAUUUAUUUAUGUUCCAAUAUUGAACCUUUGCACCCAAAAUAACUUACAAUGAUAACAUGAUAAUUAUUUCAUAAAUAAUACCCAAAAAAAAAAAGAUAAAGAAGGAGAUGAAGAAGACAAAGAGACGAAGAAGACAAAGAAGAAGGGCCAAAGCAAAUUAAAAAAAAAAUCUUUUAUAGUACUUUUGUUUCAUUUUAUUUUUUCAAAAAAAAAUUAAACGCAUACUUUAGCAAAAAAAAAUUCUAGAUUGAUUUUCUCAUUAUUCAUCUAAAUGUUAAUUAACACCUUAGAAAUAAAAGUUUUAGAGUUUAAAGUAUGAGAAUUAUAAAUUGAACAAUGAGUAUAUUAUAUCGGUGUUCAAAGUGCUUAUACAAUAUUGACUUAUAAUAAAUUGUCCUUAAUAGUAAUUCACAUUACAAGAGUUUUGUAGAAUAUAUUUUUAUUAAAAUCAGAGUAUUCAAAGUAAUUUUUAAAAUAUAAAUAACCUUGCCCCUCAAUCACUUUUUGUGUUAAAAUUUUUUAUAGUUGCUUCAUUAAAGUUUUAACUUUUAAAUUGUUCUGUCAUUAAAUAAAAAAAAAACUACAAUACUUUUUAGUUACAUCAUUCCUUGUAACAUAUGUUUGUGGCAUUAAGCCACCAAAUAAAGCCACACGUGGCUUCAUAAAUAAGAAAUAGCCAGCUGCUGGCUUCCUCGAGAUUAGAUGGAUGUUUCACCAAUUUGCUUCUCCUGCUUCACUUGCCACCUCAUGCUUGACACCUCUCUCUCUCUCUCUGUUUUUUUUUUUGGGCACUUUAUUCGGUGAAUAUAUAUAAGGUUUAAAUAAAAUGGAAGCUACUUCGUUUUUCAUAUUUUUGGAGAAGCCGAAAUCAAAAGCAAAAACAGAGAGAAGAAAAAGAAAUUGGGAGAAAGAAAAAAAAGGAAAGGAAAAGAGAAAGAAAAAGAAAAGAAGAAAAGAAAUAAAAGAAAAAAGAGGAGCCAAGAGUGAAGGAAAACAGAAAAAGGAAGGAAAAAGUAGAAAAGAGAUUGAGAAGCCGAGAGUGAAAAAGAAAUUGAGAAAAAACUUUAAGGAAAUGAAAUUCGGCAGUUAGAUUAAUAUCUAGUGAAUUAGUGGGUAAUAGAUCUAUAAAGUUUGAGUAGUUAUGUUAUAAUUUUCAUGAUAAGUAACAGUUUUUAUAUCAAUUCUAAUAGUUAAUUUUUGAAUCCUGUGUUUUAGGAGGAAUUCAUGUUUUCAGGAGCAUACAAGAGCCGAAACGAACCCCAGAGUGAAACAGACUCUAUGAAUGGAUACUAUUAUUACUAUUAUAUAUUUUAUAAAGAAUUUAUGUUUGAUAGUAUGAUUUAAUAUCAUGUUAUGACUAUAUGUACGCAUAUUAUAAGUUUGAUUGAGUCAUAAAAUGUGAUUGCCAGUCACCAUAUGUGUACCCUUCCCCCCACAGACUCUGUGCAUGUGGAUUGAGAGUUAGGUUACUCUACAUGUGCAAUAUAGUUAAAUUCAGCCUAUAUUGAGAGGUUUUUCUCCCGUUGUACUCAUGUGAUGAUGAUCUUGGUGAGUAAUGAGAGUUAUUUGCCCUAUAUUCUAUUUGCUGCAGUUUUGUCAUGUAUAUAUGUAUGAUUUUAUGUUUGCUUAUAUAAUGUGUUCACUAUGGAGUUAUGUCAUACGAUUAUAUAUUAGGGGUGGGGGAAAACGGAUUCGGAUCAAUCCAAUCGGAUUGGGAUAAAAACCAUCCGAAUUAAUUCGAAAUAAUCAUUUGAUCCAAUUCGAUCCGAUUAAGUUCGGAUCGGAUGAUUAUUUCGAAUUAAUUCGGAUUCGGAUCGGAUUAAUAGCUCCGGAUUAAAUUCGGAUUAUAUGAAUAUGUAAAGGAAAAAAAACUAGUUAUACAAACAAAAGCAAACACCCAGCACCAACUGUUAAGAUUAAAGGGGGGAACGCAGAAGAAGAAGAAUCACAGAUCAACAAACAAUAGGCAGUAAACGGGAAGAUGACAGCAGCAGACAACAAGCAGUACUUGCUGUCAUCUUGGGAUUAAAUUCGAAUUAUAUGUAUAUGUAAAGGAAAAAAACACUAGUUAAACAAACAAAAGCAAACACCCAGCACCAACUGUUAAGAUUAAGAAAGAGGAAAAAUAACAGAAGAAGAAGAACUGAAGAUCAGCAGACAGCAAGCAUCAAGCGAGAAGAUGACAGCAGAUAUCAAGAACUGAAGAUGGCAGUAGCAGACAACAAGCAGUACUUGCUGUCAUCUUCAAUUGGUUGUUGUUGCCUGGGACGUCAUCGGCGCAUGGAAGGGGGUGUCAUCGACAAGCGGCUAGCCGGCAGGUGCGAAGCUUGAUGGCUGGGUUGGCUGAAUCCAUGCCUUUGUGGCUGGCUAGGUUCAAUUCGUUUAUGAUUUGGGAAUUUAAGGUAGAAGAGGUUUGUCACUGAAAUCAAUGUUGCUUAUUGUCUUCUAACUGAGGAUGAAGAGUCAUCAACUUUCCAUGAAACUUUAAGCAACUCAGAUGUUGCUUUGUGGAUGACAGCAAUACAGGAAGAAAUUGAAUCUCUACACAAGAACAAGACAUGGGAACUUGUACCACUACCACACGAAAGAAAAGUCAUUGGAAACAAAUGGGUCUACAAGAUCAAACGUGAUGGCAAUGAUCAAGUGGAGCAGUAUCGUGCAAGAUUGGUGGUGAAAGAAUAUGCUCAGAAAGAAGGUAUUGACUUCAACGAGAUAUUUUCUCGUGUGGUUCGACUUACAACAGUCAGAGUAGUCUUGACGAUGUGUGCUACAUUUGACUUACAUCUUGAGCAGUUAGAUGGGAAAACUGCAUUUCUUCAUGGAGAACUCGAAGAAGAAAUAUAUAUGCUCUAACCAAAAGGUUUUGCAGAAACAAGAAAAGAAAACUUUGUUUGCAGGUUGAACAAAUCUCUACACGGUCUCAAACAUGCACCGAGGUGCUGGUAUAAGAGAUUUGAUUCCUUCAUCAUGAGCCUUGGAUACAACAGACUCAGUUCAUACCAUUGUGUAUAUUACAAAAGGUUUGAAGAUAAUGAUUUCAUUAUUUUGUUGUUUUAUGUGGAUGACAUGUUGGUAGCAGGCUCCAACAAAGAUUGAGUCUAAGAAUUGAAGGCACAGUUGGCUAGGGAGUUUGAAAUGAAGGACUUGGGACCAGCAAACAAGAUUCUAGGGAUGUAAAUUCACCAAGAAAGAAAUAACAGGAAGAUUUGGCUUUCACAGAAGAAUUACUCGAAGAAAAUCUUGCAGCGCUUCAACAUGCAAGAUUGUAAGUCAAUUUCUACCCCACUUCUUGUUAAUUUCAAAUUAUCCUCAAGUAUGUGUCCUAACAAUGAAGCAGAGAGGAAGGAGAUGUCUCGAGUAUCGUAUGCAUCAGCAGUGCGAAGUUUGAUGUUCGCUAUGAUAUGUACAAGACCAGACAUUGCACAAUCAGUGGGAGCAGUCAGUCGAUACAUGGUGAAUCCUGGUGGAGAGCAUUGGAUAGCUGUGAUGAGGAAUCUGAGAUACAUCAGAGGAACCUCAGAUGUUGCAUUAUGUUAUAGAGGAUCAGAGUUUACUAUCAGGGGCUAUGUGGAUUCAGAUUUUGCAGGAGACCUUGAUAAAAGGAAAUCCACUACUAGUUAUGUGUUUACACUUGCGGAAGCAGCUGUAAGCUGGAUUUCAAAACUACAGACCGUUGUGGCUCUAUCUACAACAGAAGCAGAAUACAUGACAACUACACAAGCUUGCAAGGAAGCUAUUUGGAUAUAAAGGUUAUUGGAGGAGCUCGGGCACAAAUAACAGAAAAUUUCUGUGUUUUGUGACAGUCAGAGUGUCUUGCAUAUUGCAAGGAACCCAGCCUUUCAUUCCAGAACAAAGCACAUGGGGGUUCAGUAUCACUUCGUUCGAGAAGUAGUGGAAGCCGGAAGUGUGGAUUUAUAGAAAAUCCAUACGAAGGAGAACCUAGCAGAUGUUUUGACCAAGCUGAUAAAUACUGAUAAGUUUGUCUGGAGUAGAUCCUCUUGUGGCCUAGUAGAAACAUAGGCAACAUGACAAUAGCGAAGCAGAAAUGAUGAUGUGGAGAUUGAUUGAUUCUCAAUCAAAUCUCCAAGUGGGAGAAUGUCAAAAGAUUUGGCUGCAGCAUCUAGAAGCUGCAUCUAGAAGGUUUGAAGAAGCAAAAUGGUUGGCACAUGGCUUUGAAGUUCUAGAUGCCGUAAUGUUUGGUAAAAGAAAAAGAAAAAUUCAAAGCUCAAAAAUUCAAAGUUUGAAAAACUAAAAUUUUUGAGCUGUAUGGUUUGAAGUUUAUGACCACCUUUUUGACUUUUGAGGCAAAGUUUUGCCUAUAAAUACAAGCUCUCAAUUUAGAGUUUGUAUCCAAUUUUGUAAAGAGAGUCAAGAGUUGUGAGAAACAAUUCCUGCAGAGAGUUUUUGUAGAGCCUAAAUAAUAAAAGCUCUUGUUUAGUGAUUUGAGAGUUUGGGUGUAUUGGAGUUUUGGGUAGUGAGCUAAAAUACUACAAUACUUGUAACUCCUUUUCACUAGUAAAAUAUUUUCCUUCUGUCUUCGCCCGUGGACAUAGGCUAAAAGUCGAACCACAUAAUUUCUGGUGUCCACUUUUUGUGGUUGUUCUUUUUUUUUCUUACAAUUUCAUUUUAGCUGCGCGUCUGCUUCACCCAUCAAUUUCCUAACAUCAAAGACACAAUACAAGAUCAAUAUAUGCAGAGAAAAUGUAACACUAAUGAACAAGUCGAAAAUCUAAGGAUUUGAACAAGAAAUGUAAGAGUACAAGUCACACCAAUCGGGCUAGCUAAUCAGCCCUUUAUACGGUUCUAGGUUUGUUAUAAAGACAACAAACUUAAUUAUUAUUAACAAUAAUUAAUAAUAACUAAAAUAAUAAAGUUAAUAAAAUUUAAUAAUUAUAAUAAUAAAAUUAAUAAUAAUAAUAAUAAUAACAACAACAAUAAGGAUAAUAUUAUUAAUAAUGAUAAAUUAAUUAUUUUUAUUAAUUAUUAUUUUUAUCAUUAUUUUUAUUGUUAAUAAUGAUAAUAUUAAUAAAAAUAAUAAUAGUAGUAAUAAUUAAUAAGAACUAAAAUAAUAAAUUUAAUAAAAUUUAAUUAUUAUUAUUAAUGACAUUUAAAAUAAUAAAAUUAUUUGUGAUUUGAAUAAGGGUAAUUUAGAAAAUAUGAAAAAAUUAUAAGUAUAGAAAAGUAAAUUUAUAUUUCAUUCUCAUUCCCACAUUUUUAUUCCCAACCCACCUCCAUAGGAAUGAGAUUCACAUUCCUUAUUUCCAAAUUGUGUGAGACCCACACAUUUUAUUCAUAUUCCCAAAUUAUAUUUUGUCAAGUAAACAUAUGUUUCAUUCUCACUCCUUCAUUCUCACUCCUUCAUUCUCAUUCCCCAAACCCAUAAAUAAACACACUAUAAGUUCUUUUACUAGGUGCUAUUUUCAUAUGGACCUAACAACUUCAGUUAUUUUGCAAAUAGAUUCAAAAAGGUUUGCAUGUUACCCCUUUCAACAAUUUAUAUAUUAUUUGAGAGGAAAUUACCCCUUGAGGAAAAUUUUGGAACUUGUUUUUUAAGUUCUGUUUGGAGAUAAAUGCCAAAACUUAAGUGUAAAGAUUCAUAAAAGAUAGAGAAAUAAAAUUUUUGAAUAAUUGGGAUCUUAUUGAAUAUAGUAUGAAUAACAAAAUUAAGGUUUUAUGAGCUCUUUUAUAUUAUCCAUAAAUAAUGUGAAUUUACCAAAAUAGGUAAAACACAAAUUAUUAUUACAUAUACAAUUCUACCAAUUGAAAUAAGGAAAACAAAGCAAACAACACCCAAAUCAAUAUCUAGAAAAAAAAAAGAAUAAAAAUCCUGAAAGCAAAAAAAAAAGGAAAAUAACUAAAACUUGCAAAAUAACCAUGGACGAAAUAAAACUUCCAACACAACUAUUGGGCCAUAUCCAAAAAACAGUUUUGUGUUAAUUUUUUCUCGACAACAACUUCAAAACAAUAUAUUAUACCCCCAAAUGGACACAUGUAAUUUAAGUUGAACCCAAAAAAAUUCCAUGCUUAUCCUAUGUAACCAUCCUAUAUCAAUAAAAUUAUAUAUAUAUAUAUAUAUAUAUUAACAGUUUUAUUGCUAAAAACCAACUCCAACCGACUUUUAAAAAUGUUAAAAUUUAUCUUCAGCAAUAAUAUCAAAAACUUGUUUUAAAGCAAGUAUUUUUUUCUAACAAAAGUUAAUUUGAGUCUAAGCUUCAUCUAAUAAAUAUAAAAUAACGUCUUCAAUAAACAAUUCCAGAUAAUGGUUUUGGCAGUUUCUAUGAUGAUGAUGAUGAUAAGCCCCAUGAGGAUUGUGGUAUUGUGGGCAUAUGUAACUGUUCUUAACAUUUCGUAAGCUCCACAAGGCUCCUUUGAUAGGGAAGAUGGAUAUUGGGCUAAUUAUAACAUAAGCUUUUAGCAACCCUCGAAUCUUGAGGUAGAUUUUAAGUAUGAGUUGGUUUUAUAAACCUCUAUAUGGUAUCAAAGUCAAACUCAUACAUGAGUAGGUGUAUAUUACCUUACCUCGUGAUAAGAACUAAAUAAAAAAACCAACCAGCUAGCACACGACAGAAGGUGAUAGGAAAAUUAUCUCACAUCAACUAAGAUAGUUAUUAGGUUGAUAAUAUAAGUUUGAGACAACUUAUUAUAUUGUUGUUUGAACUCAACUCAUGGAUGAUAUUAAUUCAUGGUUUUUUGUGCCACUUAUGUCUUUGUGUUUAAAUCUAGACCUUAUCAUUCAAUAUUCACUGUGACCAGCUUAGUUUUAUCAUGUAUCUAUUUUGUACAAUUACUUUGCAACUCAAAUGUUGUAUUAAACAAUAUCAAUUAUAAUAAAGUUUCAUCCGGAAAGCAUUCUUACCAGUGAACGCAAGACAUUAAUUGUUCGUAAUUUUAUCAAAAUGAAACGGAGAAAAAAAGCGGCUGAUUCUCAGAAUUACACGGGCAAACUUAUUUUAAGACCGUCUAAAUUAAAAUAAUUUUUCAAUAAACAUUAUUAUUAAAUAUAAUGUUCAAUUUAGCACGUAGUCCUGGUUUUGCGUUUGCAUGGAAAGAUCUCAAGUGUAUAUAUGUCGUCGUCGUCGUUGUUGUUGUUAUUAUUAUGAUUGUUACAAUUAUUAUUAUGUUUUUGUUGCAUUAUUGUGAAAAAAUCAAGGGACUAUCGAGAAAAAGAGAUGAUGGGAUCUUUUCUUUCAACACCCCUUCUGCAUCCAACAAACAAUUAAUCAGAAAUUCCCUUUUCUUUUAAUUUCCGUUUAGUUUCUCUUUAAUUAUCAGAAAUAUUAANNNNNNNNNNNNNNNNNNNNNNNNNNNNNNNNNNNNNNNNNNNNNNNNNNNNNNNNNNNNNNNNNNNNNNNNNNNNNNNNNNNNNNNNNNNNNNNNNNNNGAUUUUUGGUUAUGCUUACCCUGCAUAUGAGUGCUUUAAAGCAGCAGAGAAGAACAAGCCAGAUACUGAACAGCUCCUGUUUUGGUGCCAAUAUUGGUAUGGAACUAUGGAUCAGUGCUUACACUAUUAACUAAUUAAGAAUUAUUUUGCAACAAUACUAAUUAAUCCCGUACAUAUAACGAGUCAUAUUCAUGUCUGGAUGCUUGGAUUUAAUAAAUUCAAAUUAUUAGAAUCAGAGUUAUACAGCACCUGAUUCUAGUUCUUGAUUUUGUAAAAUCACGACGUCCGAACCUAGGCAUCCUUUUGCUUGUAAUAACAAAAAAUUGCAUUCGUUGUAUUGUAAUUAUAGGGUUUUGGUCGCUGUGUUCACAGUUGGUGAGAGGGUGGGCGAUACCUUUAUUUCAUGGUAUGUGUAUUUUUAUGAAUAACAAAACUCUUAGUACAACGUCACGUGACAGUAUUGCGUAUUAACUUGAAGGUUACCGAUGUACAGUAAAGCUAAGUUGGCAUUCUUCAUAUAUCUUUGGUAUCCCAAAACAAAAGUAAUAAAUCAGCAAUAAUUCAUCAUCUUUUUCAGUACUCUGUAAAAUUUCUGAUUGAAAUUAUUUAAAAAGUUUCAGCUUUUAAUAUCUUCAGGGGACAGAUUAUGUUAUAUAAUGUUUUAUUGCGGCCUUAUGUUGCAAAACAUGAAAAAGAAAUUGAUCUUAAUUUUUUAAAGCUGAGAAUUAAGGCCAGGGAAAUAGGUCUUCUGCUUUGGGAGAAGGCUGCCAUUUAUGGGCAAGCAAGGUUUUUUGAGAUUUUGCAGUACUUCUCUUCUCACUCAGCUUCAUUGUCUCACUCUGAUCAGGUAAUUGAACAACAUUUUGUAAUCUAUUUUGCUGUCAAUUUUCUCAUUAAGAGACAAAAAAUGUUUUGUUUUGGGAUUUAUGAAAAACGACAGAAAAGUAAGUGGAAAAAUAUAAAAGAAAUUAUAGUGAAUUUUCUUGUUAUAUUACAAUAUAUAGGAAGCAAGUUAAACUGUUUUUGAUUCUGCUGCAGCAGCAGCAAGAAGCUACGGAAGAGGCAGGCAUUUGCCAACAAAAUAUGAGGCUGCUGCUAAAAUGGAAACAAUGCCAGUAUCAUCAUCUUUCCAAGAUGGCAAUUUAAUUAAUUCCUUCAAUCAAAAAGGAGUUUCCACUGAUCAAGCUAUCCCGCAAUCAAGACGCAAAUGGACGUUGUUCAGGACUGCAGCAGCAAGCCAAUAAUAAAGCCCUUGUAUUUUUCUUGUGCCAUUAUGAAGAUGAUUUAUAUACAUGAGAAAUGUAAGUGACAAUAAUUGUAACUCAGAGGCUCUCUAAAUUUAAAGGUGUCUUUGUAUUUUUUUUAAAGGUUGUUUUCAUAUUUAUGUUAUAAUAUAUAUAUAUAUAUAUAUAUAUAUAUUAUUUUUAAUGAAUAUGAAGUUUGUUUUCGUAGUUUGUAUUAAAAUAAUAUUAUUUGAAAAAAUUAUACAAUAAAUUGUAUGUGAAACCCAUUGCUUUUGUCUUGUUUAAGUUAUUAACAAAUUUUAAAUGCAAAAGAAGGGACCUACCGCAAAGAUUGUUCUAGUGCUUGCCUUUGUAUUUUUUUCAAAUGUUGUUUUCAUAUUUAUGUUAUAAUAUAUAUGAUUAAUUUUUAGUGAAUAUGAAGUUUAUUUUGGUUGUUUGUAUUAAAAUAAUAUUUUUUUGAAAAAAUUAUACAAUAAAUUAUAUGUGAGACCCACUUCUUUUGUCUUAUUUAAAUUAUUACGAAAUUUUAAAUGUAAAAGAAAGACUUACGACAAAUAUUGAUCGAGUGUUGUACAAUAAAUUUAAAGGUGGCUUUAUAUUUUUUUCAAACGUUGUUUUCAUAUUUAUGUUAUAGGGUCCAGCUACAUUGCGUCAGGGGUUUGGUACCCCAGUCAUUUGUCCUUUUGCAAAUGACCAUUUAGAUCGUAAAGAAAGGUAAUCAACGGCUGAGGUUUAACACUUACAAAAUGGGUAACCGGCUAUAGCUACAAUAUCAGUAAAAGGAAAACAAAAAGGAAGUAUAUAAUCCUUUGCUCCAGAAGACUCUGGACUUCGUCAAUGAGCCAAACGGGGACAGCCGUUUGCUCCAGAAACUCCCCCUCUUGUACCUCCACGCCGACGCCGUUACCGCCUCCGUCACCAUGCUCUCCGACGCAAGACUCCGCUUGAAUCGGAACGAAUACGACCGCUUCAACAAAAAAUCACAGCCGUUGAACCUCUCCUCCGAGUUGAAGUUCUUGUUGUUAAUCGCCACCGCCACGUCAUCAACGCAUGGCGUGAUUUCAGAACCGUUCGUAGAGGCGGCCGUCUUCGUCGGCAUUUGGAUUUCGGAUAGAGACUCAAGGGACGCAAUCACGAGUCGUAGCAAUGAACUGUCGUCGAGACUCGGUCGGAUUCUCGCCGCCAUUAUGGGAACAAACGGAGACUCGGUCAGAAAAAUUCCAGCUCGGCAUAAGGGAAUUGUGAAGAUGAAAAAAAUUCCAGCUCGGCAGAAGGGACUUGUUUUUCAAAACAAACAAAUUGUGCUUCUGGUAUUUAUUUUUGCUGAUGAAGCUUUUUUUUUUUGGAACAACAUCUGAUGUAGAAGGAGUUUAUAGGGCUAGGAUUAGAAGUUAAAAAUUUCAAAGUGGGUGACAAAGUUGUAGUUGUGCUUGUGAGUGCUAAUUUAUAUAUAUAUUUUUUUUCUUAUCCUUUUAUCUUUAAUUUAUUCUGAAUAAAUUUCUAGUCUUCUUUCACUAUUAGGAAGAUUGAAAUUAAGGUCAUGGAGAAAUUUGGAUGACCGGUUAUUGAUGAUAGGCAACAAAAUAUCAUUUCUUCCAGUUAAGAGAACCCCCAUAUUAGUUAAUAUGGUUGUGGUUGCAACUAUGAUAAUUAGUAAAAUGUCGAAAACACAUUUCUCUUUUUUACACGGUUCAGGUUCUUGACCAUGCUAGCAACUCUGCUUUCCCUAUAAAAAUUUCUUUUUGUUACUGCAAUCUGGUGAUAGAGUGAAUUGAAUGAAUUUUUGGUACUUUCUUUGUUUUGUGCUUGGGUCAAUCAAUAAAAAUAAUUACGUGGCAUUCCAAAGAUUUUAGUGUUGUCAGAUCAGAUUAAAAAAGAAAAGGUGUAAACUGCACGCUGUUGCUUUUGUUGGAUGAAGUUAUAGGCAUGUAUAAAGAUACCACCACUAUAAAUCUUUAUUUCCAAGUCAUAUUUGGUUUUUGGUACAUGUAGUUGGAUAUCUGAGAGCCUUCUGUCCUCAUUCAAAGUUCAUACAUCUUUGGCAUGUGAAGGGUUCAGGUCUUUUCAUCUACGUGAGCGGAGAGGUGAUGCUGCUCCAUCAGGGUUCAGUCUAAUUUUGUAUAAGCUGAUUUCAUCUGUUCAUUUUGUUUCAGUUUUAAAUUUCGUUAUUGAUGACAGAGUGGAGGCAGACUAGCUGAGUUUGCUAUGGCCAAGGAGAGCUUGACAGUUGCUAGGCCGCAAGAAGUUUUUAAGUUUUUGCAACUGAAGUUGCUGGCAUACCUUGUGCUGGUCUCUCUGCUCACCAGGCCCUCACUCAGCUCCUUGGUGUCAACCUAGAUGGAAGUGGCCAACAGAAAAACAUUAUGAUCACUGCUGCCUCAGGGGGUGUGGGUCUCUGUGUCGUUCAGUUGGCAAAGCUUGGAAACACAGACAUGAUCUGCUUCAAGUGAGUGUGUGUGCGUGUUUUAAGAAUCAAUAGAUGAAGUCUGCAUGCUGCCUCAACCACCACUAACCGAGGAAUUUCAUUUACGCAUCUCGUAUUUAGAUUACAAUAUAGUGUAAGCCAAGAACGUAGCAAUUUUUCUAUAAUUAGUUUGUUGUAUUGAUUACAGAAAGGCACCCUUUCAUGAGAUGUAGUUGGGUGCCUCUGCAUUUUCGACAUGGAAGGCUACUUGUUGGCAUUAUUAUAUCACAUAUUAUAUAUUUUAUGCAUCUUCUUUCCCAUGUUGUUCGUUUUUAUAACUGUAAGAUAUAUUCUUUUGUAGAUGUUCUUGGAUCAGCAGUUGGGUUUGCAGUCUUCACAAUUGUUUUACUCUCAUGGGCAUUGACAUUUGCCAUCGAAGGGGAGCAUCUCUUUGGCUCUGCUUGGGAUAAACUAGUAAUGUAUAAUGUUGCUGAGAGAUUAGGCUUGACAGGUUGGAGCUAGUCAUAAUCUGUUUCCGGGCUCAUGAAUCUUAAAACUCAUUUCAAUUGUCCUGUAAAUAGUCUGGUGUUGAAACUUGAAACAACGUACAUUAUGUUGAAGGUAAUAUUGGACCCAUUUUUCUCAAUUUGUAAAAGAACCUUUCCUGUUGAAUCUAGUGGCAGAUUCAUGCUUUUAUCUGAAAAAUAAUGUAUCAUCGCAUAUUUUUUUUAUUAAAAAAAAUUAUAAACAUGAGAACUCCUGAACCUUUCUUUCGUAUGUAUUAACUUUGUUCGAUAAAAAAUUGUCUACCUUGAAUUUUGAAAUUUGAAACGGUUGCUGUAUUCUCAUCUGAUCCGCUGCAAAAAUGCCUUGAUAAUGGGCAAUGUUAUGUGACCAAGCCAGUGUCUCGCAACAUAUUAUUUGGAAAAAUAUGUUCUCUUUUAUUCAUUCAAUUUGAAAACAAUAAUUUGUGCAAUAUUUAAUUGUGCACAGUUUUUAGUAUUAACAAUUGUUUAUUUACCAACCGAUAAUACUUUUAUUUUUUGCUUACUUGAUAAUUUAUAUUUGUUUUUAUGUAAUAUAUUAUGAUUUAUUUAUUAUGUCUUAACUAUAUUUAAUUACUUGUAUUUUUUUGUUGUCUAUAAUAUAAAAUAUUAAUUUCACAUUUUUCAAGUCUCCAAACAGAUAAACCGAUGUUAAUGUUUUAUUCAACAUGUUUGAAAACCUUAACAUUAAUCAAGACCGCCUUAUAAUUGUGCUUCUGUAAAAAAGAUUGACCUUUUUUGUUGACCGGAACUGAUUUUAUGAUUACAUGAGCUUACAAUAGAUAUGAUUGCCUGGGAUAGCUGGUAGUUUUGACUCAAUCUCAACUGUUCAUGAUUUAAUGGUCACGAUUGUCCCAUUUGACAAUGGUUGGUGAAGCAAGUUGUAGUAUUCAUAUCUUUGUAUUCCAGUCAACCCAUUCCACACAUUAACCCCGCAAAUCUCAAUUGUUGUUUGAUCGUAUCAGACGCUUCAAAUUAUGCCACGGGUACUAUUGACUUAAAAAAAUACCAGCCGUUCACUCUCCGUCUAAUGGUUGUGAGGAAAACAUACAUGAAGUUUAUGAUGGACCGCAAAUUACUACAUUAUAAAAUUAUUUUUCUAUCAAUAGAGUCUCAAUUUUUUUUUGGGCAUCUCUCUUCUUCUCAAUUUCUCUCAAACUGCCUGUAAUCUUAAUUUUCAGCUGUGUUUUAAUAUUUUCCAUAAUUUUUUUAUAAAUAAAUUUUGUUUAAUUUUAUAUUUUAAUGUCAAUUACCAUACACAAUAGUCCAUUAUAUUUUUAUCUUUCUUUUUUUUAAUCUUAUCCUUCAUCUCAAUUAAGCCUAUAUUUCUUGGUUGGUGAUUUACUAUUUUUAAUUUUAUUGUUAUUAUUAUUAUUCUAAUUAUCAUCAUCAUUAUCAUCGUUAUUUUUUUAAAUAAUAAUAAUAAUAUUCUUCUUCUUCUUCUUCUUCUUCUUCUUCUUCUUGUUAAUAAUUGGUUUCUAGCCUUACUUAGCGACUUAGCGGCUUGUAUGUUAUAAUUCAACUAAGUGUCAGUUGGAUUCCUUGAACAAAACACCCAUCCUGCAACAAACUGUUGAUCAGAAAAUCUGCGAUAGGGUGUUUGGUUCAUCAAGCUCAAGAUAAUUUUAUCUUAGUUUUCUUCGGGUAAAAGCUCAUUUAGUCCUUGUAUUUUAAGAUUAGUAUCCAUCUGGUCCUUAUAUUUUUAAAAAUAUCUUGAAACAUCCCUUCCGUUAAAGUAUUGAUACCCCUACCAUUACUUUUUAUUUCUUUUGACUUGUUUUUACAAUAUUACCAUUUUAUAAUAAUUUUUUUGGACAUUAAUAAAAAGAAAAUAAUUAAAUUACCAAUUUAACCCUAGAAAAUUAAAAAAUUAUAUUAAUUUUUUUGUAAGCACCAUUUGCACACUUGGUAGUUUGCAUACAAUUUUUUACAAUUAAAAAUUAAUAUAAUUUUUUUUUAUUUUUAGGAUUAAAUUGGUAAUUUAAUUAUUUUCUUUUUUAUUAAUGUCCAAACAAAAAAGUUCUUAUAAAAGGGUAAUAUUAUAAAAGUAAGCGAAAAGAAAUAAAAAGUAACGGUAGGGGUAUUAAUACUUUAAUGGUAUGGAUGUUUCAAAGUAUUUUUAAAAAUACAAAGACUAAAUGGAUACUAAUCUUAAAAUACAUAGACUAAAUGAGUUUUUUCUUGUUUUCUUCUUCUUUUAACUUAUACUUUACCUCAAUUUAGACUGUCAUUUUUUGUUGAUCAAUAUUUAUUUAUUUAUAAUAAUAAUAAUAAUAAUAAUAAUAAUAAUAAUAAUAAUAAUAAUUAUUAUUAUUAUUAUUAUUAUUAUUAUUAUUAUUACCCAGUAAAUAUUUUUUCUUCACAUUUUUUUUCCAAUCUAGUUUUCAUUUACUUUACUCAUGAACAAAAUUUCCACAAAAAAUUAAUUAUACGGUCACUUUACUGUAAAUUAAUGUCACGCUACUUUCAUGAUUAAAUUUGAUAUUUCCCCUUUUUCCCCCAAGUACGCAAUGCAAUACCUGACCCUACCUUUAAAUCCACCUCCUAAAAUUUUCGUCCCUAUUUUUUAAAAUUUCAAAUCCAUCUUACCCCAACCCAUACUUGCACGCUUCCAAUGUCUUGUUUUUAACCAUUACUUGCAUGCACCCUUUUUCCUUUAUUUGCAUGCGAUACUUAACCACUUCCAACCCAUUACAGUCGUUCAUUUUUGGUCAAAAAGCGGAUCCCCUGCAGGUUACCGGGCCAUCACCUUUUUGUCAGGUUACUAGCUACCGUGCUGUGUCUCUUCUUCAGCCAUUAGAUUAAAUCCAACGGUCACUCUGCUACAGACAAAUGACUUAGGUACCAAACUCCUGAUGCAAAGUAGCUGCGCAAAUAUAUAUAUAUAUAUAUGAUUAAUUUUUAGUGAAUAUGAAGUUUGCUUUGAUCGUUUGUAUUAAAAUACUAUUGUUUGAAAAAAUUAUACAAUAAACUAUAUGUGAGACCCACUUCCAUUAUUUUAUUUAAAUUAUUAGAAAAUUUUAAAUACAAAAGAAGCGACCUACAACAAAGAUUGUUUUAGUGCUAUACAUCAAAUUUAAAGGUGCCUAUGUAUUUUUUUCAAAUGUUGUUUUCAUAUUUAUGUUAUAAUAUAUAUAUAUAUAUAUAUAUAUAUAUAUUAAGCUUUUAGUGAAUAUAAAAUUUAUUUUGGUCGUUUGUGUUAAAAUAAUAUUGUUUGAACAAAUUAUAAUGUGAGACCCAUUUCUUUUGUUUUUUUAAAUUAUUAUGAAGUUUUAAAUGCGGGCACGUAGGUCCAUGAUAGUCAUCAUACAAAUAAAACAACAACAAAAAGUCGCCAUAUAAGACAAAAGUUGUCGAAACCCCACAAAGGCUACGGCUACAUGAACUGGAUCUAUUAAUAGAUCCCAUGUAAUAAAAUAUUUUCAAACAAAUAUAGAGCACUGGAUUUGAUGCCUCGUACAAUCAGCGGCUGGAAGUUAUUUUGACAUAGUCGAGAAUUUGCAGCAACAACUUGUGGUGGCCCCGCUGAAACAACAACAGAAAAAGAAAGAGGAACGUUAUUAUUUGUUUACCAACUCGGGAAUCGGAGAAAAGGAGUUGAAAUGAAUAGUUUGUUUACUUGUUAAAUUGAGUUUGAGAAUGAGAAUGAGUUUCAUGACCCUUCAUAAAAAUUUUAGAUUGAUUGCUAGAGUUGUGAUUUAUUAAGAAGAGUUGGGAAUGGAAACUCCAUUUCCUAGAAUAACAAAAUUAUUCCUACUACGUUUUAAAUAUACCCUCUUUAGAAAUUAAAAAAUAUAAAUUGAAAAAAACUGAAAAUUUAUUAUUAUUAUUAUUAUGGAAUUUAGUUAUUAUUGUUGAUAUAAUUGUUGUUGUUGUUGUUAUUUUAUUAUUUAUAUUAUUAUAAAAUUUAUUAUUAUUGUUGUUGUUAUUGUUAUUAAUUAUUACUAUUAUUUGUUUACUUAUUUAUUUAUUAUUAUUUAUCACCAUUAUUAUCAUCACCACCACCAUCAUUAGACAAUAAUUAACAAAAGGUAUUUUAAUAAAUUAUUAAUGAUAUUAAUUUGAAUAUUAUUAUUAUUAACAAUUAUUUUUAUAAUAAUAAAAAUUACAAAUAAUAAUAAUGAUGACGACAACUACGAUGAUUAUAAUAAUAAUAGUUAUAUUAUAAAUUUUAGGAACUUUAAAUUAUUUAACUUAUUCCGAUUCUUAUUUCAAGAUAAAAUAAACACAUCAAUAGAAUUCCAGUCCAUUCCGAUUCUGAUUCAUGUAGCUCAAGUAAACAACUUAUUACGAUUUCCAUUCCUCAUUUCCAUUAUAGCUCAUACUUAUUCCAACCCAUUCAAAUUACUGAUAAUUAGACGCAGCAUUAAUACUGCUCUAAGAAAUUGGUUACUAUUGCUUCUCUUUCUUUUUCAAAAAUAAAAAAUAGCAUGGAUACUUUUUUCGGUAAAUGUUUGUUGAACAAUUCUAAUUACAAUUUUAAUUAUAUUUACGAUUGAUAAUUUCAGUUGCACUUUCUUACAAUUAAAAUUACAAUUGCAAUUAUAAUAACUACAUCAAUAAUUUCAAUUUCAUUUUUUUAUUAUUAAUUCCAAAUUUAAUUUAAACAACCGUUACAACUUUAAUUUCAAUUGUAAUUCCAUUUACUUUGUUACAAUUACAAUUUUAAUCCCAAUUACAAUAACAAUUGUACUCGUAAUUCCAUCGACAGUUACAACUAAUAAUAUUUUUAUUCUAAUAAUAUUUAACAACAAUUACAAUAAGAAUAACGAUAAUCAAAUUGUAUUUGUAACAAUAAAUAGAAUAACAACUGUAAUUACAAUUUUUUUAAAGAUACAAUUGUAAUUACAAUUGCAAUUAUGAUCACAAUUAUAAUUGUAUUAUUAAGUGUAAUUAAAAUUAAAAACACAGUUGCAAUUACGCAAGAACAAUUACAAUAGCCGUAACAAUUACAAUUACAACUUCUAUUACAUUGAUAAUUACAUAUCCAAUCGCAAUUACAAUUCUAGUUGCAAUUACAAUUUCAAUUAAAAUCCCUAUUAUAAUCACAAUUCCAAUUCCGUAUUUCCAAUCAUAAUGUGUUCUUUUUGUCGUUUGGAUAAUCCUGCUUAAUUUGAUAACUUAACGGAUCCCUCAUCAAUUACAUUAUAUAUAUAUAUGUGUGUGUGUGUGUGUGUGUGUGUGUGUGUGAGUUGAAGAUUAUAAAAUGUUUGGUUGACAGGAAACUUUCUUAAACUACAGAGAGAAAAUAUUUCAGACUGAAUUCAUUAUUAUUAAUAUGUAAAAAUGAAAUGACGGAUUACAAAACUUUAUAUACACAAGUCUGGAAGAUUCUACAACACCAGAUGCAUGUGAAUCAGCUUAACAACCUUUAACAAAUUAUUAGUGGGAAAACAAUAACAAACUCUGAAAUCUGUUUUGACAUAAGUAACUGUAAGCUGACGUGGCUGCUGACUUAGCUGCUGACAUGGACAUUACGAUUUAUUCUUAACAUUCCCCCUUAAGCUCAAGGUCUGGGACAGACAUUGAGCUUAGCUCUCAUAUAAGCAAAAUGAUCAAAGCUAAGUGGUUUAGUGAGUACAUCUGCCAACUGAUCUGAGCUUGAUACAUGUUCAACAACAAAUUCCUUCUUUGCAAUGUGUUCUCUCACAAAGUGUAAGUCUAGCUCAAUGUGUUUGGUGCGUGAAUGGUAUUUGGGGUUACUUGCCAGAGCUUCUGCACUUUUAUUAUCACAGUAUAAAAUAGGUGUGUUGUUGAGCUGCACUUUGAGUUCCUGCAACAGAUAUGAAAUCCAUAGCACUUCUGAAGAUGUCAAGGCUAAUGCCCUAUAUUCUGACUCAGCUGAAGACCGAGAAACAACAUUCUGUUUCUUAGAUGACCAGGACACAAGAUUUGACCCAAGAAAAAUGCAGUAACCACCUACAGAUCUUCUGUCAUCAGGGUCAGAACCCCAGUCUGCAUCUGAGAAGGCUGUGAGAGAAAGAGAUUUUGAAUUAUAGAAUUGAAUCCCAUAAUCAGCUGUACACUGAAGAUACCUCAGAACCCUUUUACAGGCUUGCCAGUGAAGCACAGUAGGAGCAGCUAAGAAUUGACUCAGCUUGUUUACAGUAAAGGCUAUAUCAGGCCUUGUUAGAGUUACAUACUGAAGAGAUCCAAUAACACUUCUGUAAAGAGAAGGAUUCUCAAACUUAGUACCCUUAUCUUUAUACAAUUUGUCAGCAGCACUCAUUGGAGUAGUACAGCCUUUGCUGCCAAGCAUAUGAGCCUUCUGUAAGAUGUCUCCAAUGUACUUGGUUUGUGAAAGGUGUAACCCAGCACUUGAUGGAGUAACCUCUAACCCAAGGAAAUAGUUGAAGUCACCCAAGUCUUUAAGGGCAAACUCAGAACCAAGCAGUGUAAUAAUUUCUUCUAUUUGUGCAUUGCUAGAACCAGUGACUAAGAUAUCAUCUACAUAGAUGAGAACAGCUAAAACAUCUGAACCAGUGUGCUUAAGAAACAGAGAGGUAUCUGAUCUAGAAGUUUGAAACCCCCACUGUAAUAGAGAACCCUUUAAUCUAUCAUACCAAGCACGAGGUGCUUGCUUAAGACCAUACAAGGCUUUAUUUAACUUGCAGACAUAAGUUGGAUGUUGAGAAUCAAUAAAUCCCUCAGGCUGAUGCAUGAAGACUUCUUCAGUUAGGACACCAUUCAGGAAUGCAUUAUUGACAUCCAGCUGUCUAAUGGUCCAAUGAUUCAUCACAGCAAGGCUCAGAAUAAUUCUAAUGGUACAAGGCUUGACAACAGGGCUGAAAGUCUCAAAGAAAUCCACACCAUAGGUUUGAUGAAAACCUUUUGCAACUAAUCGUGCCUUAUACUUAGAGAUACUUCCAUCUGGGUUAUAUUUAACUCGAAACACCCAUUUAUUUCCAACAAUCUUGGUGGCUAAGUCAGCUGGCACAAGAGUCCAGGUUUCAUUAUUCUUCAAGGCAUGAAACUCUUCUGUCAUAGCCAUAGACCACUUUUGAUCUGAUAAAGCUAUUUUGACACUAGUUGGUUCAAUAUCUUGAAUAGCUGUAAGGUAAGUUUUGGGUUUGAAGAUUCCUGCUUUGGCUCUUGUAAGCAUUGGAUGAGUAGGAACUGUUGAUAAGGAUGGUUGAGGAAAGGCUACUGAUGAAUGUUGGAUAGAUGUGUGAGAGUGAUCACUUGAGGAAAUAGGUGAAGAAUGAGUGUUUAUUUGGGGCAAGGAAAGAGAAUUUGGAGAUGGUGGCACUGCUGGAACUGCUGAUGAUGAUGGAGAUUGCUGUAUUGAGCUACUGUCAUGAAGAAUACAGAAUGAAGGAGAAGAAAUUUGGACUGACUCUGACAUUGAGCUAGAAGAAAGAAACAAUUUGGAAUAAGGAAAUUCAUGUUCAUUGAAUUUAACAUGAACAGCAAUGAAAACUCUCCCUGUUUUAUCCAGACAUUUGUAACCCUUGUGAAGGGGACUAUAACCUAUAAACAAACACUUUUGAGAAUGAAAAUCAAGUUUGUGUUGAUUAUAUGGUCUAAGUAAAGGAUAACAAGCACUGCCAAACACUCUAAGGAAAUCAUAAUUUGGUGACUGCUGAAACAACUUUUGAUAAGGUGAUUGAUUGUUUAAAACUGUGGUUGGCAUUCGAUUAAUGAGGUAAGAGGCUGUGUGAAAGGCUUCCCACCAGAAAGUGACAGGCAUAUGAGCUUGAGCAAGAAGAGUUAACCCUGUUUCAACAAUAUGUCUAUGCUUCCUCUCAACCACACCAUUUUGAUGAUGUGUGUGAGGACAGCUGUACCUAAGUUGGAUACCUUCUUGGUGAAGAAAAGAAGUAAAGGCUUUAAACUCUCCCCCCAUGUCAGAUUGUAAUGUUUUGAUAGGGAGACUAAAUUGUUUUUCUACCAGGGCUUUGAAGUUUUUGAAGGUACCUAAGGCAUCUGAUUUUAGCACAAGAGGAAAGAUCCAACAGUACCUAGUAUAGUCAUCAACAAAGGAGAUGUAAUACUUAUAGCCUUCCAUAGAAAGUACAGAGGCUGGUCCCCAGAGGUCUGUAUGGAUUAACUCAAGAGGAUUUUUCGAUUUGAUUUCAGUUGCUGAAAAAUGAAAUUGAUGUAGUUUACCAAGUUGACAAGCAUUGCAGAAUUCAAGUUGUUGUUUAUUAUCAGAAGAAAUGUUGAUACAGCUGUUUCUCAAAAGAGUUUGAACAACAUGCUUACUUGGAUGACCAAGUCUAUUAUGUAAAAGACUAACUGAAACAUUGCUGGAAGCAUGAAAGCUUACUGGAAAACCAGACUUUAUUUGCACAGACAAAGGGUUAACACAGGUUUGAUGAGAAGAAAAAACUGACACCAUAGAACUUGGUUGUUGAACUUUUGAAUCAAAAGGAAGAAAUGACUCUUCAUAUGACAGCAGCUUAUACAACCCUCCUUCAACAAUCCCCUGAGCCAGCAGUGUUCCCUUCACCUUGUCCUUUAGAAAACAGACAUCAGAUGUAAAUUCAAUUGUGAUGUUACUGUCAACAAGAAGCUUGGAAACACUUAUAAGGUUUUUGGUAAUUUUUGGAACACAUAGGGUAUUAUGAAGAUAAAUGCAUGAACCAACAGAAGUAUGUAAGCAUGCAUUCCCAAUAUGUGUGAUUUGAAGACCUUGUCCAUUGCCUACAAGUAAAGAAUUUGUGCCAAAAUAAAUUUUACCAUCAGUUAAGUUCUGGGCUGAGUUGGUAAGGUAGUGAGUAGCCCCACUGUCAAGAUACCAACCCUGAUCAGCAACUCCCUCAGAUGUUGCCAUGUAGGCUGAUUUUGGUCCCUGAUUUGGAUGGUAGCCCUGAGCUGGAAAGUUGGGAGCAAAAUUUCUAUUAAAUCUGUCUCUACAAUCAGCAGCAGUGUGGUUAUACCUGAAGCAAAUCUGACACAUAACUCCUCCUUGAGCAAAAUUCUUUCUAUUACCCCCAAAACCACCUCUGCCAAAGCCACCAGCAUUAGAGUUUCCAUUAUUAAAAUUACCAGCUAAACCUCCACUGUUAAAGUUACCACCACCAUUAUUAAAACCACCAGCAAAGCCUCUUCCAGCAUUAGGAUUUCCAUUCCAACUACCUCUUCCUUGACCUUGAUAUCCUCCACCUCUACCAGCAAAGUUUUGAUUCCAGUUUUGAUUCCAGUUUCCACCUCCAUUUUUAUUCCAAUUAUUCUGAUUAUUACCAUUACCUUUCUUUUGAAAAUUUCCAGUUUGAGCUACAUUAGCCAUAUAGUUGCUUUUAGCUUCUUUAUUGUCAACAAUCUUACUGUUUUCAAGUCUAGCCUCAUGUGUCAAUAACAUAGCAUAGGCUUCACUUAGAUCCAUAGUCAACAUGUUUGCUUCAAUGUAAACAACUACAGGAUAGUAGGAGUGAUCUAAGCCAGUGAUAAGAUGAGUGAUUAGAUCAAUGUUACUUAAAGGACUUCCAGCCAAAGCAAGACCAUCAGAAAUUGUUCUAAGUUUUGUGAAGUAUUCAGUCAUAGACAGAGAUCCUUUUCUUAGAUUACUAAGAAGCAUUUUAAGGUGAACCUUUUUAGCCAUUGAUUCUGAUCCAAAUUGUUUUUCCAGAUUCUUCCAUAACUCAAGAGUAGUUUGUGAGCUUACCACGAGACUUAGAAUCUCAAGACUCAUUGAGGACAUUAUCCAGCUGAGCAGAAGCUGAUCUUGACGUUUCCAUGCAACAAAAUCUGGAUUUUCACGACCUUCUCCACUUGCUUCACCAGAUCCAGAUCUAUUAGGAAGAAAUUGCUCUGGACAGAGUUUUGAUUCAUCGAUGUAGCUCUCAAGACCAUUCCCACGAAUUGAAGAGAGUACUUGUUGUUUCCAGAUCGUGUAAUUUGUGCGAUCAAGUUUGAUUGGUGUGGUAAAGGUAAAGGAUGUUCCAGACGAGACAUGAGUUGAAGAAUUAAAGCUUGAAGAAGCCAUCACGUGGCUCUGAUACCAAGUUGAAGAUUAUAAAAUGUUUGGUUGACAGGAAACUUUCUUAAACUACAGAGAGAAAAUAUUUCAGACUGAAUUCAUUAUUAUUAAUAUGUAAAAAUGAAAUGACGGAUUACAAAACUUUAUAUACACAAGUCUGGAAGAUUCUACAACACCAGAUGCAUGUGAAUCAGCUUAACAACCUUUAACAAAUUAUUAGUGGGAAAACAAUAACAAACUCUGAAAUCUGUUUUGACAUAAGUAACUGUAAGCUGACGUGGCUGCUGACUUAGCUGCUGACAUGGACAUUACGAUUUAUUCUUAACAGUGUGUGUGUGAAAUCUAUUGAGAUUUUAGACAUAAAUAUUUAUAAUACACUCCACAGAUAUGUUUAACAUUAAUUUUAAAAAUAUACCUCAAAUAUGUAGGGAGAUAUCUACCUUUAUUUAAAAAGAAUGAGUCUCAUGAAAAUAAGACUCACAAAUUAAUUCCUAGGAGAAAUAAAUAAAAUAAGAGAAUGACAAUCUUUAGAUUCAAACUCAUUCCCACGACAACUCCAAGGAUACGAUGGCCAGAUACAAAGCUUCUUUUAGAAUUUCUUUGAAAUUUUUUAUUUUUAAAUGAGUUUUACAAAAUUGCCCUCAACCAUCCAAGAGAUGCUAAACAGAGUAUAAAUGGGCAGGGAGAUAUUUGGUAGUUCAGAAAUAUAGUCUAUCUGAGUGACCUUAAACCUCACGAAAGGUUUUUAAAAAGGCUAUGGUUAUGUUGGAUUUCACCUACUCAACCAUACACACAAAGUAAUAAAUAGUAAAAAUUUCAUUAUAACUCAUUAUUUAUUAUUUAUCACUUUGCGUGUGUGACUGUGAUUCGUGCCCCACCGUAAGUAAACUCUAACAUAACCGAACCCAAAAAGACUAUUACUCCUCAUCAUAGAUGAUAAGGCACAUGCACCAUUUCACUUUCCACCUUUCAAUUCACACUAAUAUAGAAUAUAUAUAUAUAUAUAUAUAUAUAUAUAUAAAAACAAAAAAACAAAAAACAAAAACAAAGAAAACGAAGCCACGAAGUCAAUAGCAACUUAUGAAACAUGACCCGGACCUUGCUAUUAAACCUCAAUCAUUUUUCAUGCUUUUGGAAGUCACCAGAUCUGUGAGCUAGCUGCUCUCGUUUUAGUAUGUUACUUUUGCUUCCUAUAUCACUUACAGUUAUUAUUUCAAUCUUUUUUUUUUUAAGAAUGAAAGAUUUGACUGAGAAUAAGGAGUUGUAUAUGAUGUUAAUUAGCUAGAUAUAUCCUAUGUUGGUUUGAUCUGAUGUUUAUUUAUAUUGCUAGAUGCAGCUUUUAAUUUUCUCUGAGCUUGUGCGACUCUCUAGCUAGAGCUUUCAGCAGUAACUGAAGAUAUAAACGGAAGAAGGUAUGAGAUAUUAUUGCUUCAUAGGCUCUUGCCUCCUAGUUUGAUGUUUGUUUUACUUAAUUCCCAUGGCUAUACUAGUUUGUUUUAUGCCAAUUCUGACCGUUGGAUUAAAACGUACGGAAAAGAUGAUUGAGAGUUUAAGUUCCAAGUUUUUAAUGCGAUUUUUUAUUACAUUAAUUUUCAUUCAUUUAUUUGUAUUAAUUCUAAAGUUAAAGACAAUUGAUUAACGGCAAUCACCUCCAAGUCACUUCUGUUGAACGUACCUUAUAAUUAAAAUUAACUUUCGAGCCGUCCUAUCUUCUGGCCUCUUAGUCUUUCAAUCCCAAGUACCCACAUAAGUCCAUUAUACUCUCUGUUUACUUCAUGAUUACUAAUAUAUAUCUUAAAUUCUGCACGUAAAGUUAUUUUGCAGUUUAUCUUCAUAUAAAUUAUACGAACUCAAAUUUUCAUUAUGCAAAUUAUUCAAUUCUAACUCAAACAUUAAAAAAAUCACAAAAAUUACUCAAAACAUCUAUAUUCUAUAUUUGUUUCGAUUAAAACUUAAUUAAUAUUCUUUACUUUUCAUUUGCUGCAUGAUAGAUUUGUUUGAUUUUUAAUUUAUAUUAGACAGAAAAUACUAUUUUGCGUUUGAAAAGUAUGUUCAAUAGCUAUAGUAGGUCCAAAUUUUAGAGACUAAAAGAGAAUUUACCCCAAUCUUUACCAUCCCAAACAAAGUGUUAUUUGCAUCAAUUAUGUAGUAAAAUAGAGUAAUAAAUAAUUAAAUUAGUCAUCGAAUAGAUGAGUGUUUGAGGAAAAAAAAAUUCUUAAAAUAUUAUUUGAGAUUUAUGGAAUUAUUGUAUUGGAAUAUUGAUUGAAGUAAAAAUGGGAUAAUUAUCUUCAAAUUUUAUCAGGAGUGGGCUUGCAUAAGAUCUUGAACCCCUCUAAUCUCUAAUACUCUUUUUAAAUUUAAUUAUGGAUGGCUUUUUAGUUUUCAUCACUCUUAGUCUCUUACCAGAUUCCCCCAUGUAACUGCCUGUCUUCACUCGCAAUGCACAACUGAUUCUUCGGUUUAUCUAGAUUCUGUUAAAUUUGUUGUUUGAUAUUUUUAUUUAAAAAUUUCUAAAGUAAUCUAAUUUCAAUAUAAUCCACCAUAUAUUACGUUUACCUUAUUUCUUCUCUUCUUUUUGCAGCUAAAGGCUACUUAAAGUCUGGCGUUUGCAUUUUGCUCUUAUUGAUCAAAGCCGGCAUUAAUAAACGUGCAUUCGCAGAAUAGAAGAAAGUACUUAAACGUUCAGUAAAAAGUAAUUAAACAUUAUCGUUCGAUCUUGUGAUCAAGCCUCGUUGUUUUGCUUAUAGCGUACUGAGAUCAACUUUGUUAAUUGCAGAUAAAUAGCAUGGAAAUUUUAUCAGGUAUUGCAUCAAAGCUUGGAGAAUUAUUGGUGGAUGCUACCAUAAAACAAGCUCGCUAUCUGUUCUGUUUCAACAGCAUUGUUAAAGAACUUGAGGAUAAAGAAACUAAUUUGAAGAAGGAAAAAGAUGGCAUCAAUGAAAGAGUAGAACAAGAACGACAAAAACACUGCGCUAUAGUAGUUGAGAAAGAUGUAGAGAAGUGGCUGGCAGAUGUAGUCAAAGAAAUGGCCGAUGUCCGAACUUUGAAAGCAAAGAUAGAUAAAAAGAAGAGUUGCUUCAAUGGAUGGUAUCCUAAUUGGCGUUUCCGAUAUUGGAUGGGUAGAAAAGUAUCAAAGGAGACUCGCAAGCUGUCCGAUCUACAAGACCGCGGCAAAUUCAGCACAGUUGCCCUUCCUAAACCUCUACCAUCAGACAAAGAAAUGCCUAUUCCAAGAUUUUUUUCUUCUUUCGAGACUACCGAAUCGGCUUGCAAUCAGAUCAUUGAAGCACUGAAAAAAGAUAGCACAAAGAUGGUGGGAUUGCAUGGUCUCGGUGGUGUAGGAAAGACAACCCUGGCAAAAUUUGUGGGCAAUCAACUUCGGCAAAACAACAUUUUCGAUAAGGUGGGGAUAGCCACUGUAUCUCAGGAUCCAAGCAUAAUAAAUGUUCAAAGUGAGCUGGUAAAGUCGUUAGGUUGGGCAUUAACGGAGAAAGAUGAAGAAGAUAGAGCAGACCGAUUGCGCUUGAUGUUCUCUGAGAGUAAAAGCCGCAAGAUACUCGUAAUCCUUGAUGAUGUCUGGAAAGAGCUCGACUUGGAGACAAUAGGUAUUCCCGUCGGUGAUAGAGACAAUUGCUGCAAAAUCCUUCUAACUACACGCCUGCAGCAAGUUUGUUAUCGCAUGGGUUGUGACCCGCGGAUUAAACUAGAUGCUCUAGACCAAGCAGAAGGAUUGGAUUUACUAAGAAAGCAUGCUGGCAUUGACGUUGCUGAUAAAACCAUGACUGAUGUUUCAAAACGAGUUGCUGAUGAAUGUAAGGGGCUGCCUUUAGCUAUUAAAGCUGUUGGAAGUGCACUAAGAUUAAGAACUGCUGAUGAAUGGAAUGUAGCACUAGAUAAACUACAAAAUGCAAAACUCGAUAAGAUAGAAGGUAUUGAUAAGGAUUCCCGGGGCGUUUACGGUUGUCUCAAAUUUAGUUAUGAUUAUUUGAAUGGUGAGGAUUCCAGGUCGUGCUUCUUGUUGUGUUCGCUGUUUCCAGAAGAUUAUGAGAUAGAUUUGGAGGAUUUGCUUGGAUAUGCAGUGGGGUUGGUUUGGUAUCAAGCUGAAUCAAUCGAAAAAGCCAGAAGCCUACUGCGUGGAACGAUCAAAGGACUCAAAGAUUCUUCAUUGCUGUUAGACACUGAUGAUGACAGAUUUGUGAAAAUGCAUGACGUAGUUCGCGAUGUAGCCUUAUGGAUAGGCUCAGAGGAGAAGAAAUUUUUUACUAGUAAAGUUGGCUUUGGAUUGGCGGAAUGGGCAGUGGAAGAAGGCCUAGAACAAUACAGAGGAAUCUCUUUGGUGGGAAAUGAAAAAGAAGAGCUUCCUAGUGGUUUGGUAUGCCCUAACCUUCAUAUUUUGCGAUUGGAGAAUACUGAAUAUGACAACAAAUUGCAAGUUCCGGAACAUUUUUUCAAAGAGAUGCCAGCAUUGAAAGUUGUCACUAUAAUAGGUGGAGUUCUUUCACUUAAAUCACUUCAGAUCCUCACCAACCUCCAGGUUCUGCAGUUGAUUCGAUGUGAGGUGACUGACGCGUCUUUCCUUGGAAAGUUAAGGAUACGUCAAAUACUUUAUCUCGAGAAGUCUCCCAUUGAAAUUCCAGAUGGAUUGAGGGAUGAACUUUGUAGAUUGAAACUUCUGUAUAUUGAUACUGGCUCCAUUUCUCCCAUUACGAUAAAAAAAUUUCCUCAAUUAGAAGAAUUUUAUGGUUGGAUAAAAAAUUGGGAGGUUGAAGGGAUGAGUUCAGAAGAAAGUUAUGCUGGGCGUGCUGAGUUGAAGUCCCAACCCGACGAAUCCGUUGUAUGUCUUCCAAAAGACUUUUCAUUUCCGAAAUUACAAAGGUAUGACAUCAAUAAAGUUGACGGCGAUGGUUUUGUAAUUUAUAGAGGGACAAGGUACUUAUGCAUUGAGAAUAACCAUAAAGCAACACUAGUUAUUUUUUCAGCAUUGUAUCCAGAAUUGGAAAAUCUUUAUCUAAAAAGGGUAAGAUGUUGUCAUAAUAUUGUGCCAAGCAUAGAUGAAAGUGGAUUAAAUGAGUUGACUUUUCUUGACGUCGACUAUUGCGAAGAUUUAGAAUGCAUAAUGGAUGCCUCUAAGUCACCGCAUGGAAAGAGUGGGAAUCCUGUGAUGCUCUCAAGAUUAGCAGAGUUAUAUAUGUCAGAAUUACCAGAACUGAAGUGGAUAUGGAAGGCGCCCGCCCAACAUGUGAUCAGCCUCCAAUCUCUUACAGAAUUAAAUGUGUCACGGUGCAACAAUUUGACAUAUAUCUUCACGUUGUCACAAGCUCGAAGUUUGGUGCAGCUUAAAACUCUGCAAGUGAGUUAUUGCAAGAGACUGGAAUGUAUCAUCGAAGCAAAAUUUGAUCAUAAUGAAGGGGAAAUAAGUGCAGUGUAUGGAAAUACAAUACUCGAGCUCCCUUUGUUGAGAAAAUUAAGAUUUGAAGGUCUCCCCGAACUCAUCAGCUUCUGUUCAGAAAAUUAUUAUUUAACUUGGCCGGCAUUGGAAGAGUUAGAUGUAAGCAGCUGUCCUAAAUUGACUGUCAACAGUACUGAACUUGAAGCCAAUUUGCAGUAUCUUGGAGAGGUAUGUUCGUUUGUGUUUAUGUUUUUUCAUUCCUUUUUCUUCAAUUUUACUCAAAAAGAUGGUUUAUCAAAAACUUUUGUGAUCAUUCAUUCAUAUCACCUUGCAUUUGGCCGUGUUGAGAUGAAGAUGAUGGUGGUGGUAAUGGUGAUGAUAAUAAUAAUGAUCCUUGAGCAAAUAUCUUUGUUUUAGGGCCUAAAAUUCAUUCUUCAAAUAAAAGUCGUAUCUCGUUUUACUUUAUAAAAAAACUGGAUGCAAGCACUUGUAAAGUAUAUAUAUUAUUAGUCAAAUUCAAUUCAUUAGUUAAUUUAACCAUAGAAAUAGAAUACUAAUUUUUCUCAAACAAACCGAUGUCACUGCUAUAUCACUUCACAUGAUCUCUUUCAAUGAAUUUCUUUUUCUUUUUUAUAAAUUCCUUACUUUCACAGAGUAUAAUUAUUUUAUAAGUUUACAUGUGUAGUAUUAUAUUUUUGUAGGGAAUUGUUUUUUUUAAGUAUUUGUCGCUUAAUUGUCGAUUUGACAAUCCUAGCUGCUAACAAAUUUUAAUUACAUCAAGUUAUUUAUUUAUUUGUCUCAGAAAUUACGAAUUCUACGAGUAGGCAAAUGCUCCUAUUUGCGUGACACAAUUGACGAUCUGUUGAAGCACGGCUUAAAAAAUUUGGAAACAUUGUAUAUUGGAGAACUUAGAGUACAAGUGAUAUUUCAAGUGGAAGCUAUUAUCGCUGAGGGACAAGAAAACAAACUAUUCCCAUGUUUGAAGACGUUGUGGUUGGAAAACCUUCGAGAACUGCAAGUAUUAUAUCAUGAAGGUCCUACGCAUAAUUUUAGCCUGCAAAGUCUUACCUAUUUAAGCGUGGACGGGUGCGCUAUGCUGAGACGUCUUUUCUCAUCAACACUUGCUCGAAAUCUGUUGCAAUUGGAGGAGUUAUUCAUUCAGGGUUGCUGGGAAUUAGAGCAAAUCAUUGAUGAGGAUGAGGAUGAGGAUCAUCUCCAACCUGUAUGUUUCCCAAAACUCACAAGGAUCUCUGUGUAUUAUUGCCCCAAACUAAAGCAUCUAUUUCAUAUCAGCGUAGCUCCAAGUCUUCAAAAACUGAAGCACCUAUCUCUAGCAGCUAAUGAUGAAUUAGAAGAAGUAUUCUGGCAUAAAGAUGGAGCAGACGUCACGGAUUACAAUGAAAUUGUUAUGAAUGAACUUCGGGGGUUGGAACUGGGAGAUUUACCAAACCUCACCAACUUUUGGCCUGCGGGUUAUCAGAUCCCAUUUCCAUCUGCAUCCGAUGAAGAUGUUCGUAAUUGUCCCAAGCUUCGUC
Molecule: long non-coding RNA, 101520 nt
Filed under: Citrus x clementina
Lineage: Eukaryota; Viridiplantae; Streptophyta; Magnoliopsida; Sapindales; Rutaceae
Description: Citrus clementina (C. clementina) long non-coding RNA (CCLE_LNC000854)
Source: RNAcentral